Rattus norvegicus (Norway rat) is the source of this 98189-nucleotide non-coding RNA. The record is from RefSeq and is a predicted model, not a curated record. NCBI's taxonomy places the organism in Eukaryota, Metazoa, Chordata, Mammalia, Rodentia, Muridae.
AACAAAAGCCAACUGACUUAGGGCAGCGACCGUUGGCCACAAAGGCGCGAGCGCAGUGAUCCCAACAGCAAAUCCAGGGGGGAAGGAGUUCGUGUGAGCAUACAAGCUGUUGGGGGGACCCUCAGUAGAACUGGAGAUGGGGUGAAUUGGCUCUGUCCACAUUAAGGGUGGCCUCAAGAAAAGACAUGCAACAGUACAGCAUAACAGCUGCAGGAAGGACCCAGGCCAGAAGAAGCAGUGUGCACAACCCGUUGUUACCUGUCAGAUGCCUCCACCAGCCUGCACACAACCUCUGCACAACUGAUCUACAGAAUGUGAGUAAUUAGCUCCCCACCCUUUGACAUCAUUGUUCCCAAUGCACUAGUGCAGGGACAGAGAAGCUGUACACAUGACCAUCCUAUGAAGACACAACAAACCUCGUUCUGCAGUCCAGGUAAGAAAAUUUAUUACAUUUCCCAUCUGCCUCAUUAUCUUCCCAUGCCAUGGUCCCUGUGGCACCUGUCUCAAACAGGUGGGACAUGCAGUAACAGUAUCUCCUAGCCACUAAACAUCCAAGACAACUAUGACAAUGUAAGUAGAAGUCAUGAUGAGUGUGGAGUACCAUGGUGUUUAGGGAGUAUCUUCCUAUGAGCUUCUAAGAUUGGGAAAUUCUUCUAAGCAAGUAAUGAAAAAUUUUCAUGGCCUUCCUCAUGAGGUCGUGGAAAUGUUAGAAAUGAUAAGUCUGUGAAAACUGUUACCUCAUUAUAUAUUGUCAUGGUAAACUAGCAUUUGGUACCAGGAUAUUCAGACUGAGGAUUCUGGAAGAAGGGAACCUGAGGCAUAUCUCUGGCCAUCUUUUCUCAAGGUAAAAGAAACCUGAGACAAUGUGAGGGAAAUGUGUUCCUGAGAAACAAGAUAACAGAAUCUAUUAGGGAUACAAUUCCAUAGGCAAGACCAGAUCCUUAUAACAACUCUAAAGCACCAGACCUCCUCUGUGUUGAAAUAUUGGCUCAGCAAAGAACAUAGUCAUUUCUAUGGCCCUUUGAGUCACCAAACCUACAGUUCAGAUGUUAACACAAGUCACAAUACAUCCUUUUUUAGCUAAAGUUCCUGGACCAACUGGAUGCUCAUCAUCAUAGAAAUUUAUAAUAACCAAUGGUCUUCCUCAGUUUGUAAUUUUCCACAAGUUUGACAAAUUCCACAAUACAAAAAAUAUACUCAUUCUCCAGAUGGUUAUGCCUCUUGUACAAAGUUUCAGCACAGGAUUGACCACUACAAAGGUCCAUGUACUCUCUGGUGUAUAAUAUGCUCAUGAGAGAUAUCAUGAAAUAAAAAUCUAACCAUCAAAACUUUCCUUCUUGUAGCAGAAAUGAGAGCUCACUAAACUAAAUACGUGUUCUGAAAACAUGAGCAGAUGAGCUGAGAUCUACUGAACAAAUAAAAGCCUUGAAUUUCAAUGUGACCUAUAUGUUAUGCCUAUGGGGAUAGAAAUAGAAGGAUAUAGACUCUUUUGUAGCCCAAUGCAGAAUGGUCUGGCCACAUUUCUCACCUCCAGCUUAAAGGCAAGUGUCUCAGAAAACAAGGGCAAAAUAACAUGUGAGACAUUUUACUACUUGCACAUGAGCCAACACAUUCAAGUGCUCUAAACACACAUAUGAAGUUAUAAACCUAUACCUAGACAAAUAUACACAAGAGGUAUGAAGAAGGGGGAAUAGAGAAAACCAUCAGUGAACAUUUUAUCUUUCACAAUGAUGGUUAUACUGGUUGGUUCUUUGUGUCAACUUGAAACAAGCUGGAGUUAUCACAGAGAAAGGAGCCUCCCUUGUGGAAAUACCUCCAUGAGACCUAGCUAUAAGGCAUUUUCUCGUGGUGCCAUCCCUGGGUUGGUAGUCCUGGGUUCUAUAAGAAAGCAAACUGAGCAAGUUAAAGGAAGAAAUCCAGUAAGCAGCAUUCCUUCAUGGCCUCUGCAUCAGCUCCUGCCUCCAGGUUUCUGUCCUGUGUGAGUUCCUGUCCUGACUUCAUUUGGUGAUGAACAGCGAUGUGGAAGUAUAAGCUGAAUAAACUCCUUCCUUGUCAACCAGAUUCCUGGUCAUGAUGUUUUGUGCAGGAAAAGAAGUCUUAACUAAGACAAUGGUCUUUUCGUCCAGCAGCAUUCAAGUAAAAGGUUCAUGCAAAGCUGUAUUUAACUUGAUGUUUGUCUCAUUAGGUGUGUCUUCUGCAGAGUAUGCAUUGGCUACCAACUGUAUCUGUUCUUAAAGGUUGCUGGGUCAAGCUUCUCAGAUGACACUUAUCUUAGGCACUUGUUCGCAAAUACAGCAGAAUAUCUUUACUUGUGUCAAGGGUAGGCAUUCUCUCAUAGCAUAUGUUUCAAGAUAGGCCAGUCAUUAGUUAGCCUUUUCCUCAAUUUCUACUCCAUCUUUACUGCUGGACCUCUUAUAAGAUGGGCAUUUGGUGAGUUGAAGGUUUUACGGCUGGGGUUGUGUCUCAUUCCCUUCACUGGAAGUCUUUUUUGGUAACUGGAUAGAAACAUUUUGGGUUCAUAUCUACCAUUGCUAGGAGUCUUAGGGUCCCCUUCAUUGAUUUCUGGAAGUUUCCAUUGCACUAGGUUUCUAGCUUGUAGAGAUACAUGGUACCACUACAAAUUCCAGUUCUCCCUGGUACUCUCUCCCUCCCUCCUCACCUCAGUAGAUUACUCCUGCUCUCAUCUUCACCUCUCCCUCACCCAAUUCCUUCUUUCUGUCUACCCCUGUUGUCUACGCUAUUUCCUUUAUACAGUGUUACUCACUUGUCCCCACUUGGACCCUCUUUUCUAUUGAGCGUUUUGGCUCUGUAGAUUAUAGCACGUGUCUUGUACUUCAAGGUUAGUACACAUUUAUAAGUGACUACAUAGUAUGUUUGUCCUUUUGAGUCUGGAUUACUUCACUCAGAAUGUUAUUUUCUCUAGUUCCAUCAAUUUGCCUGCAAAUUUCAGGAUGACUUAAUGUUUAUUAGCUGAGUAGUAUUUCACAGUGUAAAUGUGCCACAAAACACAUUAUCCAUUGUUUGGCUGAGGGAAAUCUAAGUUGUUUCCAUUUUUUUGUUAUUCUGAAUAAAGAUGCUAUGAACAUAAUUGAGCAAAUAGCCUUGUUACAGCAACUUUUAGGUAUAUGCCCAAGAAUGGUAUAGCUUGGUCUUAAGGUAGAACUCUUCCCAAUUUUCUGAAAAACCACCAGAAUAAAGUGGUUGUACAAAUUUCCACUCCCAUCAACAAUGGAGGAGUGUUUUCAAUGUUCCAAUAUGAGCUGCCAAUUGAUGAACAUUUUAUCUUUCACAAUGAUGGUUGUACUGGUUGGUUCUGUGUGUUAACUUGAAGCAAGCUGGAGUUAUCACAGAGAAAGGAGCCUCCCUUGUGGAAAUGCCUUCAUGAGAUCCAACUGUAAGGCUUUUGCUCUUAGCCAUUCUGACGGAAUCUCAGAGGCAUUUUGAUCUGCAUUUCCUGAUGACUGUGGAUGUUGCACAUUUUUAAGUGCUUCUGGACCAUUGAGUUUCCUCUGUUGAGAAUUUUCGGUUUACAUCUGUACCCCAUUUUUAAUUGGGCUAUUUGGUUUAUUGAUGUCGAAUUUCUUAAGCUCUUUAUAAAGUUUAGAUAUCAGCCUUCUCUCAGAUGUAGGGUUUGUAAUGAUCUUUUCCUAUUGAAUAGGGUGACAUUUUUCCCUUUUUACAACAUCCUUUGCCUUACAGAAGGUUUUCUGUUUCAUGAAAUCUAUUUAUUAAUUGUUGAUCUUAAUGCUUGAGUCAUUGGUAUUCUGUCCAGGGUGUUGUCACCCCUACCAAUGAGUUCAAGGUUAUUCCCCACUUUCUCUUCCAUGAGAUUUACUGUAUUUCACUUAUGUUGAGGUCUCUGACCCACCUGGACUGGAGAUCUGUGCAGGGAAAUAGAUAUGGUUCUAUUGGUAUUCUUCUACAUGAAGACAUCCACAUAGACCAAAGCACCCCUUUUAGGGAUGCUUUUUUCUCCACUGUAUAGUUUUGGCUUCUUUUCAAAAAUCAAGUGUCCUGACUAUGGGUGUGUUUCUGGGUCUUUUAUUCAAUUCCAUUGAUGAACCUGGUUUUAUGUCAAUACCAUGUGGUUUUUAGUACUAUUUGUAUUUUGUACUAUUUUAGUACAGUUUGAUAUCAGGAAUGGUGAUAUCUCAAAAAGUUUUCUCAUUUAAAGGAUUGCUUUAGGUAUGCUGGGAUUUGUUUUACCUUGUUUUGUUUUUCUAUAUGAAUUUGAGUAUUGUUUUCUCAAGGUCUUCUAAAGAAAAACCUUCAUUACUACUGUCCUAUAGGAUCCUUGUCUGAUUUCUCAUAAGAAUUCCUAGAUCUCUUAAGACAGAGAUUGGUGGUUGAAGUGUUAUUGAGAAACUCUUGUCAUUCCAGAGUACUAAACACAAUAUGUUCUAUUUCUAUGUCCAUGGAACAUGGAGCCAUCCCAUCCUUUCCCUCUGGAAAAAAAAUAUAUUGGUUUGCAUCAUUACUAAACUGCAAAUAAUAAAUUUAUGUUAUUGGAAAUAAGUGAAAACCAACCUAUUACAAGAUGGAAGGUAGAAGGAGGACUUCUUUUUCUAUCCAAAACUUUGCUUCUGUCAUCUAUAUGUUUAAUGCAAGGGCUGUACUCAGUAUGUGUCUUACAUUCUAUUUAUUCCGUUUAGGUUUUCCUAAAGCACUGAACCUAAUCUUUAUCUCCGCUGUCCAUGUAGAGAAAACUAUCCAAAUUGUAGGAAGAUCAUAAAAGUAUCAUCUAGGAGAAGAUUUCCUACAAUCUUUCACUUUGUCCUCCAUUGUAUGUCUUGAGGAUAGUCAGAUAGGGAAGUCCUGUCACUCCUUACGGUUUCAACUUGGUUUAGUCCCUGCCAUUGAAAUGGCCUCAUCCACUGCCAUCUGUCUGUAUUUCCUCUUGUAGAACCUGAUAUUCAUGUAUCUUCUUAGUCCUUCAUCUGGACCUCCUCUUUUCCCCUUGCCUCUGCAGUUGGUCUCAAAUCUGUAGCUCUGAUCUCACACACAAGCUGCUUUGCCAACUCCUCUGCAUCUUCACUUCGAUUCUUCUCUCAUCCCUGUAGACUGCGUCCAUUUCUACUCACUACUUCUGAAGCAGACGUCUACUUUGGCCUCUGAAGCCUUUAGUAUCAGUGUGUAACCUGUGGGUAGCUAGCAAUCAAGUAAUCAGAGAGAAAGGAAAGUAGGAAAAAAGGAGAGAGAAUGGGUUACAGAGACAGAGAGGGAGAGAGAGAGACAGAGCAGAAGGAAGGAAGGAAGGAAGGAAGGAAGGAAGGAAGGAAGGAAGGAAGGAAGGAAGGAAGGGAAGGAGAGAGGUUGGGAGUGAGGAAGACAGGUGGGGAGGAAGGAAGAAAUAUUGAAAGAUAGAGAGACUAUUAACCUUGUAAGAUAUGAUUAUCACUAGUAUUCUUAAUCAGCCGAAGUUGUCACAGAAAGUGUGAGUGUCUGACAAAUUCCUGCCUUUGAAACUUCCAGAUCUUAUGGAUUUGUUACUCAGUAAAUUCUGACAUUGUGGAAAGACACAGUGUCCCUUUGUGUACUUAGGUAAUAUCCUUCCUUUUGGAUGGUAGAACUGCCUAUGAGCACCUUGCACUCAGCUUAGCUAGCCUUGAGAGAGAGCUGUCCACUACUACCCUUUAUGUUUAUGUGUUCAAAGAGACUCCCAGUUGCUCUCGGUGGCAGUACAACUAGAGCUGAAUAUUUUACUUUUUGUUACUGCUUAUGGCAAAUGCUUCUAAGUAUACCUUUGAAAAAUUGUCUACAAGAAAUUCCGGUCCUUGAGGGAAUUCUUUGGGUAGGCUCUAGCACAUUCCCUUUAGUGUUGUGUAAACUAUGUGAAAUUGUUGAAACACUGAUGCAGCUUUUCUGCUGAAGAGAAAGCUACCACUCUUCCUUCAAAGGAAAGUGGGACAGUUCUCUAAUAAACAGAAAUGAAAAGAAGUUAUGAAAAGUUGCUAAGUCCUGUGGGGAAAGUAAAAUAUGAUCUAUAUCAUGCUGGACAUCCUGAGCUCAGACAGCAUUGGGAGCUGCAGAUAGAACAGCUGUGUUAGAUAACAGAGCCUCUGUCUCUCCCUGCCUCAGAAUUCAGCACAAGCCAUGCUGCCUACACCUGUCUCUGAGACACAGAAUUGAUAAGAAGCCAGGCCUGCUGUGGUUUUGUAUCCCUUCCAUUCCCCUGGCGGCAGCAGAAUAAACUCAUGAGCCAACCUAGUGUCCCUCCCUUUGUGUGUGGGGGCCAGUUUUCUUCCUGUGGAGCACCAUUGGUGUGAAAUCCAGAAACUCCCUUGGUGGUAGGAAUUGAUAGUCCUUCUGACUUUAUAUAUUCCAGCAAAAGAGAGGAAAGAUCAUAUGAACAAUUUCACAGAGUUUACAAACACCAAAAGUACAAGUUAGAGAGCUCAACCCAGACAACAGACAUGGCAGGCUUUCAAGGACUGAUUAAGAACCUGCUUUGGCUCUGGCUGCAAUGAUUGGGCUUCAGAAGCUGGUCUGGAUGUUCAGAAUGCUGAUUCUAGGAAGUAUGAACUCCACCUUUUUUCCUGCCCCCUCCAGCCCUGGUGCAGGUAGUAGCAAGAAUCACCUAUCAUGCUGAUGAGGAGAAAACUGGAAUACGGUUUGAUAAAGACAAUGGGCUAAUCAGACAUAAAAUAGAGUCCCUCACAAUUACUUUGGUGGUCAGGAUGGGGCUGAAUCUGGCAGGAACAGGGACCAACUAGUCCUACACAGUCUCAGCUUUGCCAACUUAAAAACAGCCAUAGAUGAGAACAUGAGAAAUUUGGAAAGAGAAAUAGCCCACUUAGAAAGAACGAUGAACUCUAAGUCAGAAGUUGUGUUACAAAAUAGGAGAAGGUUAGACUUUUUAUUCUUACAGCAAGAAGAAUCAUAUGCUGCUAUGAAAGAGAAAUGCUAUUUUCAUGUGAAUCAUUUUGGGGUUAUCUGGGACUUACUGGCCAGAGUAAGGGAAAAUUUAAACAAAAGAAAGAGGGAUAUGCAUUCCAUGGAUGGUUCUAAUGAUGGUUUAAUAGUCCCCCCUCAUUGACCACCCUGAUUUCUACCCUGCCCAUCCUCUUAUUAUUACUAGGGUUGCUAUUAAUGUUUGCACCCUGCAUAUUAAACAGAGUAAUAUGAUUUAUAAAAGAUAGAGUAGGAGCAAUAGAACUCAUGGUACUUAGAUCCCAUUUUAUAGAACUAACACCUGAAGGACAGGAGGAAUAGCUUGAAAAUAUCCCCUUGACCCUGUUGGGACCCCCAUGUUUAGGCUCUCUAAGGACACAGAAAAAAAGGGAGAUUUACAAAACCCAACCAAACCUCUUUUUUUAAGAAACUCAUUUUGUGCCAGACCUAGUGUCCCUCGAUUUCCAAAAAUAAAAUCACAGAGUCCUCCUAAGCAAACAUUCUAUUGCCCCCCUCCCCCUUUAGCGACAGUCAUACUACAAUAGUAGGAACAAGGUAUGUGGAGAUAACCUGAGACAUCUUGCAGAGAAUAGAUAAUCUGACCAUCAUUUUUGUCAGGUGGUUCUGCUCUCAUGCUUGGUUCCUAGAGAUUAUUCCAGAAAUGCAUUUUUUUAAAAAAUACUAAUUUCUGACUAACACAGAAAUUCCUCAAGUUUGCUGUAACUACAAUAAAAAAACUGGACACCUAAACUUCAGUUCUUACUUUGACCCACUGCGAUGGUGAGAGUCUGAGAGACCUUGCUUGGGAACUCUUAAUAAAGACCCUGAGGGGUUGGGGAUUUAGCUCAGUGGUAGAGUGCUAGUAAGUGCAAGGCCCUGAGUUCAGUCUCCAGCUCCGAAAAAAAAGAAAAAAAAAAAAGACCCUGAGGUGUUUUACAUUGGAAUUGGCUCCUCGGUGGUCUUUGAGGACCUGCAACUUAGAUAUAACAGAACCACUAACAUUAACAGUACCUGCAUGCCCAUAUUGCUGUGAAGUCACAUUCCCACCAAAAAUGGAAAAAGGCCUCUUUGGAGGAUCAACAGAAAGUGAUAGGAGCACCAAGGUACCCACCCUGUUUUUCCUUACAAACUGCCAGCAUUCACAGCAGAUAGGAAGCCAGGACCACUCUAAUGUAAAUGAAAAGGAGGGUCUCAAACUACCUUGGCCUAAUCUCUGGGUACAGUGACUCUUCACAUCAAUGAUGGAUGACAGGCUAUUGCCUUUGGAGAUUUCUCUACUAUCAAGAGUUACAGCAUGCUGAAUAAUCACUCCUUGGUUUCAAGGCUAUGAGCAGAGUUAUUUCUGGCAGUAUGAUCCAGGACAUUAGUCUACUUGGUGCUGCUUCAUUACCACCAUCCUCCCACACUACCCUAUUUCUAAAAUCCCUGCCGUAAGGGUUCUGGAUAGGCAUAACCCAUCCUUCCACUGUGAGGUACUGCUUGGGCCUCCCAAUACCACAUUACUACACACUAUUUUCUUUGGGCCACUUCAUCAGUAAAGAAAAUGUCUCUAAUAACAAAGGUACAUGAUUUCUGAAGGGUUCCAAGAAUAUGAUCUAGACUUUUGUUUUUUGUCAUUGUUUUUGAUAGCUGAGUAAUGUUCCAUUGUGUAGAUGUACCACAUUUUCUGUAUCCAUUCCUCUGUUGAAGGGCAUCUGGGUUCUUUCCAGCUUCUGGCUAUUAUAAAUAAGGCUACUAUGAAAAUAGUGGAGCAUGUGUCUUUGUUGCAUGUUGGAGAAUCUUUUGGGUAUAUGCCCAGGAGAGGUAUAGCUGGGUCCUCAGAUAGUAUAAUAUCUAAAUUUCAGGGGAAUCACCAGACUGAUUUGAAGAGUGGUUGUACCAGUUUGCAAUCCCACCAACAAUAGAGGAGUGUUCCUCUUUCUCCAUAUCUUUGCUGGCAUCUGUUGAAACCUGAGUUUUUGAUCUUAGCCAUUCUGACUGGUAUGAGGUGGAAUAUCAGGGUUGUUUUGAUUUGCAUUUCCCUGAUAACUAAGGAUGUUGAGCAUUUAUUUAGGUGCUUCUCAGUCAGUCGAUAUUUCUCAGCUGAGAAGUCUUUGUUAACCUCUGUACCCUAUGUUUUGAUAGGGUUAUUUGAUUCUCUGGAGUCUAACUUCUUGUGUUUUUUGUAUAUUUUGGAUAUUAGUCCUCUAUCAGAUGUAGGAUUGGUAAAGAUCUUUCCCCAAUUUAUUGGUUGCCAUUUUGUCCUAAUAACAGUGUCCUUUGACUUACACAAACUUUGCAGUUUUGUGAGGUCCCAUUUGUUGAUUCUUGAUCUUACAGCACAAGCCAUUUGUAUUUGUUCAGGAAAUUUUCCCCAGUGCCCAUGUGAUCAAGACCCUUCCCCAUCUUUUCUAUUUGUUUGAGUGUAUCUGGUUAGAUGUGGAGGUCCUUGGUCCAAUUGGAUUUACGCUUUGUACAGGGCAGUAAGAAUGGAUCUAUUUGCAUUCUUCUGCACGUUGAUCUCCAGUUGAACCAGCACCAUUUGAUGAAAAUGCUAUCUUUUUUCGAUUGGAUGGUUUUGGCUCCUUUGUCAAAGAUCAAGUGACCAUAAGUGUGUGGGUUCAAUUCUGGGUUCAAUUUUUUUAUCACUAUUGCUCUGUAAUACUGACUGAGGUCAGAGAUUGUGAUUCCCCCAGAAGUUCAUUUAUUGUUGAGGAUAGUUUUCACUAUCCUGGGUUGUUCAUUAUUCCAAAUUAAUUUGCCAAUUGCUCUUUCUAACUCUGAAAAAUUGAGUUGGAAUUUUGAUGGGGAUUGCAUUUAAUCUGUAGAUUACUUUUGAUAAAACGGCCAUUUUUACUAUAUUAAUCCUGCCAAUCCAUGAGAAUAGGAGGUCUUUCUAUCUUCUGAGAUCUUUUUCAAUUGCUUUCUCCAGAGACUUGAAGUUCUUGUCAUACAGAUCUUUCACUUGCUUGGUUAGAGUCACACUGAGGUAUUUUAUGUUAUUUGGGACUAUUGUAAAGGUUGUCAUUUCCCUAAUUUUUUCUCAGCCUGUUUAUCCUUUGAGUAGAGGCUACUGAUUUCCUUGAGUAAAUUUUAUACCCAGCCACUUUGUUGAAGAUGUUUAUCAGGCUUAGUAGUUCUCUGGUGGAACUUUUGUAGUCACUUAAGUAUACUACCAUAGCAUCUGCAAAUAGUGAUAUUUUGACUUCUUCAUUUUCAAUUUGUAUUCCUUUGACCUGCUAUUGUUGGCUGGUUGCUCUGGCUAUGACUUCAAGUACUAUAUUGAAUAAGUAAGGAGAGAAUGGGCAGCCUUGUCACUGAUUGUAGUGAGAUUGCUUCAAGUUUUCUCCAUUUAGUUUGAUGUUGGCUACUGGGUUGCUGAAUAUUUCUUUUACUAUGUUUAUUUAUGGGCCUUGAAUUCUUAAUCUUUCCAAGACUUUUAACAUGAAGGGGUAUUGAAUUUUGUCAAAUGCUUUCUCAGCAUAUAAUGCAUGAGCAUGUUUUUUUUUCUUUGAGAUUUUUAUCUAGUGGGUUACAUUGAUGUAUUUCUUUAUAUUGAACCAUGCAGGCAUCCCUGGGAUGAAACUUACUUGAUCAUGAUGGAUAAGCAUCUUGAUGUGUUCUUUGAUUCAAUUUGUGAGAAUUUUAUUGAGUAUUUUUGCAUUGAUAAUCAUAAGGGGAAUUGGUCUGAAAUUCUCUUUCUUUGAUGGAUUUUUGUGUGGCUUAGUUAUACCUGUAAUUGUGGCUUCAUAGAAGGAAUUGGGUAGUGCUCCAUCUGUUUUUUUUUUUGUUGUUUUUGUUUUUUUUUGUUUUUGUUUUUUUUUUUUUUUGUGAAAUAGUUUGGACAGUAUUGCUAUGAGGUCUUCUAUGAAAGCCUGACAGAAUUCUGCACUAAACCUAUCUGUAUCUGGGUUCUUUUUGUUUGGGAGACUUUUUAAUAACUGUUUCUCUUUCUUUAGCAGUUAUGGGACAGUUCAGAUGGUUUCUCUGAUCAUGAUUUAACUUUGUUACCUGGUAUUUGUCUAGAAAAUUGUCCGUUUCCUUCAGAUUUUCCAGUUUUGUUGAAUAUAGACUUUUGUAGUAGGAUAUUAUGAUUUUUUGAAUUUCCUCAGAUUUUGCUGUGGUGUCUCCCUUUUCAUUUCUGAUUUUUAAAAUUUUUGAUCCACUCUCUGUGCCCUCUAGUUAGGCUGGUUAAGUGUUUGUCUAUCUUGUUGAUUUUCUCAAAGAAGCAGAUUCUGUCUUUUUGUUUGUUUGUUUGUUUUGUUUUGUUUUUUUUUUCUUUUUUGAUUCUAUGUAUAGUCCUUUUUAUUUCUAUUUGGUUGAUUUCAGCCCUCAGUUUGAUUAUUGCCUGCCAUCUACUCCUCUUGGGUGUAUUUUUGCUUCUUUUUGUUCUAGAGCUUUUAGGUAUGCUAUAAAGUUGCUAAUGUAUGCUCUCUCCUAUUUCUUUUUGGAGGAACCCAGAGCUAUGAGUUUUCCUCUUAGCACUGCUUUUAUUGUGUCCCAUAACGUUGAGUAUGUUUUGUCUUCAUUUCAUUAAAUUCUAAAAAGACUUUAAUUUCUUUAUUUCUUCCUUGACCAAGUUAUUGAAUAGAGCAUUGUUAAACUUCAUGUAUAUGUGGACUUUCUGUAAUUUUUUGUUGUUAUUGAAGACCAGUGUUAGUUCUUGGUGAUCUGAUGGGAUGCAUGGGAUUAUUUCACUCUUCUUGUAUCUGGUGAGGCCUGUUUUGUGACUGAUUAUAUGGUAAAUUUUUGAGAAGGUAGCAUGAGGUACCAAGAAGAAGGUAUAUUCUUAUGUUUUAGUAGGAAAUGUUCUAUACAUAUCUCUUAAAUCUAUUUGGUUCAUAACUUCUGUUAGUUUCUCUAUGUCUCUGUUUAAUUUCUGUUUCCAUAUGUCCAUCGAUGAGAGUAGCGUGUUGAAAUCUCUUACUAUUAUUGUUCGAGGUACAAUGUGUGCUUUAAAUCUUAGUAAGGUUUUCUUUAUGAAUGUAGGUGCCCUUGAAUUUGGAGCAUAGACAUUUAGGAUUGAGAGUUCCAAGAAGGAUGACCAAAAUGUGAAUGCUUCACUCCUUCUUUAAAAGGGGAACAAGAAUACCCUUGGCAGGGAAUAGGGUGGGAAAGUUUAGAACAGAGGCAGAAGGAACACCCAUUCAGAGCCUGCCCCACAUGUGGCCCAUACAUAUACAGCCACCAAACUAGAUAAGAUGGUUGAAGCAAAGAAGUGCAGGCCAACAGGAACCGGAUGUAGAUCUCUCAUGAGAGACACACCAGAAUACAGCAAAUACAUAGGGAGAUGCCAGCAGCAAACCACUGAACUGAGAAUGGGACCCCUGUUGAAGGAAUCAGAGAAAGGACUGAAAGAGCUUGAAAGGGCUCAAGACCCCAUAUGAACAACAAUGCCAAGCAACCAGAGCUUCCAGGGACUAAGCCACUACCCAAAGACUAUACAUGGACUGACCCUGGACUCUGACCCCAUAGGUAGCAAUGAAUAGCCUAGUAAGAGCACCAGUGGAAGGGGAAGCCCUUGAUCCUGCCAAGACUGAACACCCAGUGAACAUGAUUGUUGGGGGGAGGGUGGUAAUGGGGGAAGGAUGGGGAGGGGAAGCCCAUUUAGAAGAAGGGGGAGGGGCUAGGGAGAUGUUGGCCUGGAAACUGAGAAGGGGAAUAACAAUCGAAAUGUAAAUAAGAAAUACUCAAGUUAAUUAAAAUAAGAAAAAAGGAUUGAUAGUUCAUCUUGGUGGAUUUUUCUUUUACAGAAUAUGAAGUGUCCUUAUAUUUUUUUUAUAACUUUUGGUUGAAAGUCAAUUUUAUUCAAUAUUAGAAUAACUACUCCCUCUCAUUUCUUCAGAUCAUUUCUGAGGUGGUGUCUGUCUUUGUCUCUGAGGUGUGUUUCCUGUAUGUAGCAGACUGCUGGGUCCUCUUUAUGCAACCAGUCUGUUAAUCUAUGUUUUUUAGUGUGGAAUUGAGUCCAUUGAUGUUAAGAAAUAUUAAAGAAUAGUGAUUGUUGCUUCCUGUUAUUUUGUUUUUAGAGGUAGAAUUAAGUUUGUGUUUCUUUCUCCUUUUGGUUUUGUUGCAAGAUUUCUUUCUUGCUUUUUCUAGGGUGAGGUUUCCCUCCUUGUGUUGGAAUUUUCCAUCUAUUAUCCUUUGUAAGGCUGGAUUUGUGGAAAGAUAUUUUGUAAAUUUGGUUUUGUCAUGGAAUAUCUUGGUUUCUUCACCUAUGUUAAUUGAGAGUUUUGCUGGAUAUAGGAGCCUGGGUUGGCAUUUGUGUUCUCUGAGGGUCUGUAUGACAUCUUCCCAGGAUCUACUGGCUUUCAUAGUCUCUGGAGUGAAGUAUGGUGUUUUUCUGAUUGGUCUGCCUUUAUAUGUUUCUUGACCUUUUUCCAUUACUGCUUUUAAUAUUCUUUGUUUUGUGAGUUUGGUGUUUUGACUAUUAUGUGCCUGGACAAAUAUCUUUUCUGGUCCAAUCUACUUGGAGUUCUGUGGGCUUCUUGUAUGUUUUUGGGCAUCUCUUUAGCUUAGGGAAGUUUUCUUUUAUAAUUGUUUUGAAGAUAUUUACUGGCCUUUUAAGUUGGGAGACUUCAAUCUCUUCUAUACCUAUUAUCCUUAGCUUUGAUCUUCUCAUUAUGUCUGGGAUUUCCUGGAUUUUUUGGGCCAGACGCUUUUUGUGUUUUAUAUUAUCUUUGAUGCUUGUUUUGAUAUUUUCGAUGGUAUCUUCUGUCCCUGAGAUUCUCUCUUCUAUCUCUUAUAUUCUGUUGGUGAUGCUUUACCUAUGACUCUUGAUCUCUUCCCUAAGUUUUCUAUAUCCAGGGUUAUCUCCCUUUGUGCUUUCUUUAUUGUUUCUAUUUCUUCUUUUAACUCCUGGAUGUUUUUUUUUUCAUUUCUUUUAUCUGUUUUGUUUUCUCCUGUAAUUCUCUAAGGGAUUCUUUAAGGUAAUUUUGUGUUUCCUCUUUAACAGCUUCUCCUUGUUUACUUUUGUUGUCCUGUAUUUUUUUAAAUGAGUUAUUUUUGUCCUUCUUAAAGUCCUCCAUCAUCAUCAGAAGAUGUGAUUUUAAAUCCAAAUCUUGCUUUUCUGGUGGGUUUUGAUAUCUAGUGUUUCUUUAGUGGGAGAACCGGGCUCUGAUGAUGCCAAGUAGUCUUGGUUUCUGUUGCUUAGGUUCUUGUGCUUGCCUCUUGCCAUCAGGUUGUCUCUAGUGUUAGCUUUUCUUGCUGUCUCCGACAGUGGCUUGACCCUCCUGUAGGUCUGUGUGUCAGCACUCCUGUAGAACUGUUUUCUUUCAGCCACAUCUGGGAACAGAGAGCUGCUUCUGGGUUUGUGUGAUCUGAAGCCUCCAGGUGGGUUGCUUGGCACAGCAGACUUGGUCUUACCUCUGCUCUUAGUUGUAAAGGUGCUCCUGGUGACUGGCUUUCAGCUCUCAGGGUAGGCAGAAUCCUGAACUGUCCUGCCCCUGACUGCUCCUUGGUUCAUGUGCACAGAGGGCACAGACACCACUAGCUGAUUUUCUCUUGGGUCAGGAAUGUGGGCAGAAAGUAGUCAUCUCCUCUGAGUUUUCUGGAGUGUCAACACUUCUGAGGAUUCUGCUCUCUCACCCACAGGAUUUGGGAGCAGGAAGCUGAGGGACCAGUUCAGUUGAGUUCAGAGCUCAGGCAGAAAUCAGCGGGUUUUUACCACUGAAAGCUCCUAUGUUCCUGUAUCCAGAGGCACUAUGCAGUUUCCUCUUGGUCCAUGAAUAUGAGUAGAAGUGAGUAGAGGUGGCAGUCUCCCCUGAGGUCUCAGGAUUGUCCACACUUCUGGGAGUUCAGCUCUCUCCCCCAUGGGAUUUUGGUGCAGGGAGCUGUGGGAUUAGUUCAGUUCAGUUCAGGGCGCAGACAGAAACCAGCAGGUUCCCGCCUCUGGCUCUUCCUAUAUUCCUGUAUCCAGAAGCACUGUGCAGUUUCCUCUUGGUCCAUGAAUAUGAGUAGAAGAGAGGAGAGGUGGCAGUCUCCCCUGAGGUCUCCAGAUUGUCCACAUUUCUGGGAGUUCAGCUCUCUCCCCCAUGGGAUUUUGGUACAUGGCACUGUGGGACUAGUUCAGUUCAGUUCCAGGCAUAUCCAGCUGUUCCAUAUUUCUUGAAGUGAGUUAUUUUUGUCCUUCUUAAAGUCCUCCAUCAUUCAGCAAUUUUCUUUGGGUCAGGAAUUUUAAAUCCAAAUCUUGCUUUUCUGGUGGGUUUUGAUAGCCAGUGUUUGCUUUGGUGGGAAAACUGGGCUCUGAUGAUGCCAAGUAGUCUUGGUUUCUGUUGCUUAGGUUCCUGUGCUUGCCUCUCGCCAUCAGGUUGUCUCUGAUGUUAGCUUUCCUUGCUGUCUCUGACAGUGGCUUGACGAGUAGGCCUGUGUGUCAGCACUCCUUUAGAGCAGUUUUCUUUCAGCCGGAUCUGGGAAGAGAGAGCUGCUCCUGCGUUUGUGUGACCUGCUUGUGCAGGUUGCUUGGUACAGAAGAGCUGGUCUUACUACUGCUCUCAGAUGUGUAGGUGCUCCUGGUGACUGGCUUUCAGCUCUCAGGGUAGACAGAAACCCGAAGGGUCCUGCCCCUGAUUGCUCCUAGUUCCCGGAGCCCAAAAGGCACAGAUGACACUAGGCAGUUUUCUCUGGGUCAGGAAUGUGGGCAGAAAGUAGUUGUCCCCUCUGAAUUCUCAGAAUUGUCCACACUUCUGAGUGUCCAGCUCUCUCCCCAAUGGGAUUUGGGUGCAGGUAUCUGUGGGACCAAUUCAGUUCAGUUCUGGGUGCAGGCAGAGAUCACCAGGUUCAUGCUUCUGACUGUUCCUAUAUUCCUAUAUCCGGAGGCACUAUGCAGGUUCCUCUUGGGCCAGAAAUGUGAGCAGAAGUGGUGAUCUUCCCUGAGGUCUCAGGAUUGUCUGCACUUCUGGGAGUUCAGCUCUCUCCACCAUGGGGUUUGGGUUCAGGGAGCUGUGGUACUGGUUUAGUUCAGUUCUGGGCAUAGCCAAAAUCCAGAACUGUCCUGUCCCAGAAAACUUCUGGCUUUCUGUGUCAUGAGGCCACUAGGUGGGUCGCUUGGAGCAGAAAAGUAGGCCUUACCUCUGCUUUCAGGUGUGUAGGUACUCCUGGGGACUGGCUUUCAGCUCUUGGUGCAGGCAGAAACCUGAAGGCUCCUGCCCCUGAUUGCUCCUAGUCCCUGUCCCCAGAGAGCACAGAUGCCACUAGGCAGUUUCCUCUUUCAGGAAUGUGGGCAGAAAAUAGUUGUCUCCUCUUAGUUCUCUGGAGUGUCCACAUUUCUGAGGGUCCAGCUCUCUCCCCUAGAGGAUUUAGGUGCCUUAAAACAUCUUCUUAACUGUCUGUAGAAUCUUUUUUUCUGAGAAGAAGCGGAUAAAAUCUUUAAUUAUUCACCAUUAUUAAUAGAGAAGUUUUUAUAACUGUGGUCAUCUAUGGCUUAUUUCAAAGCAGAUGAUUAAUCAACAGUGUUUCCUAAAUCUGAAGAUGUCUUUAUAUCAUUAGAUUUCUUUUGACUAUCUUCUAAAAUAUAUCGCAGUUGUUCCCAAAUAUUUGAAGAUAGUUUUCAAUAAUGAUUUUUACAAUAGCAGUAUAUAACAUCACAAAGCAAAAACAAGAUCCUCUGUCAUUUCACAUAUUUAACAAAUUUGAAAUCAAGUAAAAAAUUGAAAUCUAAAAAUAUGAGGAAAAUAGCAGUUACUUCAAAUACAUAUGAGUCCAUGAAAUGAAGUCUCUGUUUGAAUUGGAGACUCUAAGUUCUUUGCAUCUCAUUAAAACUUGUUAAAAUUUCAUACAAAUUACAAAGAGUAAAGGCACUACUAAAAUAAAGCAAUAUUUUAGAACUGAUGUGUUGCCAAGAAGAACUGUGAGUGAGUCAAAUUAGUGAUUUUAAAGGUAUCUUGACUAUGCUUUGUUGGUUUUGGGAGUGCUGUAGGGAGGAGGUGGAGUUUCAUUGUGGUGUUUUGAAUGGAAUGCCCCUCUAAAUCUAGGUAUCUCAAUAGUCAUACCUUAUUUGUGACACCACUUGAGUGGUAAAGUGGCUUGGCCUUCCUGGAGGAAGUAUGUCAUAGGUUAGAAUUUAGGGUUACAAAAGCUAGGAGCUAUUUGCAGUAUACUCUUUCCUUCACAUUUGCUGCCCAAGAUAAGCAUUAUUAGUUCUCAGCUUCCUGUUUGGUUAUCUCUCCUUCUUGAAGCCAUGUUCCUCUGUCAUGAUUUGAAGGACUGUAAUCCCUCUACAUCUCUUAGUGCCAAAUAGAUAAUUACUUCUAUUAGUUGCCUUCCUCAUGGUAUUUUAUGAAAGUAAUAAAAGAAGUCACUAAGAGGAGAAGUUGGUGAGAAGAGGGAAGCUUUAUUGAGAAAAUGACUCCACCAGAUUGGCCUAUGGUUUAGGGAAGUCUACAGGAUAUUUUCUUGAUUAACAAUGGAAUGUUUAGGGCCCAAAUCUCUGGGAUGGGGCCACUCUUGAGCUACUGGUCAGGAUGACACAGAUAUGAGCUACAAGGCAUUAAGCAGAACACCUUCAUGGUUUGCUUCAGUUCUUGCCUUUAUUUCCUAUCUGGUUCAAUUUGGAGCCUAACAUUUCUCAGUAAUUAACUGGUAACUAGAAGUAUAUCAUGAAGUGUAUUCUGUCUUCCAUAAGUUGGUUUUCAUCAGAGUUUUAUCACAUUAGUAGUAGCAACUUAAGACACUUCCUAAAUUGAACAGCAGAAUUAAUAAUUCUUUCUUCUGAAAUGGUGGGUUAGGUUAAAUCAUCUUUACUUAUUACUUGUGUUUCUUCCCAGGAUUCACCUAAUUUUAUGUUUCACUAGUGUUGCACAAGAUGGGAUAGACACAAAUCAGGGGAAAUUGCACUCAGGUGAUCCUCUUACUUUAUUUGUAAAUGGUUCAGAAUAGUUUUGCUUAUUUGUUUUCAUACUUGACCAUAAAAAGGAAUGCAUUUAAUAGAACUGUCCAUAAAAUGAGAAUCAUUAAUAAUUAUUAAGAGUAGGAAAAUAUAUUUUAUUUCUGUAUUUGGACUGAACAUGAAGCUUGAUAUAAGCUUCAAUUUAGGUUGUCAGUAGUUUGGUAGUUCAAGAAAAAUGUGUCACUAGCCCAAGCCAAGUAUAGUUCUGGGUGAGAGAGCUAUUCAAGUUGUGCCCCAAGCUAUCUUACUCCAUUUUGAGUCACAUCACCGUGACUUCCUUCAUGUAAACCAUAUCCCUGGAAACUACUAUUUAAAUUAUACCUAUGUGUUCUUUCUUAUUUGUUUUCUUUUAUUGUCUGAUUUUUCUUUUUAAAAAUGUAUGUUUUUUAUUGAUUUUCUUUGAAUUUUUCAUCAAGCAACCCAGUAACAUUCAUUUCCCAAUCUUUCCAUAUCUGCUCUUUCCCCUUAUAACUCCUCCCUCCCACAAAUAAAAAAAUUACAAGUUAAAGUUUUAAAUUCAAAUUCAAAGUAAAAUUGAAAACAAAAAUUAAAAACCCUUAAAAGUUGUACCUUUUAAGAUGUGAUGUACUAUGGUGUGUCACAUUGUCUAUAUCCUUUUGCCCAAAGAGCUUUACUUGCAAAUGUCCAUUUAAAUGAGUCAAGGCCCCUGGAUUUUGUUAUAUCAUCAAUACUGGAACCUGCAAGAGACUCCUCUCCUCUUAUACCCUGGAUAUCCUGAUGUUGCCCUUAGUCAUGGAGGUCCUUCAGCUUUGAAUCUGUAGGACCAGCUCCUUCCAUGCUUCAGCAGUUGCAUGUAGGUCCCCUACGUACAUGUAGCAUAUGUGCAGCUUGAUCCUCAUGUGGGUCUCCUAACAAUUGGUGAGAGGGCUUUCUAUGAUUCUGUUGUCUUUCUCUGUAUUCUUUUCUUCUAGCUUGCAGCCUUAUCUGUCUUCAGUAUGUGAAUGUGCACUUUUUCCUGUUGUGAAUUGAUAUAUGAAUGAGGGAGAGUUCAUAUCCAUGAGUUGGGGGUAUCUACACUUCUCUGAAGAGAAGAAGAAAUAAAUUAGAGUAAAUGUUUUGUAGACCAGCUCAUAUUAUAAUCAUAAUUCAAAAGAAGUAAGACUAUACAGCUAAAAUGCUACCUAAAAUAUUUUCUGCAAUCACUUUUCUGUGUAGAAUCAUGGGAAAUAUUUUAAAAUAGUGUGUGAAUUUCUGUGUGACUGGUACCUAUAAAACCAAGAGGAAGGUAACAGGAUCCCUGAAACUGGAAUGUUGAUGGUGGCAUGCUAUCUAUGUUAAACUGAACCAUCAUCUUUCUAGCAAACGUGGGGACAUAUUUAGUAUCUAACUUAGUAUAAGUCCAUGUAACACUCUUGUGACAUUCUAGAACCAUGUUGACCUGAAAGCACAUAAAUGGAUGUAGGCAAUGCAAUUAUAAAAUAUAGUGUUAUAGGUAAGGCAAAAAUUCUGAGGUGCUGGCUAGGAAUGGGAGCUCAAAGCUCCUCUGUCACCUAUGAAAUCAUUCUAUGGGGUAUAGUACAGGAAAAGAUAUACCUGACCUAGAUUUUGCUAGGUAGCUAUAUUUAAGAAAGAUAAAUUCAGUAAUAGCUUCAUGUUCCAGUCAAUGACAUAUAUUAAGCAUGUAAAAUAUUCACUAUAGCAUAGUAACAAUAUUAGGAUAUAAAUAACCCACAGGUUUUAUACACACAUGCUUCGUUUAAUUUACCUUACACAGGAACUCAAACAAAUAGUAUAGCCUGGCCUGGACACAACUGUGUAGCAUAGACUGUCUUCCAAAUCAUGACAGUUAUAAUGUAGAAGACUCCCAAGUGGUGGGAUUACAGACCUGGUACAACACUCUUGCUUGAGAAAUGCAUCGGUUUGCAAAAUGACAGUACAUGUCUGAGCUAAGGAUAUUACUUAACAUAGGACAUCAUUCCAGUGGAUAAUCUUGUAAAUACAAGUCUAUGUAUCUUCAAAAAUACAUUGCUUCUGUCUUUGUAUGUUUCCCCAUGUGUUUGAUUUAUCAUUACCUUUGUAUAGCAGAAAAUUUUCAUCCAAAUGUUCUUGAUCAGGGACAACAAGCCUUUUAAAAAAUUAAAUCUCUAGAAAGUCAGGUCCCUUGUAUAGUUUGAACAAAUUUCUUCUUAAAAAGAAAAUAAAAACAAGAGUUGGAAUGAUCUUACUUUGUAAGACAUAUUUGAAAAAUAUUUUUUGUUGAAAUAUAGUAGUUUAGACAAGGCAUUCUAAACUUGUGUAUGGUUCCCCAAGAGUUUACUGUAUCAUUAUCUUUAGAAAGCAGAACUUUUUGAUGCAAAUUUUCUUCAUCGGGGAUACAAAGUCAAUUAUAUAAAGUCAUGGUAAGCAAGCUUCCUUCAUGUUUAGAAUGAAAUUUCUUUUUAAAGAAAAGCAAAUAAAUGAGAAUUGCAAUUGUCAUUGUACAUUCGAGAAAUGACCUGAGAAACAUUUUUGUUGAAAAAUAGCAGUUUAGACAAGGCACUCUAAACUUGUGUGUUAUAAGCCCUUUGUAUGGUUCCCCGGGAGUUUACUGUAUCAUUAUCUUUAGAAAGCAGAAUAUUUUGGUGCAAAAUUUCUUGAUCAGGGAUACCAAGUCAAUUAUAUAAAUCUAUAGAAAGCAAGCUUCCUUCAUGUUUAGAAUGAAAUUUCUUUUUAAAGAAAAGCAAAUAAAUGAGAAUUGCAUUUGUCAUUGUACAUUCGAGAAAUGACUUGAGAAAUAUUUCUGUUGAAAAAUAGCAGUUUAGACCAGUAAUUCUCAACUUGUAUGUCACCAUCACUUUGGGGAUCACAUAUCAGACAUCCUGCAUAUCAGAUAUUCCAUGGAUUACACAUUAUAAUUCGUAAUAGUAGCAAAAUUACAGUUUUGAAAUAGCAGCAAAAUAAUUUAAUGGUUAGGGAUCAACACAAGAUGAGGAAUUAUAUUAAGACAUCACUGGAUUAGGAAGGCUGAGAACCACUGGUUGAGACACUACUUCCUUAAGAAAUCCCAACCUGUCACCUACUUAAGAAUCUUGGUCAGCAGUAGAAUCUACAAGCAAGAACUUGUUUUGCUCACCUAAACCUAGAAUCAAAGAAGCAGAGGUCUGGAUGUGCCAGUAAUGAAACAAACCUUCUGUUUGUUCAAAUUACCUUUCUGCACUUCUAUUCCAUACUAUUACCUGCAAUGACAGAACUAUACUCCACUCCUCAACCCCCUUCUUUCCCUCUAAAGAGGUCAGCAUCUAUGUGACACAGUCAGACAGGGAAUCUCUCAUAACUCCCCUCUGAGGAGCUCUACCCAGCAGCUGAGGGAAACAGAUAUAGAAACCCAUAGCCAAAAAUUGGAUGGAGCUCAGGGACUCUUAUGAAAGAGUAGGACGAAGGAUUCAAGGUCCUGAAGAAGAUAAAAACUUCACAGGAAGAUCAACAGAGUCAACCAACCCGGACCAUUUGGAACUAUCAAAGACUGAGUCACCAACCAACAAGCAAACACAAGAUGUACCUUGAACUCUGGCACAUAUGUAGCAGAUGUGGAGCUCAAUCUCUACGUGGGUUCCCCAACAUGUGCUAUCCAUAAAGUGGUUGACUGCCUCUGCAAACCCUUCUCCAACUGGGCUGUCUUAUCUGGCUUCAAUGGGUGAAGUGCCUAACCAUGAGGGGACUUGAUGAGCCCAGUUGGAGGGAACCCAGGGGACCCCCUAACCCUCUCAAAGGAGAAGGGGAGGAGCACUGUGAGGUAUGAAAAGUUGGGGAGCAGUGUUCAGAAUGUAAAUGAAGCAAUGAAUGAAUGAACACAUAAUAAUAAUAAUAAUAAUAAUAAUAAUAAUAGUAAGUAUAAAAAGUACCCCCCCAAAACAACGAAACAAAAAACAAAGUGCUCUUCCUAGAAAUAAAAAGCCAUCAAAAAAGGGCAGGGCCAGAAAGUACCUCUUCCUGGUUGUAUAAUUUGGAGAAUUGGUACUAUUAUUGCAUAGUAAGUAAUGUUCUAGUAUGCAUGUAUACCUCUGCUUACAAGCCCACCUGAAAUACGGUGAACUUUCUUAUUUGAACACCCUGUUUCACAUGUGAGAGGUUCUCACAGUUUCACAAUCCACUACCUUAAGUGUAUAAAUAUUCAAAUAUUUAAAUUAAUUAUACACAGCAGCAUUUGGUGGACAGAAAAGUUGCUGUGUUCAUGAAACACCACAAUUGACUUUCAUGCUUUACUGAGGAAAGAGAAAUAAGAAAAAUGAUAGAUUCCAAGGUGUUCUUACAGUUUUACAGUAUUAUGAAUGUAUAUGGCUAUCUUCAGGCACUGAUCUUUAAUUUCUUCCCCAUGAUGUGGUUCUAGGUUUCUGGAAAUGAAAACCAGACACACUUCGCAAGCAUUAAGGCAAGGAGGAAACAAUCAGUAUCUUAGUCUAUUGUUACUUAGCAUGCCUACUCUCAGAGCAUUGUCUUUCUCUUGAUGUCUGGGGUCAUAGACCCACAGUCUACUGAGAGGCAAACUCAGAACAUCUCCCAAUUAAAAUAUAAAAAUAAUAUUUGUUCUAGAGUCACUGCUGUUCCCUGGCAAGUUAAAAGUGUUAGAAUAUAAGUAGGUUAGGCAAAUUCUCAAUUAUUUUACAUGGGGUUAAGAAGAUGGCAACACCUAGUAAAAGUGAAAGUGCUGGGUUUUUUUUCUGGGUUUGUUUUUGUUUUUGUUUUUUAGCUAGUGAAAGAAAAAAUUUGUGUAUCUACUGGACAGAGUGCAACAUCCAAGUCUCUGAUAACCUAUUAUAGGUCAGUGAUGUACUAGCCAUUUUAGACUAUUGUUAUUUAUAAGGGAUAUUUUUUGUUAAGUAUGAUUUAAGACGUGUAUUUCAUAAAACACAUUAUUAUCACUAUUAAUACUUAUUCUACUAUUAUUUCAUAAGGUAUAGUCAGAAAUGAAAUCUAAGGGCUUAUUUGUAAUGCCAAACCAAAGCCCAUAUGAUAUAUGAGGAAGUUAACUUCCAACACAAGGUCUUCAGACUGUGUCUUUGUGAUGAAUCCACUAACUUGUCAGACUUUUAUUUAUCAUACCUCUUAUCCCAAGGUUCCAAAUGUUCAUAGUUGAAGGAAUCUGUCAUCAUCAGUUUAUUUCAAGCAAGUACAUAUGAGUUGCUAGAGGAAUGUUGAGUGUUGGGAUGCAAAAACUGUCUACUUUUAAAACAGAUACUCUGACAAUGACUGAUUCUUCACUCCAAUUUAUUUCUUGUUCAGCAUUUAUUUUAUCUCUUCAUGACCAAGUGUGAUUAGUUUGCUGAUGUUGUGAAUAUUUUACCUGAAUCCUGACUCUUUUCAGCAAUGAUACAUAGCAUAUGCUGUAUGGGAAAAAGACAAGCUUCUGUUAUUGUAUAUCCGUACUUCUGAAGCACCAGUAUGUCUCUUACUGUGAACCAGAGCCAAGGCAAUUAUGGGUGCAGGGCUACAACUGAGAGGAAUGAAGAAGGCUUUGAACUAUUUUCUAUUUUAGCUUCCAAAUAUAUUUUCUCCCUUCACCCAUUUUUCCCAAUUUGAAACACUGGGUUUUGGGUUUUGUUGGAAUCAGAUAAUCCUCAGUGAAUCAUACUUCUGUUCUCCAAAGUAUUUUGGUGAAUGGUCCUCUCUUAUUUUUCCUUUCUUCUAUGAAUACCCAUCCCUCUCCAGAAUGCCAUUCUCAGUUAUUAUUGGAGUCUUUCUCUUUUAGAGAUCAAAUCACUAUAUCACUUCCUUUCUGUCCUGGCAUAAAUCCCAAACUAUGUGUUUUCAAGAAAGCCUUUUCUCAAUACACUUCUGAGAUACUUAUUUCCUUUUUCUGUGACUUCUUAUUUUCAACUGUCUGUUUCUAAAUGUGCUGUCUCAGUUAAGAACCCAAACAAAUUUCAAUCCCUUUUCUAUGGUUUCACUCUGUAAAAUGUCUAUCAUCCACAGACUUACUCCAUAUUUUCUCUAUUUUCAAAGUUGGGAUGAUUGCAAUCUAGUUACCAGAAACUUCUGCUGUAAAAAAUCUAAUGUGUAGGCAGUAAUUGUCAUUUGUCUGACAUAAUAAACUUGUUCCCGUGCAGCAUAGAUUCCUGGCACAGGCUUAGUGCUAAAAUGGGUGCUGGACAGUAAAUAAACAUGUCCAAUGGCAAUUGAACAACUUAUUAGAAGAGAUCAAGCCAUAAUAGGUGGCUUUUACAUAUAGUCUAUUGUGAUAAUUCAUAUAUAGCAAAGAACAAUGUGUAUAUAUUAUUCAUUAGUAAUAUAAAUAAAGGUCUUUAAGUAUUUUGCAUUAUAAGAUUGGGUGAUCUUAGAGUCAAUGAUAUUAAGGGAGAAUCCAGAGCAAUAUGGAGUCAUAAAGAAGCUAUAAGUGUUGAUAGUUGGAGACUUAGAGGUACACAUGCAGAGACCCAUUUCUUCUAACAACCUAGUGGGUUUGGGUCUUUUCUGAAAUCACUGAAAAGCAUGGAAAUAAUAUUUAUUUUUCUUUUUUCAAUUUUCUUUCAUUAUACGACUCAAACUUCAGUUGGAUUUAUUUUUGUUUUAAAAGGAUUUUGCCCUUAUGGAUAUCUAGGUUAGCUAAACACCCAUCAGUUUGAUGAAAUAAUUCAUUUAAUACAAAAGUUCUGAGAAAUUACAUGAAGCAGGACAGCUGUAGAAACCCAAAAUGAAACUCUCCAGUAUUGGAGUGAGCAGAUUUAUAUCUUUAAAAAUAUUGGUGAGAAAUUUUCCAAAAAAGUUGUUUCUUUAUUGGUAUUUGGCUGACUUUCAGAACCUCCAACAAGAUGUUCCUUUUUUAGUGCUGGUGAGGUUAUAUACACAUUGUCUUAGUCAGUAUCAUAACCACAGUUACUCAUCAGGUUUAUAAAAGUAUUUAUUUCGUUACGUUUCUCUGAAUCUAAGAAAGAAGGAAAAGCAUUGUUUGUUAUAGUUGAACUCACUUAGCCCUUGCAUGCCCUUUUCAUUUUAUAGCAUGCAUGCCUUCUGCAUUACCAGAAGUACACAGAAAAUAACUAAUCAAUAUUAUAAUAUUUAUAAUAAUGGCAUUGUUUCAUAGGGUACUAGGUAUCUCAUUGUGUAUGGCCCAUAUUUCUGGGUACAAUCAGUAAAUUCUUAUUUUUCCCUUGAAAGCUAUGCAUAUAAGUAUUAGAAUCAAGCGAUAGUAUAGCACCAAUCUUUAUGUUGCCCUGUGUGGCUUUCUGAUGGACCAGCCAUGAGCAACUGUAAAUUAACUACAAUAUCUGCAUUUUACAACACAGCAUGUCUGACUUCACUUCUAUGAUAGCUGAGCUAUGAGCUUAAAUAUGAGACAAUAGUGUCUAUGUCUCCACUAUGGGUAUAUUAUGCUAUAUUAAGACUUGCAUAAGUGACAAGCAUGGUGGUGGCACAUGCAUUUAAUCCCAGAUCUCAGGAAGCAGAACCAAGAGGAUUUCUGUGAGUCUGAGGUCAUCCUGGACUAAAAGCAAGUUCCAGGACAGCUAGACCUUUUACAUAGGAAAAACCCAAUUUUGGUUUUGAGUUGCUAUUUUAUUAUUAUAAAUAUCUAGGGCAAAAUUUUUACAUAUGUCAAAAUAAGUGACAUUUCUUCACAUAUCCUUAAUCAAUCUCAUUUAUGGGGUUUGCCUCUUACAUAAACUCAGGACCACUGUAAAGAGGUUCCCAAGUUUAUAGGCAAUUCCUAACAAUAGGAACCUCUAAUGCACAGGCGAAGAUUCCCUUCACAUGGUUCAGUAAUUUCCCCAUUGCUGUUUGUUAUAUAUCAUGUAUCCAGAUACAUGAUAAAAGAGUCUGCCUUUUAAGUUAUGGGAGUAGAACAUUAUACUCACCUAUACUCCUCUCCUUGUGAAAAGGAACAUUUGUACUUCUGGGAAGUGCAUCAUGAUAUGAGGUGCAUGUCCUCCCACUGGGGCAGCUGCUGUGACCAUGUUCCUUUUCCUUUAUCUCACCCAGGUUAUUUAGAACGGUUGUUCCAGGAGCCAGAGUCCUCUCCAUAAGGGUGAAAUAAUGAGGUCUCACAAUAAACUAAAACUGAGUCUUCUUCAAAUAAUUUCAGGGAGUUUUCAAUUCGAAAGGUUACAAGAGAAAUAUGUGACAAGGGGGGCAAGCACAGAGGGUCUCUGUCAUUUUUCAUGGUUGCAAAUCGCAUUUGAUAUAUGACUCUUGUAAGCUAAAAAUAUGUAGUUCAAAAUUCUGAGGAAAGUCAGCUGUUACAAAUUAUAGGUUGGACUUUUGUUAGAAAUUUAAAAGAUGAUUUUGAGGUCAGAUGUUCAAAUGUGAUCAUCACAGUGUAAUAGUAUAUAAGGGAUGAUUUCCGGUUUUCACAUAGUAAUGGCCAGUAUGUGAUACAUACUGUUCACUUGAGUAACUUUGGUUACAUUUGACUCAUACAUAACUGAGCAUGUUUAUAAUGAUGAUUAUAAAAAGGCACAACAACUAAAGAUGACCUCUCACUGUGGACACCAUCCUAUUGAAUGUUCCUUUGGCCUGACUAAAAAGGAAGAGACAGGUAAAUAAAUCCAUAUGAAUAGUAAUGUUCAUGGUCUCAGACAUCUCAGUGCAGAUGGAAUGGUAACAGCUUGAUCAUCGGCUUCAUUAUAAUGGGAGGAAUUUGAAAGAAGGCCUCUUUUCAGGAAACUGGAUAAUUAUAGAUAGGUUCUUCAAUGAUAGGUUCUUUGGAGCCCUAACUUUUCCUCCUGAAAUUUGACUUUAUACAAUAUGAGGAAAAGUCUAUUCUGAGAUAGGAUCUCCUAUAAUCAAUUCAUUACAGGUCUAAGGGCAAUUGGUGAAUAAUAAAUCAGAAACUCAAACUCUGAGUAUCAAAAUUUCCAUUUGAUCCCUAUAGUGUAUAAAUUUUGGUAUUGUAUUAGAGUUUUGAAUGGUUGCUACCAUUGAAAAAUGUGUUCAAAAAUUUCUCUAAACCAAUCAUAAUCAACAUCAAGAGGCCAAAGGCAUAUUUAGUCACACUAACCAGGUGUCAAAAUAUAUCUGAUUAAAGAAACAAUCCAAGUUGUAUUUCCUUUGCUUUGUUGGGUAAACCACCUUAAAAUGGUAUAAUUUCACACAUGGGUAUAAUUUAAUACUAGAUUUAUUAUAUCAAAAUUUAGUCUUGAUAGCUGAACCCAGUACCGAUAAAUUUUUAUUUUUAUCAUUUCACAACACUUGUUCUCAGUGGGAUAUUCUAAAUCCCAAUUGACAAAAGAUUCAGUCAUUGAGCUCAAAUACCCCACUUACAUUCUACUGACUUAAAAUGCAACAAUGAUUCUUCCCAUCCAGAAGGUCACAAUGAAAAGCUAUAUUUAUUUUACAAAAUGAAACAGUACCAAACACAAAACUCAACAAUAACAACAGCAGCAGCAGCAACAAAAACAACAACAACAACAACAACAACAACAACAACAACAACAGCAACAACACCAAACCCAGACUCUCAGGAUAAUCCUGUAUUCCUGUUUCAUUGCUAAGACUUAUCAAAGCUAGACAUAAAACAUGUCACAUUACUUUUUGGUAAUACCAUUUGCUAACAUUUAUUAUGGGAUUUAGGCAUGCAUAGGAUACUUCGCGCUAUGCCAACAGAUAAAUCAUAACCUAUCAUCUGAUUCACAGAAGAGUUUCUCUUAAUUUUUUAUAGUGUUCUGUUUGGAUACAUUAGUUUACUCAAUUUGUAAAUUUGAAAAAAAGAGAAUAGAGUAAUUAUAUCUCAGGCAUGGCCCUCUGAGAAUGAAAUAAAAGUUAGGAUGUAUACUAGAGAUAUUGCUUGAAGUUUUCCCAAACUCUAAAAAAGAAAGACAAAUUUAAUUGGAAUAUAAAACUAAGAUUAUGAGCAUGAACCACUGUAACCCCAAAGACACACUUCUCUUUGAAAAUGUCUUCAAUGUUUGUAAACAAUUGAAACCUUUUACUGUCCCUCAGUAUUUUUAUUGAAUAUGUCUGUGGUAUAUAAGCUCUAAUGUGUGUAAGCAAAUAUUACUUCUAUUUUGUUGAUGCUCAUGCAAUUCUAUAGCCAUUACCUGAGCAGAUUUUCAGAUGGUCUUUUUUUUUCAUCUUUAUUAACUUGAGUAUUUCUUAUUUACAUUUCAAUUGUUAUUCCCCUUCCCAGUUUCUGGGCCAACAUCCCCCUAGGCCCUCUCCCUCCCCUUUUGUAUGGGUGUUCCCCUCCCCAUCCUUCCCCCAUUUCCACCCUCCCCUCAAAUAAUCACUUUCUCUGGGGGUUCAGUCUUGGCAGGAUCAAGGGCUUCCCCUUCCACUGGUGCUCUUACUAGGCUAUUCAUUGCUAGGUAUGCAGUUAAGAGUCCAGGGUCAGUCCAUGAAUAGUUUUUGGGUAGUGGCUUAGUCCCUGGAAGCUCUGGUUGGUUGGCAUUGUUGUUCAUAUGGGGUCUCGAGCCCCUUCAAGCUCUUUCAGUCCUUUCUAAGAUUCCGUCAACAAGGGUCCCGUUCUCACUUCAGUGGUUUAAUGAUGGCAUUCGCCUGUGUAUUUGCUGUAUUCUGGCUGUGUCUCUCAGGAGAGAUCUACAUCCGGUUCCUGUCAGCCUGCACUUUUUUGCUUCAUCCUUCUUAUCUAGUUUGGUGGCUGUAUAUGUAUGGGCCACAUGUGGGGCAGGCUCUGAAUGGCUGUUCCUUCUGCCUCUGUUCUAAACUUUGCCUCCCUAUUCCCUCCCAAGGGUAUUCUUGUUCCCCUUUUAAAGAAGGAGUGAAGCAUUCGCGUUUUGGUCAUCUUUCUUGAGUUUCAUGUGUUCUGUGCAUCUAGGAUAAUUCGAGCAUUUGGGCUAAUAUCCAUUUAUCAAUGAGUGCAUACCAAGUGUGUUUUUCUGUGAUUGGGUUACCUCACUCAGGAUGAUAUUUUCCAGUUCCCUCCAUUUGCCUAUGAAUUUCAUAAAGUCAUUGUUUUUGAUAGCUGAGUAAUAUUCCAUUGUGUAGAUGUACCACAUUUUCUGUAUCCAUUCCUCUUUUGAAGGACAUCUGGGUUCUUUCCAGCUUCUGGCUAUUAUAAAUAAGGCUACUAUGAACAUAGUGGAGCACGUAUCUUUGUUAUAUGUUGGAGCAUCUUUUGGGUAUAUGCCCAAGAGAGGUACAGCUGGGUCCUCAGGUAGUUCAAUGUCCAAUUUUCUGAGGAAGCUCCAGACUGAUUUCCAGAAUGGUUGUACCAGUCUGCAAUCCCACCAACAAUGGAGGAGUGUUCCUCUUUCUCCACAUCCUCGCCAGCAUCUGCUGUCACCUGAGUUUUUGAUCUUAGUCAUUCUCACUGAUGUGAGGUGAAAUCUCAGGAUUGUUUUGAUUUGUAUUUCCCUAUGACGAAAGAUGUUGAACAUUUCUUUACGUGUUUCUUAGCCAUUCAGCAUUCCUCAGCUGUGCAUUCUUUGUUUAGCUCUGAACACCAUUUUUAAAUAGGGUUAUUUGUCUCCCUGCAGUCUAACUUCUUGAGUUCUUUGUAUAUUUUGGAUAUAAGCCCUCUAUCAGUUAUAGAAUUGGUAAAGAUCUUUUCCCAAUCUGUUGGUUGUCAUUUUGUCCUAACAACAGAUGGUAUUUGAUUGCAGAAAAAUCUCUUCUUAGCUCAACAUGCCUCUAGUUGACAGCUGAAUAAACUAGCUCACAUAACAGAUCAAAACCUCAGGUCUAUUACUAUUUUUAAAUGACAGAAAUAUACCAUCAUGGUAACCGUAACAAAGACAACCAUAAUAAGGCAUUAUCUGAUUUCUCAGGAGCAGAAAACCAUGCCUGGCACUGGAAGCAUGAAGUCCCAUGAAGUGAUGGUUUUUAGAGAGGGUCCUGUCACUGUUUCACUAAACAAUUGUGAUUCCCAGCUCUAUUGUAAAUAUUUAAGCUAAUAUUCACAGAUAUUGUAGCCCUUACCCAUUCAUCAAAGAAGGUUCUCUUUGCAGUUGAUGAGACUAUUAGAGAAAACCACAGCUACUCAAGGUAAAUAGAAAAAAAUAUUCCAUGACAAAGAGCUGCAGGGCAUACAAUAACAUAGUAACCCCAGAACCAUACAUAGGCUCUGAACAUUGGGUAAAAUAGUUAGAAAGAUUGUUGAACAGAGGAUCAGAAACUUUAAGACUUGGUCUCUUAGAAAUGAUAGGGAGGCUUCACUUUUGAUAGUCCAACAAUAUCAUUGCUUAAAUAAUUUCUGAACCAAACGUCGUUAGUUACAUUAAUGCAGAAUGAGGGAAUUUCAUGACACCAACCUUCUCAAUAAAAAACUCUAACCACACAAAGACUACUGAGAGUGAGUAUAUUAGUUUUUCCCAAAAAUGAACUCUAUAGAUUAUAAGCCAAUCACAGUUGGUUAUCUCAGAAAUAGUAUGUAUACUACCAAGAAUAAUGAACUCAUCAAGUUGUUUGAAAAUAUUUAUGGAUUUGUUUCUAUGUAAUUAUAACAGUUGAAGAAAAUGAGGCAACAAUUAGAGCUUAAAUGGGAGAUUAAAAGGACACAACAAUAAAGCAAGGGAAAGGAUGGAAGAAAUAAUAUAGUUGAAUUUUAAUUUUAAAAAUAAAAAUAUCAUGGUGUUGAAGCAGAGGCCUCAGUGAUUAAGAAUACCUCUUUCACAGUCAAGAGGACCUACAUUUAGAUACCAAUAUUUUAUGAGAGCAAGAUAAACAGAUCAUGAGAUCUACUUGGUAUGUAUAACAAAGUUAUGCAUGAAGAAGUCCCAAGCUUUAUAUUGAGGAAGAGAAACCCGCCUCUCAGAAAUGGAGAGUGAGAGAGAAUGAGGAACUCUGGUAGUCUAUGUAUUUGAUUAGGCAUACAUACCAGGUGAAACUCAUGUACAUGUAUGAAGUGACCCUCCAUUUGUCCACAUGGAAGAAUAAAAUGAUAGUUAAAUUAUUGUUCUUUAUGUAUUUUUUUCCUGUUGAAUCCUGAUUUCGUAUGCUGUAUCAAAGAAACCUUUGAGCUUACCAGAUUUCUCUCAUAUAUAUAUAUAUAUCUACUCUCACUCAAGGGAGUGUUUGAUGAAGGAAAAUAUGCAAGUAGAUUCAGAAGAAUCCUGAGGGUUGAUGAUGCAAGGACUUUCCCUACUUUUAUACAUGCCACCAUAUACACUGAUUGACUGUUUAUGUUUACAUCUUCUUCACAAUCCAACUUUUCCUGUGGCGAUUGAUGUGACGUUAUGUUGGGUGGUAUUAUGAAUAUACCCUCAGUGUUGGUCCCUUUUUCAUUGAUGAGGGACAACAUACCCAGAGACGAAAAUGGGAAAUACCUGUCAGGCUAUAUACAGCAUAAGCACUAAUUGCUUCUUGAGAACCAGAACAAUAAUGUGCACAGCUACAGUGUAAGGGCUAGCAUAGACAGAGUGGACCUUGAACUGGUUUUGUGCCUUAAUAUAUUUUUGGACUCAACCCACCCUAACUUUCACUCUGAAAGCUCAGGCAACAUUUUUUUUUCAGAUUUUGCACACUAGUAAAGAGAUUAAAUCCAACUUUGCCAGUGGAUGGAUCCUGGUAAAUAGUCCUUUCUUACCUUCUUAUUGUAUUGGCAAUGAUUUGAGUCACAAUUCUUUCUCCACAUGGUGAUAAGAUUUGAAAGGGUGGUGUAUUUAAGAAGCAGAAUUUUGUCCUUAGGAAAGUCAGAGAAGAACCAUCUUAAACCUACAAGAAUUUCUGUGGGGAGGUUUUCAUCAUCACAAAUGGAAGCAAGAUCUUUGACAAAUAGUUUUCCUGUCAUAUCAAAUGUCAGAACUGUGCACACUUGGUCCUGGUGGGGCACAGAACCCCUGCGGAACAAUGAAGAUAUGAAAGACCAUCCUUUCUUAACUCUUCUUUCCUUUGCAUUUUAGGAGGAGAUGAGAUCAUUACAUGGAGUAGUGUAAUUAAUAUAGCCAUUUUAAAAACAGAAUUUCAAUUGCAUAAUAUCCAUUUUAUAAUUGGUUAAUCAUCCUAUAAUGUCUAUAUGUUUUUCUUCCCUAUACUUUACACUCUUAAUAAUCUUUGAAACAUGAUCUAGUGUUCACCACUGGGAAUUCUCAAAAGAUGAUGCUGUCUAACUCUGUACUACAUCAUGAGAUACUUGAUACCUAGGUUGCCCAAGCUUCCUGAGUUAUGUACAGUCAAUUAGUUGACUUAGUGGUCAUACCCUCUUUCAUAGCCAAGUUCACUUGUAUUCACAUCAAGCAGUUUUCUGUUGUCCUCAAAUGUCAUAAUGAAUCUCUUCCCUUUCUUAGUUUUCUUGACAAAUAGAACCAUUGUCAAAUUUCCCUCAUCAGCAGAAUGUAAAAUUCAUGAAAAAGUAUACAUGGCUAUUUUUUUCAGACUCUGAACCAUUGCUCCCACACUGUUAGUUAAAGGUUGAGAUCAAAGUUUUUUCUUCUUCCUCUAAGAUUUCUGUUAGAGUAUUGGACCACAAUGAAGUAUUAAAUAAGUUACUUAAAAUGAAAGCAUUAAAAGUAAAUGAAAGGAGAUAUAUAACAAAAUAUAAUAUAAAAUCUCUGUGUAGAACAUCCUAGAGGGCUGCCUAAUACAAAAUACAUUUAAAUGUUUCUUGGUUAUUAGAGAUUUCUCUUUUUAACUCAGUAUCCCAUUUUUAAUUGGGUCUUUGGUUUCUUAGUGUCUAACUCCUCGAGGUUUUUAUAUGUUUUGGAUAUUUUUUAGAAAAGGAUAGCUAAAACAAUACUGUACAUUAGAAGAACUUUUGGGAACAUCACCAUUCCAGAGCUCAAGCUGUACUAAAAAGAAAGUAUAAAAAUGCAUAGAAAUAGACAACUUAAUCAAUAGAAUCAAUUCAAAAACCCUGAUAAAACCCACACACCUAUGCACACUUCAUCUUUGAUAAAGAAACCAAAGCUAUACAAUAAAAAAAACUGUGCAUUCAACAAAUGGCAGUUUUUUAAACUGGAUGUCUGCAAGUAGAAGACUGCAAAUAGAUCCAUAUUCAUCACCCUGCAUGAAACUCAAGUCCAAGUGGGUCAAAGACCUCAACAUAAAAUCAGAUACACUAAAUAUAGUAAAAGAGAAAGGGAAAACAGCCAUAGUUUUUAAACUAUGCAUUAGUUCAAGAGACAAUUUUUUUCAAUAGAAGACCAAUUGUUCAGGCUCUAAGACCAACAAUUGAUUAAUGGGACCUGAAGAAACAGAAAAUCUUCUGUAAGGAAAAGAACAUGGUCAAUCGGACAAAAUGGCCACAUACCCAUUGGGGAAAUAUUUUCAUUAUUAAUUAUUGGUUGGAGACAAAUAAUGGAAGAGACUCUGUUUAUUAGUUUGGAGAAUAUUCAUAAUGCUAAAUACAAAUUUACUAUAUCAUCCAGGUAUAAUACUCCUUAAACUAUGUCUAAAAGACUCUGAAAAUAUUCUACAAAUACUUGCACAAGAUUAUUUAUUGCUCAUUUAUUUACAACAUUAAGAAUAUUGAAGCAAUGUAAAUAUCCUUGAACUGAUAGUUAAAAUGUGAAAAUAUGUAUAUACACACACACACAUAUAUACAUAUAUAUAUAUAUUCUAUUCAGCUGUAAAAAUUGAAAGAAAACUUGAAAGAAAAUGGAUAGCCCCAACAACACAGUAUAUUAAAUGAGAUAAAUGAGAUAUACCAUGCCCAAAAAACAAACACGGAAUGUUUCCUCUCAUCUAUGAUAGCCAACUCCAAGAAUUCAUAUGUAAGCAUAUUUAGGUGUGAAGUAAAAAUUCUAGAGAUGGAAAUAGCAAGGCAAGUGAUAAGGAGGACAAAUUGGAAGGAAUGGGGUAGAAUAUAAAUGAAAAAAAGUUUAAGGUAUCAAAAAAGAAUGAGUAGAUGGGAAAAUGACUUCAUCUUAAUUUUAAAAAUAUAUAAAAGUAAUAUUCCUCUUAUUUACUGAAAUUACAUAUAAUAUAUUAAGGCAAAUAUGCAUAUAUGUGUGUGUAUACAUUUAGGUAUAUAUUUCUUAUAUAUAGUAUAUAUGUAUAUAUGUAAAAUGUAUAUAUAGAGAAAUAUAUGUACUUAUUAUAUUUAAGUAUAUAUUUAUAAACAUACAUCUUAUGACACUUGGGAUGACAAUGCUCCCCACCAAUCCCAUAGACUGUCUAAUAAAACCACCAGUGUUUGAUGAAAAAAAGAUACUCUAUUGUUUUGUUUGCUUUUGAGGAGGAGAGUGAAGAUGCUCAAAACAGUGUAGGCUAAUGCUAUUGCUCUUCAUUGUAUUCUAGAGGUUGAAUGUAUUUACCAAUUUUUGAAGACACAAUGUAUUUUAGACAUAGGACUUGGAGCAUCUAGAUCUGAAAACCUCCUUGUUGAUGAUAUUUCAUAGUAUAGGAAGGUUUUCUGCAGGCUCAUAAGAGAAGAGAAGCCAAUCUUCUCAUAGAUAUAUCUAUGAACUACAUAAAUAACUAGCAUGACAAGUUGUCUUUAGGGUCUUAUGGUUGCAUUCAUAUCUUGGUGGAAAGUACCUGCCUUUUAAUUGGGUUUAAGCCCAAUUCAACAGAAUGGCGUGGUGUUAGAAACCUAGCCAACUACCCAGGGAUAAAGAUGUCAUCGAUCUUGAGGGGAAUUUCCAACCUCCAAAUAAUAAAUUGCCAUAAUUGUUAGCUGUAUGAUAAUAUACACUUCUGUACCCAGAUAAGCAUAACACUCACCUUAAUUAAAAAGUCGGGGCUGGGAAUUUAGCUCAGUGGUGCAAGCGCAAGGCCCUGGGUUCGGUCCUCAGCUCCGAAAAAAAGAAAAAAAAGUCAUCAAAACAAGACAAUUACUCAAAUUACAGUAAGAUUUUUGUGUGUGUAUUACUUCUACAUCUAAGACUUGGGAGGAGGUAUGGAAAGAGUGCAGAGACAGGUAAGACAGAGUGAUACAAAGUCUACUGUGAGUUUCUUUUCCUUCCAAAUAGCAAAGACGCUUUAUUUAUGAUACUUCACCAAUAUGGAUGCCUAUACAAACACUAUCAAUAUACUUUCUAAUGUUGAAGGGGGAGAUCUCAUGGAGUUCCUUCUCAACAAUAAAUUAAAGGAAACUUAUGAAUGGAGAGAGGAAAUAUUUGUCUUCCCAAAUGAUGAACAUCAAAGUUUGUUAAAGAUAAUUUGGACUUGAAAAUGACUUUAAAAGACUGUGAAACCAAGAAAUUUGAGAAUGAACAACAAAGAAAAUUCAUGGAUUUAUCAAAGGUUAUCUGUGUAAAUUUAUGAAUAGAUAUAGACACUGGAUCAUUUGUGGUUCUUUUGUUUUGUUUGUAAAAAUGAUGCAAGCUUAAAUAUGUCUGUUCAGGGGAAAUUUCAACUAGGACAAUGCUUUCAUUAGAUUAGCCUUUAGGCAACUCCAGAGGUCAUUUAUUUUAUUUGACAAUUGGUAGGCAAAAUAUGUGUAAUGUGGCAACCCCCAGGCAGAUGGUUAGACAGUCUAUGGGAUUGGUGGGGAGCAUUGUCAUCCCAAGUGUCAUAAGAUGUAUGUAUAUAAAUAUAAAAUGUAGGUUCAAGAAGCCAUUAGAUGUAUGCCCAAUAAGCAGUAUUCUUCCAUAGUUUCUGCUUCAGUUUCUUGCUUUUAACUUCUUGUCCUUACUUUCCUUCAUUCUGGACUGCAAGAAUAAGCUGAAAUAAAGCCUUUAUUACCCAAGUAGUUUUUGGUCACAGUGCUUUAACACAAUAGAAACCUAGUAAGACAAACAUGAAGCUGCAGGAUUGUUAUAUUUGUUUGUAUAUAAGUUCUAAUACUCAAAUAUGUAAAUAUUGUACAAGAAGCAAGUAUUCUGUGUCAAAUAGGUUAUUAGUUAUAGAAGCUCAUUCUUUUACAUAUUAUAUAUGGAAAGUAGGUCUUGUACAUUUUUAUAAUUUUCGUAAGGACCUUAUAACUUCAUAUGAUUGGAAGAAACAUUGAUGAAAUUAAAAGUGCAGCUUGGAAAGACUGGAUCAUUUCUUUCCAGAUACGAUAUUAAAUAUAUUAUAUGUCAUAUGAUAUUAUACUGUCCUAGAGAGAAGUGCUUAAUUAUAUAUAAUUACUCCUAUUGAUUUAUAGACAAUAUCAAAGAGAUUGCAGUGUGGAGAAAAAAAUAAGGGUUUAUUGAAGUGGCCAAUUAGAAUUGUUAUAUUUUGCUUGAAUGUUGCGAUGUUUAUGUUUAUCACCUUUAAUAAAUUUGUAAUUUAAAGUGCAUUAUAUUACUUAUUCUUACUAAACUUUUAACCUUAUGUAUCACUUUUUUAUUGCAUCGUGGUAAUCCUAUCAUGCCUGGAUACAGAAAUGAGAUUACGUUAAGAUUUAAUUAUUUGUUAUCUAGAAGAACCUCUUUUUCUCUCUAACAUCCAAUAGCAAAAAUUCUACAGAAUUUUAAGUCCCUCACUUGUAUAGUAUAUGAGUAUAUAGUUUUUGCCUAAAUUUUUGCAUUGUUGAUCCAUUUGAAAUAAUUAAAUUGGCACUCAAAAUUUGUAACAGGUUCAAUCCUUUGGAAUAUAUGUGUAAUGUAUCCAUUAUAUCGGCUGUUCCCUUGGGUUGUACAAAAACCCCUUUAAUCAGUGGCAUUGUGCUUUGUGUUUGUAGAGUAGGAUAGUUUUCUCAGAACACCAUGUACUUGUGCCUUCUAUGUGUGUAUUCUGUAGGUGUAAACUAAGCUGUACACAUCCCGUCUAAAACACAGUCACAGAAGAUACCUUAAGCAAUUUUUAUGCCAGCAUCACAGGUAACAUGUUAUUACCACCUGUUUAACAGGUGGCAUACAUCUAGGCUGUUGCCAAUUUCUAAAUAUAAUAAAUAGAACAGAAAUUAACAUGUACAAGUAAACAUCCAUAAGAUACAGGGUUAAUUGAAUAUAUGCCCAAUAUUGGUAUAGCAAAAUCUUUUAACAUAUUUAUUUUCAUCCUGUUGAGAAAAUUCCAUGUUGAAUUUCACAAUGACUCAAAUUUUUAUUCCCACUGACAACAAAUAAGUGUUCCUCCUUUUCUAUCAACCAUUUUAUCAUUUUCUGUCAAUAGUUUUACUAAUAUUAGACAUUCUGAUUAUUAGAUAGAAUUUUUAAAUAGUUUUAAUUUGCAUACUCCUCAGCCCUGAUGGAGAUGUCCAAAGUCAAAGCCUUCUCAUCAAGAUUCAGAAAUCUAUGGGGAAGAGGAGACAAAACUAUUUACUCACACAUUCCAGUCACAAAAUAAGACAAUGUUUCUUUUUCCAUCUUUAUUAAAUUGGGUAUUUCUUAUUUACAUUUCAUAUGUUAUUCCCUGUCCCCGUUUCCAAGCCAACAGCCACCUAACCCCUCCCCCUCCUCUUCUAUGUAGGUAUUCCCCUCGCAAACCUCCCCCCCCCCAUUACCUCCUUCCCCACAAGAAUUCCGUUCACUGGGGGUUCAGCCUUGGUAGAACCAAGGGCUUCCCCUUCCACUGGUGCCCUUACUAGACUAUUCAUUGCUACCUAUGAGGUUGGAGCCCAGGGUCAGGCCAUGUAUAGUCUUUGGGUAGUGGCUUAGUCCCUGGAAGCUCUGGUUGGUUGGCAUUGUUGUUCAUAUGGGGUCUCAAGCCCCUUCAGCUCUUUCAGUCCUUUCUCUGAUUCCUUCAACGGGGGUCCCGUUCUCAGUUCAGUGGUUUGCUGCUGGCAUGUGCCUAUGUAUUUGCCAUAUUGUGUCAACUAUGGAGAGACAUUUGAAACAUGGGAAAUCCACAAAACAGCAAUUUGUUUUUCUGUGGAGUUGAGCAAGGCCCUGUUGAUGCUGUUGGGAAUAAGUGGAUGUGACAAAGCACAAGGACUAUGCCUUGCUGAGGCAAUCUCAACUGGCAUUACAACUUAGUGGGAGAAACAGUGGAUGUGACAAGGUACAAGGAUUAUGCUUUGCUAAUACAAUCUCAGUUGGCUUUACAACUUGGUGGAAGAACCCAGGGUUCCUUCUCAGGAUAGUAAUGAACAUCUUCCAAAGUGGUUCUUAGAAUUUUUGACAGGGCUAAUUCUGAUUUCAUGGAUCAGCAGCUUGCCUACUGGAAAUUGUUGAUCUAUUUGGGAACUCUCUUCACUUGAAUCAUUGUUUUCACUACACCAAUUCUUUUGAUGGACAUUUGUUAAGUUUAAGAGAAAGAUAGCGUUUUCAACAAAUGGUGCUGGUUCAACUGGAGGUCAGCAUGCAGAAGAAUGCAAAUUGACCCAUUCUCAUCACCCUGUACAAAGCUUAAGUCCAAGUAGAUCAAGGACCUCCACAUCAAACCAGACAAACUCAGAAUAAUAGAAAAAAAACCUGGGAACGUGUGGGCACUGGGGAAAAUUUCCUGAACAAAACACCAUGACUUAAACUCUAAGAUCAAGAAUCGACAAAUGGGACCUCAUAAUACUGCCAAACUUCUGUAAGGCAAAGGACACUGUCACUAGGACAAAAUGGCAAACAACAGAUUGGGAAAAAAUCUUUACCAAUCCUACAACUGAUAGAGGGCUAAUAUCCAAAAUAUACAAAGAACUCAUGAAAUUAGAUUCCAGAGAGCCAAAUAACCCUAUUAAAAAUGGGGUACAGAGCUAAACAAAAAAUUCGCAGCUGAGGAAUAUCGAGUGCCUGAGAAGUACCUAAAGAAAUGUUCAGCAUCCUUAGUCAUUAGUGAAGUACAAAUCAAAACAAACCCGAGAUUCCAUCUCUCACCAGUUAGAAUGGCUAAGAUCAAAAACUCAGGUGAUAACAGAUGCUGGCGAGGAUGUGGAGAGAAAGAGGAACACUCCUCCAUUGUUGGUGGGAUUGCAAGCUGGUACAACCACUCUGGAAAUCAUUUUCAACGUUCCUCGGAAAAUUGGAUAUUCCACUACCUGAGGACCCAGCUAUACCUCUCCUGGGCGUAUACCUAAAUGAUAACUCCAACACACAACAAAGACACAUGCUCUACUAUGUUCAUAGCAGCCUUAUUUAUAAUAGCCAGAAGCUCAAAAGAACCCAGAUGCCCUUCAACAGAGAAAUGGAUACAGAAAAUCUGGUAUAUCUAUAAAAUGGAGUACUACUACUCAGCUAUCAAAAACAAUGACUUCAUGAAAUUCAUAGGCAAAUGGAUGGAACUAGAAAAUAUAAUCCUGGGUGACAUAGCCUAAUCACAGAAAACCACACAUGGUAUGUACCCACUCAUAAGUGGAUAUUAGCCCCAAAGCUCGAAUUACCCAAGAUAGAAUCCACAGACCACAUGAAACUCAAGAAGAAGGAUGACCAAAAAGCAGAUGCUUCAGUCCUCCUUAAAAGAAGAAACAAAAAUAAUCAUUGGAGGAGAUAUGAACAGAGACUGAAGGAAUGGCCAUUCAGAACCUGCCCUACCUGGGGAUCUAACCUAUAUAUGUAUAGUCACCAAAACUAGACAGUAUUGAUGAAGCCAAGAAGUGCAUGCUGACAGGAGCCUGAUAGUCUCCUGAGAGGCUUGGCCAGAGUGUGAAAAAUACAGAGGUGAAUUCUAGCAGCAAAACAUUGAACUGAGAACAGGGUCCACACUGAAGGAUUAGAGAAAGGAUUUAAAGAGCAGAAGAAGCUUCCAACCCCAUAAGAACAAUAAUACCAACCAACCAGAGCUCCCAGGGACUAAGCCACUACCCAAAGAGUACACAUGGACAGACCCAUGGCUCUAGCUGCAUAUGUAGGAAAGGAUGGCCUUGUUAGGCACCAAUGGGAGAAGCAGUCCUUGGUCAUGCCAAGACUGGAUCCCCCAUUGUAGGGGAAUGUCAGGAUGGGGAGGUGGGAAGCAGAGGAUGGUUGGGGAGGGGAAACACCUUCAUAGAAGAAGGGGAGGAGGAUGGGAUAGAGGACUUAUGACCGGGAAACUGGGAAAGGGAAUAGCAUUUGAAAUGUAAAUAAAAAGUAUCCGAUAAAAAGGUAUAUUUAUAACAUAAAAACAAACAAAAAAAUAGUAAGAGGAACCAUCUGGUUCUAUUUGAGAAGGGACCUUUUUUGACAUAGGGUAAUAGGAUGCCUCAGGCUGUCUGAAACUUAUGUUCCUCCUGUCUCAGCUUAUUAAGAACUGGGAUCUCAAAUGCGAUCCACUAUGACAGGCAUUUAUGUGUGUCCAUAUCCAAAGUUAUGGGAUUAUAGAUGUGUACCAAUGUCCCCAUUUAAGAUCUGGCUUCUUCUGUAAACUUCUGAUUUGUUUUAACAGACUCAUCACUUUAAUUGCUUAAUGAUGAUUAAUACAUACAUAAUAUUGACUUUUGUUUGUUUCCAUAUAUUUGUUUUGUGAUCAUCUAGAGUGGCCAUAUGCCAAUGUGUAUGGUAGGCUUGUUAUGUAAAUAGAGGCUUGCAAGUGUUGGAUGAAAUUGAAAAAGCUUUGAAUGGACCUAGCAGAAUGAUGGGAUUGAUCAUUGCUGGGAUUCUUACUAUAGAGUAUAUUAUAGCUAGUGCUACAACUGACAUAGCAUUGUUACAAUUUGUUCAAACUGCUCAGUUUGAUUUGUCUGAAAGUUAAUAAUGCCCUGUAAUUUGAUACUGCAAAGCUGCCUCUGGAUGGUCAGAGUAAUUAAAGAAAAGUUUGCCUUCCUGGUCUUCAUUUGCUCAUUUGUCCUUUUCAGAAUUUGCCUUGAGUACUCUUUUGGUUCUAGGAUUAUGCCUGUUACCACUUGUGAAUAAGUGCACCCUACCUUCACUUUUUGAACAGCUAUGCAGAUAGCCAUCAUAUAUGACUCAAAACUGAAAGUUAAUAGGUUACAUCUCCUGUUGCAAAGGCUGAUAGUCAAAAAUGGGUAAGAUUCUCUCAAAGACGGAUCAACCUAGGAUAGGGCAUGAAUGCUAGGAUUCAUGUACCAAUGAGAGGUAAUGUCAACACUUCUUGAGAUGACCCAUAAAAUAUACACAGUGUUUCUGUGUGAAUAGCUGUGACAACUUUGGCUUGUAUAAAAUAAAGGAGAUGCCCAGACCCAUUUUCUGCUUCUCUGGUGAGAGAGAGAGAGAGGAAUAAAAAUUAAAGCAAGGCAGGUCAUGAACUGUUGGCAGAUUUCCUGGCCUGCAAAAGCAUGGAAUGAUAUAAGGAGUUGAUGCUCAAGGCAAGUGUCUGAAUAUGACCUUGGUUGUAGGAAAGGGUUAUAGAUAUUAGGAUUGGCAAAUAUAUCUUAUGUGUAUAUAUUUCUGCAAUUGCUUCUGUUUGUUGUGGUUUUGUUUCCCAUGGUAGUGAUUAUAUAAAAGGCUAUGAAAAUACUCUUGUUGCUGGCUUAGUAUUGACCUAUAGUCUUCUUGAAAAAGGAAAACGGGAAAGCUUCAAUAUUUCCCCCACAUACUAUUAUUAUUUCAAAGUUCAGAAUUUUAACAAUUGAGUUCUGAUAAGUAAUUGAAUCAUUCACAGUUUAUAAUUCAGUCACCAGCUUAAGACUUUAAUUUACCUUUGGUUGUCUUUUAAAUAUAAACUUAAUGAUGCUUCUCAUCAUACUAAAACCAUCUGUGUUCUAUCUUUAUAUCUAUAGCUGUAAACCUAUAAUUGUCAGUAGGUCUCAAAGGCAUGAGUCUACUCCUAUUGUCUAGCAGGACAACUACUUUUCUUGAAAUAUGGAUUUCAAUACAAUGGUAAAUACUAAUAUCUAUCCUUUUGUAAACUGAAGUUCAUAUAAGUCCUAAAAUCUGCCUGUCAGAGAUCAAAUGGACUCCACAUAAAGUACAGCUGACUGUUCUUUAAAUGGAAUUUUUCUUGGGACUUCUUACCUCCACAAUUGCUAGACAAUUUUAAUUUCUGUUCCUAGUCUAUAUUUGUCUCAGCAGAUUUUCAUUCAACACUCCAUGCAGGAAUUACCUGUGGAACUGCUGAACUCUAGACUUGUUGAAAGCUGAUGUUAACCACUUUAGUCGAUGUGAUUGCUUCAUGUCUUUUAUCUGUAUCAGCUAAUUAGAUGAUUUUGAUAAAUGCCCCAUUGCCCAGCCUUUGACUAGCAUUUCAGCCUCCCUGAACCCCCUCUUACAACGUCCUAAUGUCAGCAGGAAGCAGAUACAGAAGAGAGAUACGACAUCCACUGUCCCACUCUACAGGCUGAAAUGCUAAGUCAAAAAGGAACCUCCCUGGGCACACUCUGAAAACAACCCCAUGUCUCUUGUCAGGUUUUGUAAAUGCUUGUGUAUCCUUGCCUUAUAUGCUGAUUAUUGGACAAAUAAAUGUUGCUAUAUCUAGAGAAUUGUUUAAUAUAGCCUGUGAUUAUUGCACUGUUAGGAAUUGUAUAGGACCAGAUUCAGUGCAAUUUUCUUUGCCUAUAAUUAGACUAAUUGUGUAUCUGACAUUGUCCAAAGAAUUUCUGUUCUGGCACCUCACCAACUUUCAUUUGUUAUGCUUCUAGUUAAUGUUUUAGAACUCUAGUACUCUGAGUAAACUACAAAAACUCUAAGAAUUAGGUCAUGCUUUGGUAAGGAGCAAACAUAUGAUUGGGAUGAUCAUUGCCAGUAUUGUUGCUCUCAUAAUUGCCAGUGCUACUAAAUGUAACCAAAGCCCAGAGCAUAUAAUAGAUUUUGGAGAAAAGAAUAGAACAAAGAUUUGACACAUUGUGUGAUAUAGGACAGAUCAUUGGAGAUGAGGUCCAAGGCAUGAAAUUCUUGGAAUGUCAUGUUUGAUAUCAAUCUGUACAACUCUAAAACUAUAUAAUGAGAGCAUGUUUUGACCAGAGUUAAAUGGCACAUUCAAACUAUAUGGGAGAAUUUCAGUACUAAUUUCAAUUUAUUGACCCCGCAUCUGAGGUUAUAAGUUUAAUAAAUGCAAAUUCUGUGUGUUUUGAGGUUGCUAGCAUUGAAAAUUAUAUUCUGAAAAACUUAUAAGCCAUAUUUCCUUCAUGGUCUUCACUUACCUCUCAUAAUUGGCAUAGCAGUAUUUGGCUUUAAAAUCCUUUUCAUGACAUGUCUAUUAUCUGUUCUUUUUUAACUGAAUCAUCAGAGCACUUACAGAUGUCAAAGCACAGUUACAUAAAUUCAAGUUCCACUGUCUUCCCUAGCAUAAAUUGGUAAUCAGUAGCGGGUAAGAUUACCUUGUAAACCUUCUCAACCUAAUAAAGGCCAUGAGUAUAAGACUAUUUGUGUGCCAAUGAAGGGUAAGAGCUGUGAUUUCAGAUGGCAACCUAAGACAGGCACAACUUUCUGCUCCAUGACUGAAAAGGUGUGCACCUUUUAUACAUAAAAAUGGGAAAAUGGGGGUUGGGGAUUUAGCUCAGCGGUAGAGCGCUUGCCUAGGAAGCGCAAGGCCCUGGGUUCGGUCCCCAGCGCCGGAAAAAAAAAGAAAAAAAAGUCAAAAAUGGGAAAAUGUAGGGUGCACAUCCAAGUUAACUUUGGCUGACUCCAUGCUUAUGAUUAAUCAUGAAUGAGUCUGCUGACAACUGUCUUAUUUUUCAUUAAGACAUGUGUUAUAUCCUGCCAAGUGCUUCUGCUUAAGCAUAUGACCUUGUGAGACUGUUCAAGAUUGAAGGAAAUGGCCUUGGUAAUCCAUAGAUACUGUGUACCACAAAAUCACUAUGUAAUCAUUUGUGAUUAAUGUUUACCUUCCUGGAAUUGCUCAUGCUUUGAGUUGCUUGCCUUUAAAAGUCACUGAGAAAAUAUAAUCAGUGAACAGUAUUUACUGUUAGUUCUCCCGACUUCUAAUUUCUUUGACUCUUCUAUCCUAUCCCUACUCCCCUAGUCAUUAUGGCUUUCCCAGUGAAUGAAAAGCAGGCUCUGGCAAUAUGUAGUCCCAGAUAUUUUAAAAACUUAGACAGAAAAAUUACAAAUGUUAGGCACCCCUUGGUAACAAUGUGAAUGCCACUUAUUGCACCUAUUCUGAUAUCUUGCUGUACUGGUAAUUGUCAUAGUUCAUAGGAGUUUUAGGUGGGUACAACUAUUAAUAGCUUUCCUACUCUGUUUGAAAACACCAAACUGCCAUGGAGCUAUUUGUUGCUUUCUAUUAUUCUGGGCUGUAUUGGUGAGCUUAGUAGGUGGUUGUGUUUUGAUAUUUUAGUUCCUACUGUCAGUACUGAACAUAAAUAACUGUAUGUGUAUAGUUUGUUUGAAAACAAUUUCUCCCAAGUAAGAAAGAAAUAUUUUUUAAAAUACAAGAAGUAUACAGAACAUCAAGCAGAAAGGACCAGGAAAGAAAGCAAUCCAUGACACAUAAUAAUCAAAGAUUAAAUGUACUGAAAAGAAAAACACUAAAAGCUAUGAAAGAAAAAGACGAAGUCACACAUAAAGGUUCACACAUUAGACUAACACCUGAUUAAGGCUAAUUCAAGACAUGGAAAGUAGAAAAUUAAUGUAGCCAAAAAUUAAAGAAUUUUGUAUUAUAUUUAUAGUUCGUUAACUUUAUAUUAUACUAGGAAAUGAAUUUCUCAUGUCAGAGGAGUGAAUGUGUGACUUAGACAAGUCAAAGGACCUGCAGGGGACAGUCCUGAAAAAAAAUAAGAAGGCAUAAAAUGAUGAACUUUAGAGGGGUGUACUUCAGAAUAACAUUCUUUUCCCAAAUAGCCAAAUGAAAAACCCAGAACUUUGGUAAAUUCUGAGGUAAAGAAAAUACACUUAAGUUUAAUCAGUGGACUGUUAGUUGCUACUGACAUGUGAGUGCCACUUAUUGCACCUAUUCUGAUAUCUUGCUGUACUGGUAAUUGUCAUAAUUCAUAGGAGUUUCAGGUGGGUACAACUAUUAAUUGCUUUCCUAACAUAUCAACUUACCUACUGCUUGAUAUAGCAUAGAAUCUCAACUUCAAGUUAGAGGCUUCUAAGUUAUAUCCAGCAAGAAUCACUUUAAUGCUGAGAUAUGCCUGUGAGACUUAUUUAGCAACAGGCAAACAACCAGUCAACCUGAAACUUGUGCAUUUGGGGGAAAGUCAUUUCAAAUACUUUGAUUAUGGGAUGGAACUUUUUCUCUGAACACAAUUGAAAUCAUGUCUGAUACUAGAAAUCUAGUCAUAUUUAUGGGGCUAAUGAGGUGAUGGACCUUAAAAUUUAUCACAUCAGUUUACUAGGUCAGCCCAAUUCCUUACAGCAUUCUAAAUAUUACUCUUAUAUCCACAAAUAAUGGGGUCAUCACCCCUCAUCACAGAAACAUCCUUUUACAGAAAAUGGAGACCAUCACAGAAAACCAAAAACUGGACAACACAAUGACAAGAUAAAUGGAUUGUGGGAAACCCAGCACCAGUAGAUACAUGUACAUCAUAGGUCCACUGUCUAUAGUUCAGGGAACAUUACAGAAGUGGGGUUGCAAAGACCAUAAGAGCCAACAUAACUGAAAGUCUGUUUUGAAAUUGCCUCUCAGAAAAAAAAUGGAUGCAAAACCACAAUGAUGGUAAUAUCAAUGCAAUGAUAAAUUACAGAAAACUAAAAAAUUACAGACAACUAAAGAUGGUUGGAGAAAUAUUAUGUCUCUAAUAGAUUGUCCAAUAAAGAGCAUUCUAUUUGAAUGCCAUAUACACAAAAGAGAGCAAAAUAGAUUUGUUGUAUUUCUAUAUGUAUAUAUGUAUAUAUAUAUGCAAACAUGUAAAUUAAAACACACAUAUAUAACAAUACUGAAACAGUGACUUUGAGAUUGUGGUGCAUGUGAUGGACUGAAGAAGGGAGUGCUAUAAUUCAUUUUCAACAAAAUUUUAAAAUAAUAAUAGUAAUAGAAGUAAACGUAGAAUUUCUAUUAAUGGGAGUUCAGGAAGGUCCAAAGAAGAAUUACUGAGGAAAUUAAUUUCUUUACUGGAGGUUUUCUUUAAGAUUUCCAUAUCUCAUAUUUGUAUUAGAGAGUCUUUCUAGGAAGGCAAACUGUGAAAAAAGAAAGUUUGACUUUGAGAAAGAUGUCUCAGUUUAUGAAAAGAGAUACGACAAAUAUCUAUGUGGUUUGUGAGUAUGUGAAAUGCAUGUGUGAAUGCAGAAUUCACAUAUAUGUGAAUGUCUAUGGUGUGUGUGUAUAUAUGUGUGCGCACACACACAUGACUCUGUUCAUUUGUGUAUGCCACAAAGCCUCUGUUCAUUCCUGUCUCCAUCUCCCAUCUGCAGGCAGAAGCUUCUGGUUCGGAGAUGCUUCUGCUACAACACUCAGUUGUUUGGUUUUUAAUGUUUUGAUGACAUGAACUCAUAUCACAAAGCCUAUGUGUCUAUUGCUUUAGACACUGAACUACCUUUUUAGUCCAUUUUUUGUAUUGAUAAAAUUGUUAUCCAUAUCAAACUCAUCAUAUGUGAUGAUAAAUUUUGUUUGUUAAUGAAAUUUUAUCCAGAACUAUCUAUUACACAUGAUUCUAGGCACAACUCUGAAGGAUUAUUAAAUGUCAUCAACUUUGAACCUUGCUUCUGAGAAAUUAUUAGGAUUAGGUAAUUGAGGUGGAAAAAUAACGCUGUAAUUGGGCUAUACUAUUCUUUAGGCAUAGUUCCUGGAAUGUAUAUAAAGGAGAAUGCUCACUGAAUAUGAGCAUUCAUUGUCCUCUGCUUCUUUUUUUUUUAAAUACGUCUUUUUUUACCCCAGAGCUGAGGACUGAACCCAGGACCUUGCGCUUGCUAGGCAAACGCUCUACCACUGAGCUAAAUCCCCAACCUCUGCUUCUUAACUCAGUGAGUCACUUCACUACCUGUAAACUUCUGUCAUCAGAACAGAAUUGCAAAAGAAACUUUUUAAAAGUAUUUUUACAAUGCACAGAAGUAAGCCUGAUUUUAUUAAUUAAUUAGUUGAUUUUUAGCCAUUGGAAAAGUUAUGUGGCAAGAAUGGCUCAGUGGUUAAGAGCACUGACUGCUCUUCCAGAGGUCCUGAGUUCAAAUCCCAACCACCACAUGGUAGCUCCUAACCAUCUGUAAUGAGAUCUGAUGCUCUUUUCUGGUUUGUCUGAAGAAAGCUACAGUAUAUUUAUAUAUAAUAAAUAAAUCUUUAAAAAGUUGGGUAAGACAUAUCUCCAAAUUUCAUGUAUGGAGCAGAAUAUAGAAUACCAUUUUGAUAUUACUCCACUUACUUGUCUGUAGAACCUUCCUCCUGAGGAGAAGCAGAUGAAAUCUUUAAUACUUCAGCAUUAUCAUUAGACAAGAUUUUCUUACUGUGAUUAUCAAUGGCUUCUUUUAUUUUAUCUGUUUACCAACAGUAUUUAGUGAACCUGAUGAUGUUGUUAUGUCAUCAGAUCUAUUUGGAAAAUCUUUAUAAAAUAUAUUGUCAUCAUCCCCAUAUAUCUCAAGAGAGUUUUCAAUAAGAACUUUUACAAUAGCAAAAUGUAACACAAGGCAAAAACAAGAUCCUCAUUUCACAUAUUUUACAAAUUUAAAGUCAAGUAAAAAAAUUAAAAUAAAAAUUAUGAGGAAAAUAGCAGUUACUACAAAUAUAUAAAUCAAUGAAAUGAACUCUGAAAUGGAGACUCUAAGUUCUUUGCAUGUUACUAAAACUUGUUACAAUUGCAAAUAAAUUUGCAAACAAUAGAGAAACUACUAAAGCAAAGCAAAGUUUCAGAACUGAUAUGUUGCCAAGAAUAAUUAUAAAUGAAUUAAUUGCUUGAAGGAAUCUUGACUAUUUUGUGUUGUUUUUUGAGAGGCUUGUGGAGAGGAGAAGGAAUUUCAUUGAAUGGAGUUCCCCUUUUAUUCUAGGCACCUCAAUACUUGAUACAUUAUUUGUGACAACUUUUGAGUGGCUUAAUUGACUUGGACUUCCUGGAAGAAACUUAUCAUUGGUUAGAAUUUAGGGUUAUAAUUGCCAGGUGCUAUUUGCAGUGUACUCUCUCUACUUCAUGUUUUCGGUCCAAUUUGAGAGACAUCAGUUUUCAGCUUCCAGUUUCGUUGUCCUUGCUUCCUCUUUUGCUUCUCUGACAUAAUUUGAAGGAUUGUAAUAUCUCUGCUUCUCUUAGUGCCAAAUAAUCAUUUACUUGUAUAAGUUGUCUUGGUCAUGUUGUUUUAUUAAAGCAAUAAAAAGUUACUUAGAGGAGAAGUUGAUGAGAAAAGGGAAUAUAAAUUGAAAAAAUGUCUCCAUCAGAUUGGCUUAUUGUGUAGGGAAGUCUAUGUGACACUGUCUUGAUUAACAAUAUAAAUUUUAGGACCCAGACCUCCAGGAUGGAGUCACCUUGGUGCUAUUGGUCAGGCUAAGAAAAAAAUAUGAGGUACAGGUCAGUAGGCAGAACUACUACAUGGCUUCUGCUUAGGUUCUUGCCUCCAAGACCCUGCCUACUUCAGUUUAGGCCCUGAUAUUUCUCAGUAAUAAACUGUCAAAUAGAAGUAUAACAUGGAGUCCUCCACAAGUUGCUUUUCAACUGUGAAAAUAUAACCUGCCUUCCAUAAGUUGAUUUUUAAUCAGUGUUUUAUUACACCAAUAGUAGGAUGUUUAGAUAUUUUCUAAAUUGAAAAACAUUAAUGUCCCUUUUCUUCUGAGAUGGCGGAUUAAGUCAACUCUGUUAAUCUCGUGUUUCUUCCCAAGAUGAACAUCUUUAUGUUUGAGCAGUCUUGGACUAAAUAGGAGGGACAUGAUUCUCAGGAAAAUCACACUUAAAUGAUUGUCUUCUUUUAUGUGCACACUGUUCAGAAUACUUUUGCUUCCUUUUCUUCAUACCUGCUCCUACAAAGAAAUACAUUUUAAUAGAACUGUCCAUAUAGGGAAAAUCAUUAAUUUUUAUUAAGAGUGGAAAUACUAUUCCUUCACUUGAACUGAACAUGCAGUUUAACAUAGGGUUUGAUUUUAGAGUGCCAGUAGUUGUGUACUUUGGAGAAAAGAGUAUGUUAGUAGUCUAGGCCAAGUAGAGUCCUGGGUAAGAAAGCUAUUCAAACAAUGUCUUGUAUUAUCCUACUCCAGUGAGUCAUAUAACCAUGACUUCCUUCAUGUGGGCCUUAUUCCUGGAAGCUAUUGGUUAAAAUAUACCCUUGAUUUUUUUUAUUGUCUGUUGUUUUAUUACUUUUUAAAAUGUAAGAUCUUUAUUGAAUGUGUGUGAAUUUCUCAUCAUGCAACCCAAUAACUCCCCUUUUCCAAUCCCAUAUCUUCUCUCCCCUUAGAAAUCCCCCAAAUCCAAAAUUACAAAUUAAAUAAGUAUUUAAAUUAAAAUUAAAUUCUAAAAAUUAACUAAAACAAAUAAAAAUUCAUCUCUCUGAGAUGCGAUGUGCCAUGGUGUGUCACAUUGUCUAUACCCUUUUACCCAAAGAGUUUUACUUGCAAAUGUUCAUUGAAAUGAGUCAGUGGUCUAGUUCAAGGCCUCUGGAUUUUGCUACAUCAUCAAUAGUGGAAGCUCCAAGAGACUGUUCCCCUCCUAUAUUCUGUACUUCCUGAUGUUUCCCUUAGUCAUGGAGAUCCUUCAGCUUUGAAUCUGCAGGGCCAGCCCCUUUACAUGCUUCAGCAGCUGCACCUAUGUCCUCUACAUACAUGUAGCAUAUAUGCAGCUUGAUCUUCCUUUAGAUCCCUUAACAUUUAUUGUGGGGCCUUUCUAUGACUCUGUAGUCUGCCUCUGGAUCCCUUCCUUCUAGCUGGGAAGCCUUGUCUGGCUUCAGUGGGAGAAGAUGCACUUAGCCCUGUUGGAAAUUCAUGUAUGAAGGAGAUUUGGUAUCCAUCUGGUUUACUUCUCUGAAGAGGAGAAAUGGAGGGAAGAGGUUGUGGGGAUGGAAUUUGAAUAAGAAUGGGAGUGGUCUGCAAUUAAGAUAUAAAGUGAAUAAAUAAAUGAAUACAUAUAAGUUUAUAAUAAAAUUAAUAGUUACAGUAAAGCCAAGGUACAUAAGACUGAAAAUUAAUUAAUGCCAGCACACAUUAUUCUUUCUUGUAUAAGUAGGAGUUAGUGACAAAAUAUAGAACAUUCAGAAUAUAAUAUACACUUGUUAUUUAUCAUUACUCAUUAUAUUGCAUAUUUUGUAUUAUAAAACUGUGUACAAUUUGCUUUUAUAUGGCCAGAAAUGCAGUUGUUGUGAAUUUUUUCUUCAUUAUAAGAGUCUCACCACUAUGAAACAUAACUACUAUGUACCCCAACGUAGUAUGACAAUGAAAAAAAAAACAAAACAAACACAACACUAUAUAAACAUUAUUUUUCAACUUCAUUCUAUUUUAUUUGGAAUACCAUAAUAUGUGGAGCAUAUUGUUGACUAAAAUAUCAAUAUGUAAAAUCAAUAUCUAAAAAAUGAAAGAAAAAAUGAUUCACUUACUCAAACUACAUUAAUAAUCUCCCUUCUCAAACUUUCCUAAAACAGAUCAAUACAACUUCCUCUCUGAAUAGUGCAAAUCUAAGGUGUCCUUUAAAAGCAGUGAUAUCAUUGAAGUAUCCCCAAUACAUGGUUCACAAUGAGGACUUUGUUUCCAAAGGAAGAAAACAACUGAUCCCCUUAUUGGUUUUUUGAAAUCAUGUCUGAAAACUGAAUUGCUGGAAGUAGAAUUUCAUAGAAACUGAGGGGCUAUGUGAACAGAUCAUUGUAAGUGGCCAAGUGAUUCACGAAAGAGUCUUUAAUCUUGAAAAACAAAUGAAAAAGUUAUUUUAGGAGAAUAUAGUUUGUGGCAUCUGCAGUAGGAAACUAAACAGGAUUUUACGUUUGUUUUUCUAACUUUAAUGUUACUCAUGAAACUCUAUUAAAUACAAAGAAAAACCAAGAUAAAUGUUUAGUCAUCCAACUCAAUAUGCAAUCUCAAUUCAAAAGAAGACUAUAUAGCUGAAGUUUUGCCUUGUCCAGCCUCAGUGAGAGCAUGUGCCUAAACCUGAAGAGACUUGAUGUGUCAGGGUGAGAGAAUACCCAGGGCAUUCUAUCUCAGAGAGAAGGGGAUGGACAAUAUAAGGGAGAAAGAAGAGGUGGGCACCAUUCAGGUUGUAAAAUGAAUGAAUGAAUGAAUGAAUGAAUGAAUGAAUGAAUGAAAGAGUGGAUUCUUGCGUGCAAAAUGGCAAUAAUAAUAAUAACCAAUGAAACAGACAAACAUACAAAAACCAAACUGUUUAUCCUGGAAAUGAGCAAACUCAAUAAAUGGAGGGACAGAAAAUACCUCAUCCUGAUUGUUCAAUUGGGUGAAUAAGUACUUUUAGUUCAUAGUAAGGAAAGUUCUAAUAUGCAUGUACAUCUUUCUUACAGAACCGCCUGGAACAGGGUGAACUUUAUUACUGGAGCACCCUGGGUUGCAUUAAUAUGGUCUCACAGUUUCACAUCUGUUCUUUAAAUGUGUAAAUAAUCAAGUAUGUAAAUUAGUUGUAAACAGCACCUUGUUUAAUGGAUAAAAAUGUCACUUUGUUCAUGAAACACCACAAUCACCUUUUAUGUUGUACCAAGGAGAAAGUGAGAAAACAUGGAAUAUUCCCAGGGAUUCUUGUACCUUUAUAGUGCUCUGAAUGCACAUGGCUACCAUCAGGCACUGAUCUUCACUUUUGUCUGUGUGAUGUGACCCCAGCUUUCUGGAAAUGAGAGCCAGACCCAUUUGGCAAGAAGCAUGAUGAAGAAAGAACCAGUACUUUUGCCUAAUGCUACAAAACAUGCCUUCUCUCUCGAUGUCUGGGGCCAUAGCUGUACAGUCUACUGAGAGGCAAACUUAUCAUGUAGCCCAAUUAAAUUAAAAGGAUAAUAUUUGUUCUAGACUCAUUGAUUUUCCAUGGCAAGAUACAGGUUAAUAUUCUUAAUUAUUUGACCUUGGGUUUGGUUGGAAAUAUCUGAUUAAGAGAAAGUCUCUCUUUGGUAGAGAAGGAAAACAAUUUCAUGUAUCUACUGGACAGAGCACAACAUACAACUCUCAAUAACCUAUUAUAUGUCAGUGUUAUUAUUUUUGAGGAAUAUUUUGGAUAAGUGUGAUUUAAGACAUGUAUUUUGUAAAACACACUGUUAUCACUCUUGUUACUUGUUCUGUUGCUACAUCACAGGGUAUAGCUAGAGGCGAAAUGAAUGGCCGCAUUUGCAAUGCGAUUUGAUAUAUAAGGAAGUUAGUUUCCAACAGAAGGUGUUAAAACUGUGUCUUUGAGAUGAAUUUUUAGCUUAUCAGACUUUUAUCUACCAUACCUCUUAUCCUACGGUCUUAAUUUUCCUUAGUUGAAGGAAACUGUCAUCAUAAGUUUAUCGCAAGGAAAGAAAGUACAUAACUGAAAGGGAAUAAUAAUAAGAAAUACACAAUUUUUUAAAAAUAAAAAAAAUAAAUAAAUUGAAAAAAGAAAGAUGUUGAAUGUUUGGGAUGCAAAAUUCAUCUUUUCUUUUAAGACAGAUGCUGUAACGAACACUAAUUCUUCACUCCAAUCUACUUCUUGUUCAGUUUGAUACUUUUCCUUCAGGGACCAGUGCCAUUCAUUUGCUAGUGUUUUGAAUAUAUUAUCUGAAUCUUGUUUCUUUCCAGCAAUGAUAGAUAGCAUAUCCUAUAUGAGAGGAAGACAAGCGUCUAUUAUUAUGGAUCCAUACUUCUGAAGCACAAAUAUGUCUCUUAUUACGAACCAAAGACAAAGCAAUUAUGGGUACAGGGCUACAAAUGAGAGGAAUGUAAAAGACAUUGAAAUUUUUCUUUGUUAGCUUCCAAAUAUAUUUUUCCUCUACUCCAUUUUUCCCAAUGGGAAACAUUUGGGUUUUAUUGGAAUCACAUAAUUUUCAGCAUUUAAUCACACUUCUAAUCCCCAAGCAUUUUCGUAAAUCGUCCUCUCUUAUAAUUUCCUUUCUUGUAUAAAGAUACUUCUCAGGAAUUAUAUUCUCAGUUACAAUUGGGACAUUAUGCUUUCAUAGGUCAAAUUAUUAUUUUAUUUACUUUUCUUCUUGACCUUUGUUCUGAAUCCCAAAAUCUGUGUUUUUAAGAAAGCCUUUUCUCAAUACACUUCCUAGACUUUUAUUUCUGUUUUUGGUGACUUGUAUUUUUCAACUAUCUCUGUCUAAACAUGCUGUUCCAACCCAAACAAAUUUCAAUCCUCCUAUGGUUCACUUGGUAAAAAUGCUUACAAUUCCGAAGGUUAAUCCAUAUUUUUAAAACUCUCAAAGUUGUGAUGAUUACAAUCAUGAUUUCCAGAAACCUUUCCUGUAACAAACCUAAGGGGCAGCAAUGAAUAUCACAUGCCUAACAUAUAAACUUUUUCACAUGCAGCAUGAAUUCCUGGCAAAGUUAUAAUGCUAAAAUGGAUGCUGGACAGUAAAUAAAUCUUCCCAAUGGCAAUUCAGUAACUUAUUUAAAAUAGAUCAAGGCAUGUUAAGUGGCUUUUGAAUAUAGUCUACAUAUACAUAUAUAAAAUGAUUAAUAUAUAGCAAAGAUUAAUGCAUAUAUCUAAUUCAUUGGUAAUAUAAAAGUCUCUAGAUAUUUGGAAUUAUAAGAUCGAGUAAUUUCAGAGGCUAUGACAUUAAGGGAGACUCCAGAGAAAUAAGAGUGAUAAAGGAGCUGCAGUAAAUAGUAGUUGGUGACUCGGUGGAAAACAUCCAUAAAUCCAUUUCUCCAACAAGCUGGUGGGUUUGGGUCUUUGCUGCUGAAAUCCGUGCAAAAUGUGGGAAUACUAUUUAUUUUUAUUUUUAUUUUCUUCAAUUUUCUUUCAUGGCAUGAUUCAAACUUCAAUGGUAUCUCUAGUUUAAAAGGUCUUAAACUCAGGGAUAGGUUAUCUAAGAAUUCAUCACUUUGAUGAAAGAAUUUACUUAGAACAAAGGUCCCUAGAAAUUAUGCGAAGCAGGAUAGUUGUAAAACCCAAAAGGAAACUCACCAGUAUUGGAGAAGGAAGACUUCCGUCUUAACAGAUACUCGUGAGAGACUUGCCAAAGAGUUGUUUAUUGGUACUGGUGGAGUUUGAUAAUUCCCACCAAGCUGCUCUUUACUUGGUGCUGGUUGGGUUAUAUACACAUUGUCUUGGCUGGUAUCGGUGCUACAAGUAAUCCCCAGGUUUAAAAAAGAAGGUAUUUUCUUAGAUAAUCUCUGAAUCUAAGAAGUAAGGACGGUUGUUUUAAUUGAAGUCACCUGGCCCUUGCAUGCCAUUUUGAUAUUAUAGCAUGGAUUCCUUCUGCAUCCCCACAAAUACAAAGAAAAUAGCUGGUCAAUGUUAUAACAAUUAUAAUAAUGUCAUUGCUUACUAAUGCACUGCAUAUCUAGUUGUAUGUGACCCAUAAUUCUGGUAUAAUCAGGAAAUUCUUGUGUUUGCCUUGAAAGCGAUACACGCAGGUAUUAUAGUACUGAUCUUUUAGUUGUCCUGCGUGACUUUCUGACUGAACAGCCAUGGGAAAAUGUAAACAGAAAUAUUAUCAUUUUACAAAACAACUUGCUUGACUGCAUUUCUAUGACAGACCUUGGCUUUACCCUAUGAACUCUGAACUUAAAUAUGAGAUCAUAAAUCUCUCCCCUAUGGGUAUGUUAUGCUAUAUUAAGACUUCCGUAAGAGACAAGCAAGAUGGCACAUGCCUUUAAUCCCAGAUCCUAGGAAGUAGGGCUAAGAGACUCUCUCCGAGUUUGAGGCCAGCCUGGAUUACAAAGCACUUUAUAGCACAGCAGAGCUGUUACAGAGUAUAAAGUGAUUUGCCAAUGGGUUGCUAAUUUAUGUAGUCUAAAACUAUAUGUUAAGACCCAAUAUAACAAACUAAGUGACAUUUCUAUACAUAUAAUUAAUUAAUUAAUUAAUUUCUUGGAUUUAUAUCUUAGCUAUACUCAGGACCACUAGAAAGAGAUACCAAAAUUUCGAGGCAAAUAAGUGAAGUUUUCCUUCAUAUUUUUUGUGUAAUUCUUAGUGCUAUUUGUUAUAAAUCAUAUUUUCAGGGUUAAAUCAUUCUACCUUUUAAGUUAUGGUAAGAGAACCUCUAUGCACACCUAUAAUCCCCUCAUUGUGAAGAGGAGCAUCUGGAAUUCUGGACAGUACAUUAAGGCCAGGGCAUAUUGUUCGACUGGGGCAACUGCUGUGUCCGUUUUCCUUUAUCUCUCUCAUGCUAGAAAGAUUAUUCCAGUAAUGAGAAACCGUUCCUCCAGAUGGGAAAAAUAAUGCAUUCUCAUAAUAAAUUUUAGCCAAGUCUUCUCCGAAUAAUUUUGGGGAGAUUUCAAUCACAAACUUUACUAGAGAAAUCUGUGACAACGUGGGGCAAACACACAGGGUCUCUGUCAUUUUUCAGUAGUUGAAAAUCACUUCUGUAAUACCUCUACAUCUCUUAGUGCCAAAUAGUCACAUACUUGUAUAAGUUGUCUUGGUCAUGCUGUUUUAAUAAAGCAAUAAAAUAUCACUUAGAGAAGUUGGUGAGAAAAGGGAAUAUUAACUGAGAAAAUGUCUCCAUCAGACAGGUCUAUAGUAUAGGGAAGUCUAUGUGACAUUGUCUUGAUUAAUAAUGGAAAUAUUAGGGCCCAGAUCUCCAGGAUGGUGACACCUUGGCGCUAUUGGUCAGGCUAAGAAAAAUAUAUGAGGUACAGGUCAGUAGGCAGAACUACUACAUGGCUUCUGCUUAGGUUCUUGCCUCCAAGAUCCUGCCUACUUCAGUUUAGGCCCUGAUAUUUCUCAGUAAUAAACUGUCAAAUAGAAGUAUAACAUGGAGUCCUCCACAAGUUGCUUUUCAACUAUGAAAGUAUAACCUGCCUUCCAUUAGUUCCUUUUUUAACAGUGUUUUAUUACACAAAUAGUAACAUGUUUAUAUACUUUCUAAAUUCAACAACACUGAUGUCCCUUUUCUUCUGAGAUAGCAGGUCAAGUCAACUCAACUCAUAUUUCUUCCCAGGAUGAACAUCUUUAUGUUUGAGCAGUCUUGCACUAAAUAGAAAUGAAAUGAUUCUCAGGAAAAUCACAUUCAAAUGAUUGUCUUCUUUUAUGUUCACAUUGUUCAGAAUACUUCUUCUUUUUCUUCAUACUUGAUCCUACAAAGGAAUACAUUUUAAUAGAACUGUCCAUAUAGGGAGAAUCAUUAAUAGUAAGAGUGGAGAAAUAUUUUAUUCCUUCAUUUGGACAGAACAUACAAUUUAACAUACGGUUUUAUUUUAGAUUGCCAGUAGCUGUGCACCUUGGAGAAAAGAGUUUGUUAGUAGUCUAAGCCAAGUAAAGUCCUGGGUAAGAAAGAUAUUCAAACCACUUCUUGUAUCAUCCUACUCCACUGAGUCAUAUGACCAUGAUUUCCUUCAUGUGGGCCUUAUUCCUGGAAGCUAUUGGUUAAAAUAUACCCUUGAUUUCUUUUAUUGUCUGUUUUUUACUUUUUAAAAUGUAAGUUCUUUAUUGAAUGUGUGAAUUUCUCAUCAUACAACCCAAUACCUCUCCUAUUCCAAUCCCAUAUCUUCUCUCCGCUUAGAAAUUCCCCAAAUCCAAAAUUACAAAUUAAAUAAGUAUUUAAAUUAAAAUUAAAUUCUAAAAAUUAACUAAAAGUUAAAAAUUCCUCUCUGUGAGAUGCGAUGUGCCAUGGUGUGUCACAUUGUCUAUACCCUUUUACCCAAAGAGUUUUACUUGCAAAUGUUCAUUGAAAUGAGUCAGUGGUCUAGUUCAAGGCCUCUGGAUUUUGCUACAUCAUCAAUAGUGGAAGCUCCAAGAGACUGUUCCCCUCCUAUAUUCUGUACUUCCUGAUGUUUCCCUUAGUCAUGGAGAUCCUUCAGCUUUGAAUCUUCAGGGCAAGCCCCUUCAAAUGCUUCAGCAGCUACACCUAUUUCCUCUACAUACAUGUAGCAUAUAUGCACCUUAAUCUUCAUUUAGAUCCCUUAACAUUUAGUAUGGGGCCUUUCUAUGACUCUGUUUUCCAUCUCUGGGUCCCUUUAUUCUAGCUGGGAAGCCUUAUCUGUUCUGAGUGGGUGAAGGUACACUUAGCCCUGUUGCAAAUGACGUAUGAAGGAGAUUUGGUAUCCAUCUGGGUUCGAUACGUCUCUGAAGAGGAGAAAUGGAGGGAGGAGUUUGUGAGGAUGGGAUUUGGAUAAGAAUGGCAGUGGUCUGCAAUUAAGAUAUAAAGUGAAUAAAUAAAAGAAUACAUAUAGGUUUAUAAUGAAAUUAUUAGUUACAGUAAAGCCAAGGUACAUAAGACGGUAAGCAAAAUCUUACUGGCAUAAAUUAUUCUUUAUUUUAUAAGUAGGUGUUAGUGCUAGAAUAUAGAACAUUCAGAGUAUAAUGUACACAUGUAAAUUAUCAUUAUGCAUUAUAUUGCAUAUUUUGUAUGAUACAAUUGUGUACAAUUGCCUUUUAUAUGACUAAAAAUGCAGUUCAUGUGAAUAUUUUUCUUCAUUAUAAUUGUCUCGGGGUUGGGGAUUUACCUCAGUGGUAGAGCGCUUGCCUAGGAAGCGCAAGGCCCUGGGUUCGGUCCCCAGCUCCGAAAAAAAGAACCAAAAAAAAAAUAAUUGUCUCACCACUAUGAAACAUGACUAUUAUGUAACUCAAAGUAAUGGUGCAAUAAUAAAACAAAGUGAACACAGCAUUAUGUAGUCCAUAUUUUUUUCAAAUUCAUUCCAGUUUCCUUGGAAUACCAUAAUAUGUGGAGCAUAUUGUUGACUAAAAUAUCAAUAUGUAAAAUCAAUAUCUAAAAAAUGAAAGAAAAAAUGAUUCACUUACUCAAACUACAUUAAUAAUCUCCCUUCUCAAACUUUCCUAAAACAGAUCAAUACAACUUCCUCUCUGAAUAGUGCAAAUCUAAGGUGUCCUUUAAAAGCAGUGAUAUCAUUGAAGUAUCCCCAAUACAUGGUUCACAAUGAGGACUUUGUUUCCAAAGGAAGAAAACAACUGAUCCCCUUAUUGGUUUUUUGAAAUCAUGUCUGAAAACUGAAUUGCUGGAAGUAGAAUUUCAUAGAAACUGAGGGGCUAUGUGAACAGAUCAUUGUAAGUGGCCAAGUGAUUCACGAAAGAGUCUUUAAUCUUGAAAAACAAAUGAAAAAGUUAUUUUAGGAGAAUAUAGUUUGUGGCAUCUGCAGUAGGAAACUAAACAGGAUUUUACGUUUGUUUUUCUAACUUUAAUGUUACUCAUGAAACUCUAUUAAAUACAAAGAAAAACCAGGAUAAAUGUUUAGUCAUCCAACUCAAUAUGCAAUCUCAAUUCAAAAGAAGACUAUAUAGCUGAAGUUUUGCCUUGUCCAGCCUCAGUGAGAGCAUGUGCCUAAACCUGAAGAGACUUGAUGUGUCAGGGUGAGAGAAUACCCAGGGCGUUCUAUCUCAGAGAGAAGGGGAUGGACAAUAUAAGGGAGAAAGAAGAGGUGGGCACCAUUCAGGUUGUAAAAUGAAUGAAUGAAUGAAUGAAUGAAAGAGUGGAUUCUUGCGUGCAAAAUGGCAAUAAUAAUAAUAACCAAUGAAACAGACAAACAUACAAAAACCAAACUGUUUAUCCUGGAAAUGAGCAAACUCAAUAAAUGGAGGGACAGAAAAUACCUCAUCCUGAUUGUUCAAUUGGGUGAAUAAGUACUUUUAGUUCAUAGUAAGGAAAGUUCUAAUAUGCAUGUACAUCUUUCUUACAGAACCGCCUGGAACAGGGUGAACUUUAUUACUGGAGCACCCUGGGUUGCAUUAAUAUGGUCUCACAGUUUCACAUCUGUUCUUUAAAUGUGUAAAUAAUCAAGUAUGUAAAUUAGUUGUAAACAGCACCUUGUUUAAUGGAUAAAAAUGUCACUUUGUUCAUGAAACACCACAAUCACCUUUUAUGUUGUACCAAGGAGAAAGUGAGAAAACAUGGAAUAUUCCCAGGGAUUCUUGUACCUUUAUAGUGCUCUGAAUGCACAUGGCUACCAUCAGGCACUGGUCUUCACUUUUGUCUGUGUGAUGUGACCCCAGCUUUCUGGAAAUGAGAGCCAGACCCAUUUGGCAAGAAGCAUGAUGAAGAAAGAACCAGUACUUUUGCCUAAUGUUACAAAGCAUGACUUCUCUCUCGAUGUCUGGGGCCAUAGCUGUACAGUCUACUGAGAGGCAAACUUAUCAUGUAGCCCAAUUAAAUUAAAAGGAUAAUAUUUGUUCUAGACUCAUUGAUUUUCCAUGGCAAGAUACAGGUUAAUAUUCUUAAUUAUUUGACCUUGGGUUUGGUUGGAAAUAUCUGAUUAAGAGAAAGUCUCUCUUUGGUAGAGAAGGAAAACAAUUUCAUGUAUCUACUGGACAGAGCACAACAUACAACUCUCAAUAACCUAUUAUAUGUCAGUGUUAUUAUUUUUGAGGAAUAUUUUGGAUAAGUGUGAUUUAAGACAUGUAUUUUGUAAAACACACUGUUAUCACUCUUGUUACUUGUUCUGUUGCUACAUCACAGGGUAUAGCUAGAGGCGAAAUGAAUGGCCGCAUUUGCAAUGCGAUUUGAUAUAUAAGGAAGUUAGUUUCCAACAGAAGGUGUUAAAACUGUGUCUUUGAGAUGAAUUUUUAGCUUAUCAGACUUUUAUCUACCAUACCUCUUAUCCUACGGUCUUAAUUUUCCUUAGUUGAAGGAAACUGUCAUCAUAAGUUUAUCGCAAGGAAAGAAAGUACGUAAGUGAAAGGGAAUAAUAUUUGAAAUGUAAAUAAGAAAUACACAUUUUUUAAAAAUUAAAUAAAUAAAUAAAUAAAUAAAUAAAUAAAUAAAUAAAUGAAAAAAGAAAGAUGUUGAGUGUUUGGGAUGCAAAAUUCUUCUUUUCUUUUAACACAGAUGCUGUAACUAACACGAAUUCUUCAUUCCAAUCUACUUCUUGUUCAGUAUCAAACUUUUCUUUCAGGGACCAGUACCAUUCAUUUGCUAGUGUUUUGACUAUAUUAUCUGAAUAUUGUUCCUUUCCAGCAAUGAUACAUAGCAUAUCCUAUGUGAGAGAAAGACAAGCUUCUAUUAUUAUAGACCCACACUUGUGAAGCACAAGCCAUGGCAAUUAUGGGUGGAGGGCUACAAAUGAGAGGAACGUAAAAGUCAUUGAAAUUUUUCUUUGUUAGCUUCCAAAUAUAUACUCCCCUAAUCCAUUUUCCCCAAUUUGAAACAUUGGGUUUUAUUGGAAUCACAUAAUUUUCAGCAUUAAAUCACACUUCUAAUCCUCAAGCGUUUUGGUGAAUGGUCCUCUCUUACAUUUUCUUUUCUUCUAUGAAGGGCCUUCUCAGGAAUUACAUUCUCAGUUACUAUUGGAUGAUUUUUCAUUCAAAGAUCAAAUUAUUAGUUUAUUUACUUUUCUCCUUGGCCUUUGUUCUGAAUCCCAAAAUCUGUUUUUAAGAAAACCUUUUCUCAAUAUACUUCCUAGACUUUUAUUUCCUUUUCCAGUGACUUCUAAUUUUCAACUAUCUCUGUCUAAAUAUGCUGUUCAAACCCUAGCAAAUUUCAAUCCUUCUAUGGUUCACUUGGUAAAAAUGCCUACCAUUCCAAGUGUUAUUCCAUAUUUUUAAAACUUCCAAAGUUGUGAUGAUUACAAUCAUGAUGAUUUCCAGAAACCUUUCCUGUAACAAACCUAAGGGGCAGCAAUGAAUAUCACAUGCCUAACAUAUAAACUUUUUCACAUGCAGCAUGAAUUCCUGGCAAAGUUAUAAUGCUAAAAUGGAUGCUGGACAGUAAAUAAAUCUUCCCAAUGGCAAUUCAGUAACUUAUUUAAAAUAGAUCAAAGCAUGUUAAGUGGCUUUUGAAUAUAGUCUACAUAUACAUAUAUAAAAUGAUUAAUAUAUAGCAAAGAUUAAUGCAUAUAUCUAAUUCAUUGGUAAUAUAAAAGUCUCUAGAUAUUUGGAAUUAUAAGAUCGAGUAAUUUCAGAGGCUAUGACAUUAAGGGAGACUCCAGAGAAAUAAGAGUGAUAAAGGAGCUGCAGUAAAUAGUAGUUGGUGACUCGGUGGAAAACAUCCAUAAAUCCAUUUCUCCAACAAGCUGGUGGGUUUGGGUCUUUGCUGCUGAAAUCCGUGCAAAAUGUGGGAAUACUAUUUAUUUUUAUUUUUAUUUUCUUCAAUUUUCUUUCAUGGCAUGAUUCAAACUUCAAUGGUAUCUCUAGUUUAAAAGGUCUUAAACUCAGGGAUAGGUUAUCUAAGAAUUCAUCACUUUGAUGAAAGAAUUUACUUAGAACAAAGGUCCCUAGAAAUUAUGCGAAGCAGGAUAGUUGUAAAACCCAAAAGGAAACUCACCAGUAUUGGAGAAGGAAGAUUUCCAUCUUAACAGAUACUCGUGAGAGACUUGCCAAAGAGUUGUUUAUUGGUACUGGUGGAGUUUGAUAAUUCCCACCAAGCUGCUCUUUACUUGGUGCUGGUUGGGUUAUAUACACAUUGUCUUGGCUGGUAUCGGUGCUACAAGUAAUCCCCAGGUUUAAAAAAGAAGGUAUUUUCUUAGAUAAUCUCUGAAUCUAAGAAGUAAGGACGGUUGUUUUAAUUGAAGUCACCUGGCCCUUGCAUGCCAUUUUGAUAUUAUAGCAUGGAUUCCUUCUGCAUCCCCACAAAUACAAAGAAAAUAGCUGGUCAAUGUUAUAACAAUUAUAAUAAUGUCAUUGCUUACUAAUGCACUGCAUAUCUAGUUGUAUGUGACCCAUAAUUCUGGUAUAAUCAGGAAAUUCUUGUGUUUGCCUUGAAAGCGAUACACGCAGGUAUUAUAGUACUGAUCUUUUAGGUUCCUGCGUGACUUUCUGACUGAACAGCCAUGGGAAAAUGUAAACAGAAAUAUUAUCAUUUUACAAAACAACUUGCUUGACUGCAUUUCUAUGACAGACCUUGGCUUUACCCUAUGAACUCUGAACUUAAAUAUGAGAUCAUAAAUCUCUCCCCUAUGGGUAUGUUAUGCUAUAUUAAGACUUCCGUAAGAGACAAGCAAGAUGGCACAUGCCUUUAAUCCCAGAUCCCAGGAAGUAGAUUUAAGAGAAUCUCUCCGAGUUUGAGGUCAGCCUGAACUACAAAGCAAGUUACAGCACAGACAGAGCUGUCCCAAAGAGUAAACCUGAUUUUCCAUUGGGUUGCUAUUUUGCGUAUAUAAAAAUGUAUGUUUAGACUUUAUAUAUUAAAGUAAGUGACAUUCCAUUACAUAUAAUUAAUAAAUUUCUUGGAUUUACAUCUUAGCUAAACUCAAGACCACUGGAAAGAGAUACCAAAAUUUGGAGGCAAAUUGUAACAAUAGAAUUUCUUUUAACAUGCAUAAGUGAAGUUUUCCUUCACAUUUUUAGUAAAUUCUAAUUGCUUUUUGUUAUAAAUCAUAUUUUCAGGGCUAAAUAAUUUUACCUUUUAAGUUAUGGUAGGAGAACCUCCUAUGCACACCUAUAAUCCCCUCAUUGUGAAGAGGAGCAUCUGGACUUCUGGACAGUACAUCAAGGCUGGGGCAUGUCAUUCCACUGGGUCAAAUGCUGUGUCCAUUUUCCUUUAUCUCUCUCAUGAUAGAUUAUUCCAGUAAUGAGAAACCUUUGCUCCAGAAGGGAAAAAUAAUGCAUUCUCAUAAUAAAUUGAAGCCAAGUCUUCGCCAAAUAAUUUUGGGGAAUUUUCAAUCAGAAGUUUUACAAGAGAAAUCUGUGACAACGUGGGGCAAACACACAGGGUCUCUGUCAUUUUUCAAUAGUUGAAAAUCACAUCUGUAAUACCUCUACAUCUCUUAGUGCCAAAUAGUCACAUACUUGUAUAAGUUGUCUUGGUCAUGCUGUUUUAAUAAAGCAAUAAAAUAUCACUUAGAGAAGUUGUUGAGAAAGGGAAUAUUAAUUGAGAAAAUGUCUCCAUCAGACCGGUCUAUAGUAUAGGGAAGUCUAUGUGACAUUGUCUUGAUUAAUAAUGGAAAUAAUAGGGCCCAGAUCUCCAGGACUGAGCCACCUUGGCGCUAUUGGUCAGGCUAAGAAAAAUAUAUGAGGUACAGGUCAGUAGGCAGAACUACUACAUGGCUUCUGCUUAGGUUCUUGCCUCCAAGAUCCUGCCUACUUCAGUUUAGGCCCUGAUAUUUCUCAGUAAUAAACUGUCAAAUAGAAGUAUAACAUGGAGUCCUCCACAAGUUGCUUUUCAACUAUGAAAGUAUAACCUGCCUUCUAUAAGUUGCUUUUUAAUCAGUGUUUUAUUACACCAAUAGUAGCAUGUUUAUAUACUUUCUAAAUUGAACAACACUGAUGUCCUUUUUCUUCUGAGAUGGCGGGUUAUGUCAACUCUGUUCAUCUCGUGUUUCUUCCUAGGAUGAACCUCUUUAUGUUUGAGCAGUCUUGCACUAAAGAGGAAUGAAAUGAUUCUCAGGAAAAUCACACUUAAAUGAUUGUCUUCUUUUAUUUGCACAUUGUUCAGAAUACUUUUGCUUCUUUUUCUUCAUACCUGAUCCUACAAAGAAAUAUAUUUUAAUAGAACUGUCCAUAUAGAGAGAAGGAUUACUAAUUAUUAAGAGUGGAGAAAUAUAUUUUAUCCCUUCAUUUGGACAGAACAUGCAGUUUAAUAUAGGGUUCGAUUUUAGAUUGCCAGUAGCUGUGUACUUUGGAGAAGAGUAUGUUAGUAGUCUAAGCCAAGUAAAGUACUAGGUAAGAAAGCUGUUCAAACCAUGUCUUGUAUCGUCCUACUCCACUGAGUCAUGUAACCAUGAUUUCCUCCAUGUGGGCCUUAUUCCUGGAAGCUAUUGGUUAAAAUAUACCCUUGAUUUCUUUUAUUGUCUGUUGCUUUUUACUUUUUAAAAUGUAAGUUCUUUAUUGAAUGUGUGUGAAUUUCUCAUCAUACAACCCAAUACCUCUCCCAUUCCAAUCCCAAAUCAUCUUUCCCCUUAGAAAUCCCCCAAAUCAAAAUUUAUAAAUGAAACAAGUAUUGAAAUUAAAAUUAAAUUCUAAAACUUAACUAAAGCAGAUAAAAAUUCAUCCCCAUGAGAUGUGAUGUGCCAUGGUGUGGUGUGUCACAUUGUCUAUACCCUUUACCAAAGCAGCUUUACUUGCAAAUGUUCAUUGAAAUGAGUCAGUGGUCUAGUUCAAGGCCUCUGGAUUUUGCUACAUCAUCAAUAGUGGAAGCUCCACGAGACUGUUCUCCUCCUAUAUCUGUACUUCCUGAUGUUUCCCUUAGUCAUGGAGAUUCUUCAGCUUUGAAUCUGCAGGGCCAGCCCCUUCACAUGCUUUAGCAGCUGCACCUAUGUCCUCUACAUACAUGUAGCAUAUAUGCAGCUUGAUCUUCAUUUAGAUCCCUUAACAUUUAGUGUGGGGCCUUUCUAUGACUCUGUUGUCCAUCUCUGGGUCCCUUUCCUCCAGCUACAAAGCCUUGUCUGUCCUGAGUGGGUGAAGAUCACUUAGCCCUGUUGUAAAUGAUGUAUGAAGGAGAUUUUGUAUCCCUCUGUGUUCUAUACUUCUCUAAAGAGAAGUAUAAAUGGAGGGAGGAGGUUGUGAGGAUGGGAUUUGGAGAAGAAUGGGAAUGGUCUGCCAUUAAGUUUAAAAGUGAAUAAAUAAAUGAAUAUACAUAGGUUUAUAAUAAAAUUAUUAGUUACAGCAAAGCAAAGGUACAUAAAACUGUAAAUGAAAUCAUACCAGCAUACAUUAGUCUUUCUUAUAUAAGUCGAAGUUAGUGCUAAAAUAUAGAACAUUCAGAGUAAUAUACACUUGUUAAUUAUCAUUAUGCAUUAUAUUGCAUAUUUUAUUUUAUAAUGUGUACAAUUUGCUUUUAUAUGACCAGCAAUACAGUCGAUGUGAAUAUUCUGCCUCAUUAUAAUAGUCUAAUCACUAUGAAACACGACUAUUAUGUAACCCAAAGUAGUGGUACAAUAAUAAAACAAAGCAAACACAGCAUUAUGUAAUCAGUAUUUUUUUCAACUUCAUUCUAGUUUCCUUGGAAUGCCAUAAUAUGUGCAGCAUAUUGUUGACUAAAACAUCAAUAUGUAAAAUCAAUAUCUAAAAAAUGAAAAAAAGAAAUGAUUCACUUAUUCAAACUACAUUAACAAUCUCCCUUCUCAAUCUUUCCUGAAUAGAUCAAUACCUCUUCCUCUCUGAGUAGUGCAAAUCGAAGGUAUGCUUUAAAAGCAAUGAUAUCAUUGAAGUAUCCCCAAUACCUGGCUCAUAAUGAGGACUUUGUUCCCAAAGGAAGAAAACAACUGAUCCCCUUAUUGAUAUUUUGAAAUCAUGCCUGAAAAUUGAAUUGCUGGAAGUAGGAUUUCAUAGAAAUUGAGGGGCUAUGUGAACAGAUAAUUGUAAGUGUCCAAGUGAUUCAUGGAAGAGCCUUUAAUCUUGAAUAACAUAUGAAUAAGUUGUUUUAGGAGAAUAUAGUUUGUUUUUGGCAUCUGCAAUAGAAAACUAAACAGGAUUUUAUGUUUGUUUUUCUAACUUUAAUGUUAUUCAUGAAACUCUACUUAAUACAAAGAAGUAUCAGGGUAAAUGUUUUGAAAACCAACUCAGGAUAAUCCUGUAUUCCUGUCUCAUUGUAAAGAUUUACCAAAGCUAGGCAUAAGAUAUAUAUGUCAUAUUGCCUCUUUGGUGUUAUUUUUGCUUAUCCUCUAUUGCAGGAAAUAGGCAUUAGAUACUUGGGGCUAUGUCAACAGAUAAAUUAUAAGCUGUCAUCUGACUCACAGAAAAUUUUCUGUCAAUUAGGUCUAAUAUUCUCAAAAGUUGUCUUAAAAGAGUAACUUUUGGGUAUAGUAGUUUUUGUAAAAGACUGAACACAGAGACAGUUAUUUUAAGACAAGUUUACUCAAUCUGUAAAUAUGAAGAAAGGGAACAGAGUAAUUGUAUUUCAGUUUGUACUAGAAAUAUUGCUUCAUACCGUCCCCACCCCCAAGAGAAAAAAGGAACAAAUUUAAUUUGAACAUAAAGUUGAGAUUAUAAGUAGGGGUCAUUGUGACCCCUCAAGUUAUACUUCUCUUUGAAAAUGUCUUUGAAAUGUGAACAAAAGACACCUUUUGCUGUCAUUGAGUACUUUUUGUAACUAUUUCAUAUAUAAUCUCUAAUGUGUGAAAGCAAAUAUUACUUCUACUAUGAUGAUAUUGUUCACCAGCUGUUACCUCUGCACAGUGGCUACUUUCUCUUCUUCAUUGACCUGGUCAAGUACCCCAAGCCAUUCUUCAUAUAGUCUAGAUGUCAUCAGACUUUCUUAGAUAUUUUGAAGGAAUUCAUUAUAAAGAGAAAAAAUAUAUUUUGGGGAAAAUGAUAUAAAUUUCUCAAUACACAUUCGAGUCUAAAUUUAUGUUGAGUUUUAACUUUCUUCACAGCUAACAAACUUUAUCCCAACUAGGGCAUUUUCUGGUAUAUAGGACCAAUAAGUUUAAUCCUUCAAAUCUAGAAACUAAGAGCAGAUUUUCAGAUGUGCUCGGAUUGCAGAAAAAUGUCUUCUUUGCUCAAGGUGCCUCUCAUGAACAGCUGAGCAAUCUAGUACAGAUAAGAGACCAAUUACUCAACUUGAAUACUCUUUCUAAAUGAUACAAACAUACAAUAAUUUAAUGAAAACAAGAACAACCAUAGUACGCUAUUAUUUCAAUUCUAAGGUGCAGGAAAUCAUGCUUGUCACUGGAAGCAUGAGGUCACAUGAGGUCAUGUUUCUUAGAGUAGGUCCUGUUACCAAACAACUGUGAUUCCCAGCUCUAUUCUAAAUAUUUAAGCUAAUAUUCACAGAUAAUAUAGCCCUUACCCAUCCAUCAAAGAAGGUUGUCUUUGCAGUGGAUGGAGACUAUUAGAGGAAACCACAGCUACUCAAAGCAAAUAGAACAAAAUACCCUGUGGCUCUGAGCUACAGGGUAUACAUAUACAUAGUAACUCCUGAACCAUAGACUCUGAGCAUUGGGUAAAGUAUCAAAAAAAUGUACACCAGAGUAUCAGGAACUUUGCUUUGAGAUUGGAUCUCAUAGAAAUGAAACAGAGACUUCACUUUUGAUAGGCCAACAAUAUCAUUGCUUAAACAAUUUCUAAACAAAACAUCAUCAAAGUUAGUUACAUUAAUGCAGAAUGAGGGAAUCUCAUGACACAAAACUUCCCGAUAAAGAACUGUAGGCACAUAAAGACUACUGAGAGUGAAUAUGUUAGCCUUUCCCAAAAAUUAACUCCAUUAAUUGUAAGCCAAUCACGGUUGGUUAUCUCAGAAAUAGUAUAUACACUACCAAGAAUAAUGAACUCAUCAGAUUUUUUAAAAUAUUUUGGAUUUAUCUAUCUAUAUAAUUAUAACAGUUAAAGAAAUUGGGACAUGAACUUGAGCAUAAGUGGGAGAUUGAGGGGACACAACAAUAAAGCCAAGGAAAAGGUGGAGGAAAAUAAUAUGAUUGAAUUUUAAUUUUAAUGAUAAAAUAGUUAUCAUUUUAUGGUGCAGAAGUGAAGGCCUCGGUGGUAAAGAAUACCUGUUUCACAGACAAGAGGACCUGCAUUUGAGUACCUAUAUUUUGUGAACAGAAACAAGCAGAUCAGGAGAUCCUACUUGGUAUGUGUAGAGAAGAUCUAUGUUAAGGAGUCACAUGCUUUAUACUGAGGAAGAGAAGCCUGACUCUCAGACAUAAUGUAGAGAGUGAUAGAGGAUGAACACCCCUUGUAGCCAAAUGCCUUAGAUUAGGUUUGCAUACCUGGUGCAACUCAUAUGCAUGUAUGAAGUGACCCUCCCUGUGUCCACAUGGAGGAAUUAAAUGAAAGAUACUUAGUUACAUUACUGCUCAUUAUGGCUGGUUUUUCUUUGAAUCCCUAUUUCUUAUUCUGUAUUAGAGGAACCUUUGUAGUUACCAGAUUUCUCUCACACGCAUCUAUUCUGAGUCAAGGGAAUGUAUGAUGAAGUAAACUACUCACAUCGAUUAGGAGGAAUUUUGACGGUCGAUGAUGCAAGGACUUUCUCUAUCUUUAAGAUACAUGCCACCAUAUGCGCAGGUCAAUUUUUUUAUGCUUAUACCUUCUCCAUAACCCAAAUUUCCUUUACUGUUUGGCAUGAUGUUAUGUUGGGUGAUAUUGUGAAUAUACCCUCAGUUUUGGUUCCUUUUUCUUUUAUGAGGGACAGCAUAUCCUGAGAGGAAAAUGGGAAAUACCUGUCAUGCCAUAUGCAGCACAGAGCACAAUUUACUUCUUGCGAACCACACCAAUGAUGUUCACAGCUGCAGUGCAAGGGCCAGCAUGGACAAAGAGGACCUUGAACUGGCUUUUUGACCCAAUCUUUUAUUGUAGUCAAUGUUCACAAAUAUGAACCCCCCAAAGCUCAGGCAAUAUUUAGUUUAUUAGAUUUUCCACACCAGUAAAGAAAUCCAAAAUUUUUAGUAGAUGGAUCCUAGUGAAUAGCCCUCUCUUAGUUUCCUAUUGUAUAGCCAAUGGAUUGAUAGAUGCACAAUUGUUUCUCCACAUCGUGAUAGAUUUCAUGAGGGUGGUGGGUAUUUAAGAAGCAGGAUUUUGUCCUAAUAACAGCCAGAGAAGUACCAUGUAAGACUCCCAAAAUUGCUGUGGUGGAUUGCCAUCAUCACAAAUCGAUAUCAGCUCUUUUUCAAAAAAUUUCCCUGUCUCAUCAAUAGUCAGGACUGUGCACAUUUGGUCAUAGUGAGACAUGGAGUACUUACAGAACAAUGAUGUUAUGAAAGGCCUUUUCUUAACUGUUUUCUCCUUUGCAGCUAAGAAAGAGAUGAGAUCAUUACAUGGAGCAGUGUCAUUUCUACAGCUCGUUUGAAAAACAGGAUUUCAAUGGCAAAAUGUCCAUGUUUUAAUGGAUUAGUCAUCCUAUAAUGUGUAUUUGUUCUUCUUCCUUAUAGUCUACAUUGUUAUCAAUCUUAGAGACACGUUCUAGUAUUCUCCAAUUGGAAUUCUCACAAGAAGGUGCCGUCUAACUCCAUACUGCCUCAUGAAAUACUCGAUAAAUGGGUUUAAUAACUUCCUGAAUAUGUAUAGCCAUUUGGCUUUGUGGUCAUAUCCUAUUCUCGCAUACAGCAGUUUUGUAUUGCUCUCAACUGUAGUGAAUCUCCUCCCAUUCCUAGUUUUCUUGAUGAAAUUUUAGAAGAACCAUUGUCAAAUUUCUCUCAUCAGCAGCAUGUCCCCUUCAUGAGAAAGUAUCCUUGUCAAUUUUGUCAGUCUCUGGAUGCUUGCUCUUUUUCUCUUCUAAGACUUCUUUGACCAUAAUGAAAUAUUAAAUAAAUUAGUUGAUACAUAUACAUUAAAAAUAAAGUAGUCAUAUAACAAAAUAUAAUAGAAACAGUCCCCCUCGAUUUAGAAUAUACUAGCCCUACUUUACGGAAACACAUUAGGCAUUUGCACAAAAAAUAUGGCCAUUCCUCUUUUUCUUUUUUCUUAGUUUGUUUUCUUUUUCUUUUUGACUUUUACUUUUCUUUUACAGUUCCCUUUUUUCGAGCCCCCUUACCUUUUUUGAGCUUCCUUAUCUACAACUGUACUCCCAAAAGUUACUUACAACUGCAAACACCUUUUCCCAGCACACCACUUCCAGAGGUAUUCUUCACUGUAUCCCUUGUAGUCCAGCCUUCCUGCUGGGUGCCACUGUGCUGGAGCCAGUCAACAGGAAAACUACUACAUUGAGAGUGAGAACAAUUAUAGGAAAGGCAGAAGAUUCAAAAGACAGAUAUGGGAGGGAUUCUGGUCAGUGUCAUGCCACAAUCAUGCAUCUUUUCUCAGUGUCUUUUAAAGGUAAGCAACAGCAGCAUGACCACUUCUAGGAAGUUAAACAAUGACCACAAAUGCUUAUAUAGGAAGUUUAUAUUUGACUAAGGCCAUUUCUUUCAGGCAUGCAGUCUUUCAAAGAAUUAUGCUUAAGUGGAGAAACUUGGCAAGAUAUAACACAUUUUAAUUAAAGACGAAGCAAUCCACAGACUCAUAAUUAAUCACAAGCAAGAAGUCAUCCAAAGUUAAUUCCAGAUGAUCUCUCCACACUUCUCAAACUAUUCCAUAAAACAAAAACAGAAGGUCAGAACAUGCUGGUAAGAUUGUGGAGAAAGGGAAACAUUCCUUCAUCGCUGGUGGGAUUGCAAACUGGCACAACCACUCUGGAAAGCAAUCUGGCAGUUCCUCAGAAAAUUGGAAAUUGUUCUACCUGAAGACCCAGCCACACCACUCGUGGGCAUAUUCCCAAAAGAUACUCCACCACAGCACAAGGACACAUGUUCUACUAUGUUCAUAAAAGCCACAUUUGUAAUAGCCAGAAGGUAGAAACAACCCAGAUGUCCCUCAACCAAAGAAUAGAUACAGAAAAUGUGGUUUCCUUACAUAAUGGAAUACUAUUUACCUAUUAAAAACAGGGACAUCAUUUGCAGGCUAAUGGAUGGAACUACAAAAUAUCAUCCUGAGUGAGGCAACCCAGACCCAAAAGGACAUGUAUGGUAUGUACUCACUGAUAAGUGGGUAUUAGCCAUAAAGUACAGAAUACCCAUGAUACAACUCACAGACCAUAUGAAAUUUAACAAGAGGGAAGACCCAAGUGAAGAUGCUUCAGUUCCACUUAGAAGGGGGAACAAAAUAAUCAGAGGAGGCAAAAAGAGAGAGGGACAUGCCUGUGAGAGGAGAGGGAGAGGGGAAAAGAAGACAGAAUCAGGUAUUGGCGGUGGGGAGAAAGAGAGACAGGAGAGAAGGCCAGAGGGCCAAGAAAAUUAGGAGAUGGUGGGGCCAGGACAGUAGGGGAAACCUCUAGAAAAUCCCAGAGACCUGGGAUGUGAGAAUCUCCCAGUAUUCAAUAGGGGUUGAAAUGCCAAACAAUGGGGAGACAGAACCUGAAGAGACCACAACCAGGAGAUAGACAAAGCCCCUAAGAGAGGGAUGAGAUCACCCAUCCAAUUUCAAAAUUUUUGUUCCAGAAUUGUCUAAAGGAAAUGCAGGGACAAAAAUGGAGCCAAGCAGUGACCAAACCAACUUGGGAUCCAUCCCAUGGGCAGGCCUCAAAUCCUGAGACUAUUAUUGAUGCUAUAUCCUUUCUCCACAUCCUUGCCAACAUGUGCUGACACCUAAGUUUUUGAUCUUAGCUAUUCUGAUUGGUAUAAGGUGGAAUUUUAGGGUCAUUUUGACAUGAUUUCCCUGGUCACUAAAGACUUUAAACAUUUCUUUAAGUGCUUCUCAGUCUUUUGAGAUUCCUCUAUUGUGAAGUCUCUGUUUAGCUCUAUGCUCCAUUUUUUUUGAAUGGGUUUAGAUUUUUUGGAGGUUAGUUUCUUGAGUUCUUUACAUAUUUUGGAUAUUAGCCUUCUGUAGGAUGUAGAUUUAGUGAAGAUAUUUUUUCCAGUUUUCAGUUUCAGGAAGUCCUAUUUAUCAACUCUUCAUCUGAGAGCCUGAGUCAUUUCAUCUGAGAGCCUGAGUCAUUGAAGUUCAGUUUAGGAAAUGCGCUCUCACCCUCCACCUCCAAGCCAAGGAGUUCAAGACUGUUUCCCAAGUUCUCUUCUAUCGGAUUCAGUGUUUCUGGUUUUAUGUUGAAGUACUUCAUCCACUUGCACUUGAGCUUUGUGCUAGAUGACAAAUAUGGAUCUAUUUUCAUUUUUCUACAUACCAACUGCCAGUUAAACCAACACCAUUUAUUGAAGAAGCUUUCUCUUUCCCAUUGUAUAUUUUUGACUUCUUUGUGAAAGAUCAAGUGUCCAAAAGUGUGUGGUUUUAUUUCUGGGUCUUCAGUUCUAUUCCCUUGAUCAAUCUGUCUGUACCAAUACCAUGCAGUUUUUAUCACCAGUGCUCUGUAGUGCUAUUUGAGGUCAGGGAUGGUGACUCCCCCCAGAAGUUCUUUUAUUAUUAAGAAUUGUUUUCCCCAGGUUGGAGAGAUGGCUCAAUGGUUAAGAGCAUUGACUAUUCUUCCAGAGGUCCUGAGUUCAAUUCCCAGCAACCACAUGGUGGCUCACAACCAUCUGUAAUGGGAUCUGAUGCCCUCUUCUGGUGUUUCUGAAGACAGCUACAGUGUCUUUAUAUACAUAAAAUAAAUAAAUCUUAAAAAAGAAAAAAAAAGAAUUGUUUCCCCUCUCCUCGGUUUUUUGUUUUUCCAUAUAAAAAUGAGAUUUUUUUCUUUCCAUGACUUUGAAGAAUUGUUUGGAAUUUUGAUGAGGUUUGUGUUGAAUCUGUAGAUUGCUUUUGGUAGGAUGGCCAUUUUUACUAUGUUAAUCCCAUCAAUCUUUGAGCAUUGGGGGUUUUCUUCCACUUCUUUCUUGAAAGAUGAAGUUAUUGUCAUACACUUUUUCACUUGUUUUAAUUAGUUACUUCAAGAUAUUUUAUAUUAUUUGUCACUAUUGCAAAAGUAUUGCCUCCCCAUUUUUUUCUUAGCCCAUUUAUCCUUUGUAUAAAGGAAGAUUAUUGAUUUGUUUGAGUUAAUUUUAUAUCUAGCCACUUUGCUGAAGUUGUUAUCAGCUGUAGGAGUUCUCUGGUAGAAUUUUUAGGAUUGUGUAUGUGUAUUAGUCAUACCAUCGGCAAAUAGUGAUACCUGGGCUUCUUCUUUGCCAAUUCCUAUCACCUUAAUUUCCUUUUGUUGUCUUACUGCUCUAGCUAGACAUUCAAAUACUAUAUUGAAAAGAUAUGUGAAGAGUGGGUAGCCUUAUCUGUUUCUUAUUUUAGUGCAAUUGCUUCAAGUAUCUCUCCAUUUAACUUAAUAUUGGCUGUUGGUCUGCUAUAUAUUGCUUUUAUUUUUAGGUAUGAGCCUUUAAUUCCUGAUCUCUCCAAUACUUUUAACAUGAAGGGGUGUUACAUCUUGUCAAAUGCCUUUUCAGCAUCUAAUGAGAUGAUCAUGUGAUUUUUUUCUUUUGAGUUUGUUUAUAUAAUAGAUUGUAUUAAUGAAUUUUCAUAUAUUGAGCCAAGCUUGCAUCCCUGGGAUGAAGACUACUUGAUCGUGGUGAAUGAUGGUUUUGAUUUGUUCUUGGAUUCAGUUUACAAGAAUUUUAUUGAGUAUUUUUGCAUUGAUAUUCAUAAGCAGGCUGGGGAUUUAGCUCAGUGGUAGAGCGCUUGCCUAGCAAACGCAAGGCCCUGGGUUCGGUCCCCAGCUCUGAAAAAUAGAAAAAAAAAGAGAACCCAAAAGAUAUUCAUAAGCAAAAUUAGUCUGAAGUUCUUUUUUCGGUCUUUAUGUGGUUUAGGUAUCAGAGCAAUUGUGGCUUCCUAGAGUGAAGUAGGUAAUGUUCCUUUUGUUUCUAUUCGAAGGUCUGGUAGGAUUCUGCACUAAAGAUAUCUGGCCCUGGGCUUUUAUUGGUUGUGAGGUUUUUUUAAUGACUUCUAUUUACUUAGAGGAUAUGGACCUGUACAGAUAGUUUACCUGCCCUUGAUUUAACCUUUUAUGUGCUAUCUGUCUAGAAAAUCAUUUCUUCUAGAUUUUCCAGUUUUAAUGAGUAUAAGUUUUUGUAAUAUUAUCUGAUUAUUUUUGACUUUCCUCCGUUUAUGUUGUUAUGUUCUCCUUUUAACUCUGAUCUUGUUAAUUUGGAAACUGUCUCUAGGCCAUUUAGUUGGUUUGUCUAGGGGUUUUCCUAUCUUGUUCAUUUUCUCGAAGAACCAUUUUUGGUUUUGUUGAUUCUAUAUUAUUCUCUUUGUUUCUACUUGGCCCUGAUUUAGACUAUUUCCUGCUCUCUACUCCUCUUGGGUAUAUUUCCUUCUUUCUGCUUUAAGACUUUCAGGUGUGUAUUAAGUUAACAGUGUAUACUCUCUCCAAUUUCUUCAUGAGGGCACUAAGUGCUAUGAAUUUUCCUCUUAGCACUGCUUUUAUUAUGUCCCACAAGUUUGGGUAUGCUGUUUCAUCAUUUUCAUUGAAUUCCAAAAAGUAAUUUCUUCUUUAUUUCUUCCCUGUCCAAGUUGUCAUUGAGUAGAGCAUUGUAUAGUUUCCAUGCAUAUGUGGAUUUUUUAUUGUUUUUGUUGUUAUUAACAUCUAGCCUUGAUCUGAUAGAAUGCAUGGAAUUAUUUCAAUCUUCUUGUAUCUCUUGAGGUUGCUCUGUGACCAAUUAUAUGGUCAAUUUUAGAAAAGGUUCCAUGAGAUGCUGAGAUAAAUUCUUUUAGAGAGAAAUUUUCUGUAUAUAUCUUUUAAAUCUAUUUGGUUCAUAGCCUCUGUUAGUUCACUGUGUCUCUGUUUAGUUUCUGUUUCAAUGUCCUGUAUAUUGGUGAAAGUGGAGUGUUGAAUUCUCCCACUAUUAUCGUGUGGGGUUUAAUGUGUGUUUUGAGCUUUAGUAAAGUUUCUUUUAUGAAUCAAGGUAUCCUUGCAUUUGGAACAUAAAUGUUCAGAAUUGAGACUGUUUCUCCGUGGAUUUUUCCUUUGAUGAAUAUGAAGUGUUGUUCCCUAUGUCUCUUGAUAACUUUUGGUUGAUACUCCUGUUUGUUUCAUGGGAAUAUUUGCUUGCAAGACUUUUUCUAGCCUUUUCCUCUGAGGUACUGUCUGUCUUUGUCAUUGAGAUGUGUUUCUUAUAUGCAGCAAAAUGUUGGAUCCCACUUUCAUAUCCGGUCUGUUUCUUGUGUCUUUUUAUUGGAGAGUUGUGUCCUUUGAUAUUGAGAAAUCUUAAAGACAGAUUGUUAGUUUCUAUUAUGCUCAUUGUAGGUGGUAUUAUGUGUAUGUGAUCCUCUCCUAUUAGUCUUGUUGUGAGAUGGUCAAUUUCUUGUCUUGCUUUGUUUUGGUUUGGCUGGUUGGUUUUUUUUGGAGGGGGGUUGUUUGGUUUUUGUUUUACUUUUGUUUGGUGUAGGUCCCUCCUUGUAUUAGAGUUUUCUGUCUAGAAUCCUCUAUAGGGCUGGAUUGGUAGAUAAAUAAUUUAAAUUUGACUUUGUUCUGGAAUAUUUUGGUUUCUCCAUCUAUGAUGAAAAAGAGUUUUGCAGGUUAUAGUAGCCUGGGCAUUUGUGUUCUCCUUGGAUCUGAAUGACCUCUAUUCAGUUAAUUUUUGCUUUUAGUCUCUCUGUUGAGAAACCUCGUGUGAUUUUGAUAGGUCUGCCUUUAUAUGUGACUUGGACUUUUUAUCUUACAUCAUUUUAAUAUUCUUUCUUGUUCUGUGCAUUUAGUGUUUUGAUUAUGAUAUGAUGAGAGGAUUUUCUUUUUCUGUGCAUUUAGUGUUUUGAUUAUGAUAUGAUGAGAGGAUUUUCUUUUUCUGUCCAAUCUAUUUGGUGUUCUAUAGUCUUCUUGUACAUUUGUGGUCAUCUCUUUCUUUAGGUUGGGGAAGUUUUCUUCUAUGAUCGGCUGAAGAUGUUUUCUGGUCCUUUGAACUGGGACUCAUCCCUCUCUUCUAUUCAUAUAUAUAUUAGAUUUGCCCUUUUUAUUGUAUCCUAGAUUUCCUGGAGGUUUUGCGUUAGGAGUUAUUUAUGUUUGGAAUUUUCAUUGACCACUGUGUCAAUAUCUUCUAACAUGUCUUCUGUUACUAAGAUUCUUUCUUCUUCUAUCUCUUGUAUUCUGUUGCUGAUGCUUGCAUCUGUAGAUCCUGGCCUCUUUCCUAGGUUUUCCAUUUCCAUGGUUUUUUCCAUUUGUUUUUCUUUAUUGUGUCUAUUUCCAUUUUUAGGUCUUGUACUGCUUUGUUCAAUUCUGUUGCCUGUUUGAAUCUGUUUUUCUGUAUUUCGUUAAGGAAUUUAUUUCUUCUUUAAGGGCUUCUCCUUUUCUAACCUGUUUUUCUGUAUUUCAUUCAGUGAGUUAUUUCCUCCAUAAAGAACUAUAUUAUCUUCAUGAGAAUGGAUUUUAAGUCAGCAUCCUGGUUGUCAGGUGUGUUGGGAUAUCCAGGGUUUUCUGUGAUGAGAAAACUUUGUUCCGAUGGUUCCAAAGUAUAUUGGCUUUUCUUGCUUAUGGUCUUGUGCUUGCCUUUCACCAUCUGGUUAUCUCUGAUGUUAACUGUCCUGGGUGUCUCUGUCUGGAGCCUGCCUCCUGUGUCCCUGGGUUGCUACAGGUCCUCUUGGGAGGCCUUCAGACUUGAGUUUCUGAAGGGAAUGGAUACCAAUGAUCUGUUGCACUGGAUGCAACAUAUCUCCUAAGAGAUUUUCAGACUGUGCAGUCUGUUGCCCUGGUUGCAACAGAUCUCCUGGAAGGCUUUCAAACAGUAUAGUCUGUUGCCCUGGGGAUAUCAGAUCUCCUGGGAGGCUUUCAGACUUUUCAGACCCCUGUGGAGUCUUCAGAAAGGCAGAGAAGUUGGAUAAAGCAAAUCUCCUGAGGUGCCUUUAGUUUGUGGGUUCUUUAGAGGGACAAGCAAGCCAUUUAUCUGGCUCAGCAGAAGGCACAGGCAGGAAGGAAGGUAGUGUUCAAGUGAAGGAGAUGUAUCUUGAGUCUGCUGGACUAUUCAGGGGUUGCUGCUGCAGGUUUUUUGUUUGUUUGUUUGUUUGUUUGUUUGUUUGUUUGUUUUUGGUGAGGGGAGACCUCCCUUACCUGUUGCCCUGGGUGCAGCAGAUCUCCUGGCAUGGCUUCAGAAUGUGGGUCUUCAGAUGUCAGACAAGCUAAUAAUCUACCCAGGCAGAAGGCACAAGCUAGAAGGAGAAGUUGAUCCAAUUUUAAUUUCUAAGUUAUUGAAAACUCAAAUGUAAUUUAAUUCAGUGUUCUGAAUAACCAUUUUUUCUAAGUCAAUUGACAAUUCAGGCUAUGAAAUUAAACCUUACAUAAAGAUUUCUCCCAAGGAAUGUUGUUUUUAGAUAGUCAUUAUUUUAAAAUUCUCACAAAAGUGUUAUCAAAUAAGUUAUCAUUAAAAAUAAACUUUUAAACUGUGCAACACAACUUUAGACUCUGAAAAAUACACAUAUAAGUUUAUGCAUUAUGUGAUAGAAUAUCAGAGAUAAAUAUAUUUAAUAUGCAUGAGUCUCAGACAUUUGCACAAUGAAAUGCAAUUUGGCCAUGAAAAAAGUAAGAAAACUAUAUUUCUAAUCUGUCUUUAUAAAAAUCUUGGGUAUAAAAUCAUCUGUUUAAAACUUAUAAACAUAGUCUGCCUACACAUGUAAUUCUUAACACUACAAAUUGCUUUAAUCCUUGGAUUCUGGACUGUUUUGCUGAUAUAGAUGAUUCUAGAUGAUGAAUGAGCACACAGAAAGACACAGCCUAUGUUCCAUGUACAAGUCAUUCCACAUUCUCAUUUCAGUUCUAAAUUUGUACUGCAAACAUCUGAAUUUAUAGCAGGAUGGCUAUCUUUACCUUGCAAUAUAAAAUCUUGUAUCAUGAAAUUUUAAAUGACUGUCAGGAGAAGUGAAAACAACAAUCUACCUAGAUUUAACAGACAUUACUUUUCUUUUUUUCACAUUGUUUAAUAAAACAAUACAUAGCAGAUUAAUGAUAUCAUCACAACAAAAACAAUGGCAAUAAGUCAAUAGUUAAGGAAGAUUUUCAAUAAUAUGCACAAGAAGUAGUAAAAAAAUUGAAAUGUGACAUACAAGUCAAAGUACCUAGCAAAACUCUUUAAAAUGGUCAAGUGAACUUACAUUUAGUAGCUCACCUAUACUCAUACCAAAAGGCUAACAUAAUCUUUAUCCUAAAACCCAACAUGUGAAGAGGUAUAAUUAGGCAAUAAUAAGCUCCAAUACUUAUCCUGGUGUUCAUGACCAAAGUUCAUUCAGAUUAUUUCAGAUAAAAUUACACCCUAUGAACCAUCCCCUAGAAGUAGCAGUGGCCUGUAGGUGUCCAAGAUAAAUUAAGGUUCUCCCAACCUGAUGUCUUAUGUUCUUCAGUGACUACCAGCAAUCUUAUUUUUACUGGUAGUACAGAGAUCAGAUUCUACCAUUUUCAUAUAUCUAUAUUAUGAGUUAAAUGAGAAUAUAAAAUAAUAUUAAGCUUACUGUUUUUGUCUAUAUAUGUAAAUUUUAACUAUAUUUUUUCUUGAUUGACUCUUGUUCAUUAAUCUGUUUCUAAAAGCAUAGCACUAUAUUUUUCCUUCAGUUUUAAUGAAAACCACCUCAAAUACUGGAUUCACAGUAUGUAACAUUUUUCUAACAAAGAAAUUGAUUGUAUUAGAAUAUGUGUCAAAUAUGCUAAAACACAACAUGAUACAUCAGGUAUCAUGCACCAGAUGUGAAAUUUGGUAAUUCCAAUAAUUUGCCUAAAUGUAAAUAGUUUUAUAAUUUCUGUAAAAUUAAAUAACAACUAUAAUUCAUAUGAACUACAUAUAUUAAAACAAAGAACAUUAUUAACUUGAAUAAGUAGAAAGAAGAUAAAGGAGAAAUGAUGGAAAAAUGAUGAAGAAGCAUCAUUCAAUGUGGUGGCUGCUAAGCACAGUGAGUUAUGUAAAUAUUAAUGAAAAUUCUUGAAUAGUUACAAAACUUAAUUUCUAUCAUAUUAAAUAAUAUAAGCACUCUCCAGCACCUUUUCUUUAUGAGGGACAGUAGCUUAGAAAAAAGAAGCUUGGGAUUCCUGUUAUGGCCUUUAAAAGCUGAGUGUAGAUUAGCAACUCUACUGCCUCUACUCAUAGCUGAGCAUUCCAGUCAUCCCAGGAAGUACUCCAGGAGCCCAACACACUGAACUGUACUCACUGCCUUUGCAAAGGGGGGCUCCAGACAACGGCAUAAGUCACCAUUAUACAUGGGUUUGAAAGCAGGUCUCCAGAACGUUCCUUCUAAAACAUAAGAAAUAAAAUUUGCAAUUACAUAUAGUUUUUAGCUAUCUGUGGUAAUCAAUGCAGAAUUCAUUUUUCAUUGAUGUGGGUAUAAACAUGGUUGUAAUGAGGAAUCCCUUCAAAAUUAUUUAUUGAAGCUAUAGGAUUUUGUUAUUUGGGUUUUUACAUUGUUUUAUUUUUAUUAAUAUGUUAAUUCUAAGUUACUUGUAUAUAUGUACUACAUGAAGGGUAUGUUUUUGCUUAUAAUAUUGGGAAGCAAAAAACAAUGAUUUGGAGAGCAAUAUAGUUUAGUAACAUGCAUUUGUAUAAGAAAAGUCUGAUGUGAGAUUAACUCACUUGCAAAGAAAGAGACUUGCUUUUUGAGUAAGCUAACUAUACACUUCUGCUCUCUCCAAGACAACCAGGAAGUCUUAGACCUUAUUGUGCUCCCCAAGUUACCUUGACCCCCAGUUAAUAUAUUAGCAUAGCCAACAUUUUCUCUUACUAUAAAGAUUUUAUGAUUACAUGUGUGCUUUCAUAAAAAUGUUACUAACAGAAUAUAAUUUGGAAGUUAAUACUCUUUAAUUAAAUAGUACAAUCCCUUAUAAGUGGUUAAAAAUAAUACUCUUAAUUUUGCUAAUAAAGUUCUCUGCUGUCCUAUAUGCUUGUUUUUACUCAAAGAGAAUUGAAUACCAGACAUUUAGCUUAGCUAUACUACAAUGCACCUACUUGGCAUUCGUGGGUUUAGAUGUGACAAUACACUGUGAAUCCUGGGUUAGUAAUCCAGAUGAAACUUUUUUCUACCCCCUCUAAACUGCUUUAACCACAUCAGAACAAGCAGUCUUCAUCCUGGUGCUGGGAGAGACCUCUGCAUUCUUGUCAUUCUGAGGCAUAACCCCCUGUGUUACUUAACACUGGGUUAAUCAGCCUGAUUUUGAGUGACUGUAGGUUCCUCUCUUGUAUAGUCUUCAGAACUUUCCGUUUAAUCCAUCAAAACUAGAAUAACCUGAGUGACUCUUCUUAGCUUAGAAUAUAAGGAAUUUGGCUACAGGAGAUCAUCUCAUCUCUUACAGACAUUAAAAUUGCAAAAGCAAUUGCAAAUUCCUCAUAUUAUUUUAAUCAUUUGAACAUUUCUAAUGUUUUAAUUGCUCAGAAAAUCUCAUUUUCAGUUUUUAUUUUUAUUGUUUUUACAGCUAUCAAUUUCUCAGCCCUUUACAGUUAUGAAAGACUAUUGAGUUUACUGCUUGAGGGAAUAAGGAGCAGUUUUUCAGAUUCAUGGCCACUACCUAAGAAACGUCUACCAAUAUGUUUUGUAAAAAGCAGUAUGAUGUGGCGGUUGUGGGGUGGGUGCCUUAGCAAGCCCAUGUUGAGACAUUUCCCCGGGACAGUUUAAAAUGAAGCUUACUGGGAAAGGGAAUAACACUCGAAAUGUAUAUAAGAAAUGCUCAAGUUAAUAAAAAAAAAUGAAGCUUAUUUUGGUGCAUGAGAAGGGGAAUGAGAAUGGAGUAGAGGCAGAAAAAGAAAGAAGAAAGGUAAGUACAGUGAGAGAAAAAAGAGAGAAAGAAGGGAAGAGGACCACUGGGAACUCAUGGCAGGGCGGGAGUGGGGUUCAGAGAAGGAGGGAAAGAGUAUGACCAGAGGCCAGACAAAGAGAAGACGGAGACAGAGAGGUCUGUAUGAUGGUGGAGGGGGCAAAGGGGAGGGGCGGGGGGCACAAACAGUCCUUUUAUAGCAAGCCAGGCUCCUACCUGGCUGUUGCUAGGUAACUUGGUCAGAGCCUUGAAGAAAUGCUAGUAUCUACAGAAGGAGUACCAAGACAGGAUCUCCACUGAUUCAAACUACCAAUUAUCAUUUGAGCUAAUGGCAUCCAGUUUAUAGAAACUUGAGCAAAUGUAAAACAACUAAAAUUUUAGCACCUUCAACUUCUAAUUAUCUGGUAAAAAAUGGAACAUCUUUUCCAGUUCUUUAUUUUAUCAGUGUUCUAUAACCUUCAUUUCUCUGAUCAUUUAUUUCCUUAAAUAAUGAAUUCAUAUGUACAAGUUUGUUAAUGUGGUUUAUUUUUCUAGAUUUUUGUCAUGCUGAAUGGAAAUGAAUUCUUUAUAUUUUAUUUUUCAUGAUAGAUUUUUAAAUUAAAGAUUUAAAUGAAAUAUAAUUAUAUAGCCCCCAUAUUUCUGUGUUUUCCUUUCAACUCUUCUCAUGUUCUCUUCAUCCAGUUCCUGAUGUCCUCCUCUUUCUUUCUAUUAAGUUGAUGGUAUCUUUUUAUUACCUCUGAGAUAUAUAUAUAUAUAUAUAUAUAUAUAUAUAUAUAUAUAUAUAUAUAUAUAUAUAAUAUAUGUGUGUGUGUAUUGCAUAAAAUAUAAAUACACCCUGCUGUCUGCUGUUCAUACCACUCAUGCAUAUGCUUUCAUGGCUGAUAAGUUGCUUUUAAAUAAUCAGUUAGAAGGCUCAUUCCUAGGAAAGACCAAUUCUCUUCCUCUCAGCAAUUAUCAGUUGCCUGAAGUUCUUUAUAUAAGAGUAGCCCAUAAUAUGUCUCUUUCACAUAGUAGUUUGUCUAUUGAUAUUGUUACUGCUUGUAUCUUGGGUCUUGGUUAGGCAACCCAAAUAACUGAAUCAUGGGGAUAAUUUCCAGUAGACAAUCUCAUUGCAAAGUUUCUGGUCCCUUUAUUCUUAGAAUCCUUCACCACUAUCUUCUUUGAUGUUCCAUGGAUCAUGAAUAUAGAAAUUUUGUAUAGAUCCAGUGUUAUAACUGAUAUUCAAAUUUUUUACAUUUUAAAUCUCUGCUAAUUUACAUGAAAUAUUAAAUUUGCUUAUCAUUUGCUAACAUAUUUCUGUUGGAGAUUAAAAUUCUCUGUGUAUGAAAUAGAAUUGCUUGCAAAUAGAUAAUUUCCUUCAUUUUCGUUUGCAUGUGUUUCUUUUUUCAUAUGGUCUGCUACUGAACUUUCAGGGAAAACACUGAUGACAGUUAAUAUUUCUAUCUUUCUUAGAUCCAAGGGAAAAGAAUUUCAAGUUUUACACAUUCAAAAUAAUAUUGACUCUAGUUUGUUGUACAUGAAAUAUGCAUUGCUGAAGUGUGUUCCUUCUACAAGUAUGCUGACUUUUAACAUGGGAUUGUACUUAUGGUUACCAAUUCUCUUUUAUUCAUCUCUUGAGAUGAUGUGCAUUUGGUCUUCAUUCUGCUGUGUUGAAUUACAUCUAUAGAUCUGUGCUUAUUAAACCACCUUGACACCCCUCCCAUAAGCCAUACUUUGUCCUGAUGCACCUUCUCCUUGACAUGAGGUUUGAAUGGCUUCUAAAAUGCUAUCUAUAACUAUACUCAGUGGGGAUACAGUCUGUUUUUUUCUUUCCCCCUUUAAUAAAGAAAACUCAUUGUGCCUCUGUAGUUACAUAACUCUAGAACUUAAAAAAUGUGAUUUCUUUAGUGACCUAUUUAUUUAGGUGUUUAUUCUUCAAGAACAUAUGAAAUAUCUCAGUGCUUAAGGCACUGUAAGCCUGAUUACUCAAGUUUAGUCCCAAACCUACAUGAUAAAAGAAAGAUAUUGAUUCUUGCAAGGAGUCCUCUGACUUUCAUUUGUGUGUCAUUUUAAACAUGCAUCAAUGCAUUCUCAUGGGCACAUACCCAAACACACAAAGAAAAGCAUAGCUAGCUAUAUUUUUCAGUACCCAUUUAUUUAUAUACUUCUCUUAGCUUACAUUGCUAUUAAUUUUUGUUUGAUUCCACUGUCAUCUGAUAUUAUAAAGGCAUAAUUUUGAUUAUUUUUAUUUAUAUGCUUUAUAGCUUUGAGUUCUAUAUUAGAGAAUAAAUGGGUGAUGAGGAGAAUAUGUGUUCAGCAGACGUUUUUUAAAAAUAGAAAAGUGUGGAAGUGUUUGCUAACUAUGUGGUAGAUGAUAAAGUUUAACUAUAAAGUUCUUUUUGUGGAUAUUUUAGCUUAGAUGGUUCAUUUACUAAUUAGAGUGGAACAUUGAUCUCAUAUACUAUUAUUACCUUUUGGUCUAUCUGGCCCUUUUUGUCCAAAGUGUUUCAUUAUAUCUUCUUCAUGGAUUUUUCUCUUUAGUGACAUGUGUUAAUGUUCUUAUAUCUCACCCAGUUCACAAUAAUUAUCCUUCUGGAAAAGUGAGGCUACAGAGGUCAAUUAGCAACCCAUGUUUAGUCAAGCCCAGAGCAAUUAUGUGGACAAUUAGUUCAAUGUAGUAUGAAACCACAGCUAUCACCAGUAGAUGCUAAAUUCCUAGCCAUCAAAGAUGGAUUUUCUUAUACUCCACCCCUUUAUUGACCAAGCCAAGUAUCCUGCCUCUUGCUCUAUACUUUUCUCUUCUCCUCUGAACAGCCUCCCUUACUCUUAAUCUGUGGCUUCUUAACUCUAGGGUCCAUGAAUUAUCACAAUUCCUUUUCAGCAAGACCUCUGUGUAGUAUGUCUUAAACAUUAGGUUCACUUUCAAUAUGGCGUAUGAUCACAACAGUAUGAUCUGUAAAGAGUAGCAAAGUGAAUGUCAUUGAACUGCUAAAAUGUCAGAUCAUCAAUCUGAUCAUGAUUCUUGACUUAUAGGAAUUGUAAGCUAUCAUUGUAAGUAGGAAUGAAAAUCUUUCAGCAUGGCCUCAUAGGUAUCUUUUGUGUAGAUUUUUCUUUUUCCUACAAUUCUGAGACAUAUCCUACGUGUUCCUGUUCUCUGUAUCAUCCUCCUUAUCUGAUGCUUUCUCAAGUCUCAUGACUCCAUUUGUAUGACAUUCUUCCAGUCUUUCUCCACUAUGUAGAGACCAUCUUUGUUUUUCUGACUAGCUCGGUUACAUUAUAGAACUCCUAAGUAAGCAUAUUUUUAAUUAAUUUUGAAGCAAUAAAUCAUGAUAAUAUAUCCUUUCUUCAUAUAACAUGCCAUCCUCUCCAUCAACUAAGCCAUACUCUACAUUUCAUUAGAAAACAGAUAGGCCACUCUUGCUCUUACCCUACUCUUCUCUGCUCUUAUACCCACUUCCCCUUUGCCCUAUGGAUGGCCAUAAAAUAGUAAUUACAGUAGAUUACAGAAAGAAAAGAAUAGAACUUGGGGGUGCAGCUGUGUGGAAGAGGGGUUAGGAAACCUAAGAGGGUUACAAUGAGAGCUGUAUAUGAUAAAAAAAUACCAUGCACCUAUUAAAAAAACAAAAGAUUUUUAAAAGAGGUCUAUACUAGCACAUAAGAUAGCAACAAAACCAAAAAGAAAAGACAGGUGAUGUUGACUCCUCAAUUUCCACAUGAUAGUGGCCUAUCUGAAACAUUUCCUCCAAUAGUAUGUUUGUCCUCUAAUGGCUCUUUAUUAUUGUACUUUUAACAAUUAUUUCCUUUUACAACUUGGAAAUAGUGAGAAUUUAGAGUUUUUAAUGACCAGUAAUUUUAAUCUACUUUCACACUGUCAUGGUUGAGACACUGUUUAUCUUUCCCAUUACAUAUGAGAAUAUUGCCCAUUGCAAUUUAGAAUGGACUGCUCUCUUUUAAAUGCUGAAAGUAGGAACGUUACUACUGAUGUGAGGCCAGCUGAAGGUUUUCUGUAAUGUUUUCGGUUUUAGUUUCCCUCUAAAAUCUCAAAAUAUUUUUCCCUAGUUUGGAAUGUAUGUUUAUUCAUUUGAAGUCAUGACACUUCCAUAUCCAAUAGAGUUUACAGUUUUAUAUCUGAUUGGACUUGUAUGCAUGAACUGGUUCUUAUUGAACUACUUUUCUCAAAGAAGCUUUACCAAGAAUCAAUUAUAAGCAUUUCAGAAAAAAAUAAUGCUUUCUGGACAUGGAAGAACUUUUGCACCAGUGAACUCAAAGUAGCUGUUGUCUAUCCAACAAACCCGUCACAACAAUGUUUCAUCCAAAACAACAACAACAACAACAACAACAACAACAACAACAGUAAUUCCUCUCAAGUCACCUUUCUGUGUUAGUGUCUUGAAUAGAGACUAACAACUUCCUUCAGUGGAAUGUAGUGACAUUAAAGUAAAUAAAUACACAUAGUAACAAUUAUUAUGUUUAAUAUUAUUUUUGAAGUUAUGAAAACUCAAAUUAUUAAAAAGUAUUUUGAAGAUCUCCCCUGUCUACUAAGUCCUCUGGGCACCCCAAGAUGCACUGAGCUUCCUGCUAUCCCCUGUGGACCUCCAGUAUCCUGAUAACUCUCUGCACACCUUCACCAAACCUGCAGAUCCAGAAGCAUGUGCAGGUUAGAUUCUCUUCCCACACCGAUCUUCUCAACCCACUGCGUCUUCUGGGGCACUCUCAGCUACCCUGAUCAGCCUGAAAUCCCCACUGAACCCCAUCCUUCUGCCACCAUCUUCAUCAAACCCCUGUAUCCUAAACUAGGCAGUCCAAGGGCACUGAUAAAAAUCAUGCUGCACCAAGAUCAUCAAGGUUAGGACCCCUUCUAAUGCCUACUAUGGAAGGAACAUCCAGGGACCAAAGCUAUCUAGAUGCAUAAAGGUCCUCAAAAGAACACAAUGAACAAUAACCAGAGCAAUAUGACACUUUCUUUUUUUCUGAUCCAAUCGAUAAGAUAUAAUUGCCCACCUAAAUAUAUAAAGCCUUAUACACAUUCAUCCCUUAAGAACAUUCAUAACAACCAGUAAAUGUACAGAGUGGAAUCUUAACGUCUGCCUCUAUCUUCUCUCAGAGACUUCUUCCUCCAGUCUCCUUCCAUUUCCGAAUAUGACACGUUCAAGUCACAGCUCCUCUACUAUAAGUCCUGGAUAUCCUCACACAAUUGAAGCACAAGAAAAUGACCUGAAAUCCAAUCUUAUAAGUAUGAUAGAGGCCUUUAAAGAAGAAACAAAUAAAUCCCUUAGGGAAAGAAAGGAAAAUAUAAUUAAACAGGUGAAGGAAAUAAAACUGUUCAAGACCUGAAAAUGGAAAUAGAAGCAUGAAGAAAACAAAAACUAAGGGAAUCCUAGAGAUAGAAAACCUAGGGAAGAGGACAGGAACAAUGGGCACAAGCAUCACUAACAGAAUAUAAGAGAUGGAAGAAAGAAUCUCAGGCAUUGAAGAUACAGUAGAAGAAAUGUAUACAUCAAAGAAAAUGUUAAAUCUAAAAAUUUCUGGUACAAAACAUCCAGACAUUCUAGAAUAACACAAAAAGACCUAAUUUAAGAAUAAUAGAAAUAGAUGAAGGUAAGAAGCCAUAGCUCCAUUGACCAGAAAGUAUUUUCAACAAAAUCAUAGAUGAAAACAUUCUCAAUAUAAAGAAAGAGAUACCUGUAAACAUAUAAGAAGCUUAUUUAACACCAAAUAGACUGGACUAGAAAAGAAAAUCCUCCUGCCAUAUAAUAAAACAAAAAAUCUAUGAAAUGAAGAAUGACUAUUAAAAAGAAAUAAAGAAAAAGUCAUUUUAAUUAUACCAGAUUUCUCAACAGAGAUGCUAUAAGCUACAAGUGUCUGGACAGAUAUUUUGCAAGCUAUAAAUAACCAUAGGUGCCAACCUAGGCUACUAUACCAGCAAAACUGUGAAUCACAAUAGCUAGGGAAAAUAAGAUAUUUUGAGACAAGUUCAAAUUCAAAUAAUAUCUAUCCACAAAUCCAAGCCUACAGAAAAUACUAGAAGGAAAAAACUAAAUCAAGGAGCAUAACUAAUCUAAGAAAACACAGAAAAUAUGUCAUUCUGUACCAGCAAAAACAAGGGAAGUAUACACACGUGCGCACACACACACACACACACACACACACACACACACACACACCAAUCACCAAUACCAGAAACAUCAAAAUAACAGAAAUUACAAUCACUGUUCGUUAAUAUAUUUCAACUUUAGUGGACUCAAUUCCCUAAUAAAAAGAUACCGGCUAAUAGAAUGGAUGCGAAAACAGGGUCCAUCAUUCUGCUACAUACAAGUAACAUAACUCAUCAAUAUAGACAUUACUUCAGUGUAAAAGGCUGAAAAAAGUUUCUAAGCAAAGAGACCGAAGAAAAAUGGUGGCAUAGCCAAAGCAAUAUAUAACAAAAUAAACUUUCAACUAAAAUUAAUCAAAAGAGACAAAAUAUUUCAUAUUCAUCAAAGGAAACAUCUACCAAGUUGAAAUCUCAAUUCUGAACAUCUAUGCUCCAAACCCAAGGACACCCAUAUUUGUAAAAGUAAUACUACAAAAACUUAUAUCACACAUCGAACCCCACACAUUAUUAGUGGGAGACUUCAACACCCCACUCUCACCAAAUGAGAAAUCAUUCAGACUAAAACUGAAAAGAGAAAUAAUGAAAGUAACAGACAUUAUGAAUCAAAUGGCCCUAACACAAACACAAAUAAUGUACCUUGUUCUCAGCAUCUCAUGGAUCGUUCUCCCAAGUUGAACAUAUACUCAGUCACAAAGCAAACCUUAACACAUACAAAAAAAAAAUUCAAAUGAUGUCUUGUAUCUUCUCAGAUCACCAUGGACUAGAGCUGGACUUCAACAAACAGAAAUGCCAAGAAGACCCACAUCCAUGGAAACUGAAAAACUGUACUCAAUGAUCUCAGGGUCAUGGAUAAAUAAAUAAAUUAAAGACUUUCUAGAAUUCAAUGAAAAUGAAGUCACAACAUGAUACCUAAGUUCAUGGGACACAAGGAAAGCAGUGCUAAGAGGAAAUUACACAGUGCUAAGUACCUCCAAACAGAAAUUAACAAGUUCUCAUACCAGUGAUUUAAAAGUAUACCUGAAAGCUCUAGGAAAAAGAUACCACAGAUGAGUAGAAGACAGGAAAUAUCCAACAGCAUGACUGAAACCUGUCAAUUAGAAACAAAGGCAACAAUACACAGAAUCAAUGGAACCAAGAGCUGGUUCUUUGAGAAAAUCAACAAGAUAGACAAGCUUAGCCAUAAUAAUCAAAAGACGUACAGACAGUAUCCAAAUAAACAAAAUCAGAAACAAAAAGAUAGACACAACAAGACACUAAGGAAAUUCAAAAAAUCAUUAUGUCUAACUUGAAAAGCCUAUACACCACAAAAUUGGAAAAUAUUAAUAAAAUGAAUGAUUUUUCUAGACAAACGCCACUUAGCAAAGUAAAACCAAGAUCAUGAUCAAAAUCACAUGAUUAUUCCAUUACAUGCUGAAAAUGUCUUUAACAAAAUCUAAUACCCCUUCAUGUUAAAAGUCACACAGAGAUCAGGGAUACAAUACACAUAGGGCCUUGAAACAGCUGGACAGAUAACAUCGAUAAUCAAAAGAAAGGAGAAUAAUUUUAUGCAUGCUUAGACUUAGUUGGUUCUCUCUCUCUCUCUCUCUCUCUCUCUCUCUCUCUCUCUCUCUCUCUCUCUGUCCUCAUUUAAUAUUUCAGAUUAGAUAUCUAGCAAAGUAAAAAAUUUAUUUUUUUGAAAAUCAAAUUUUCUUAUGCAUUUUCACACUCUGUACGCUCCACUAUCAUUUAUCUGAAAUAUGAGCUUAACUACCAGGUACUCUGAACUUUCUGAACAGUGACACAAAGUUUUACUCACUGUCAAUAGUGUAAUAAAAAAUGCAUCUAAUUGGACCACUUUGAACACUAAUGCACCACUACAUCAUGCUUUUGCUUGGAACUAAAUAAUCCAAUCAUUCAUACCCAUCACUACUAACACCAGACCUGCCACAAGCAGUAUAUCAGGCAGUAUAUGCCUCUCUGUAUGCAUCUAGAAUUCAAAUUUCAUGACAUGACCUUAAAGAGGCUCUUGGAUAUAUAAGUAAGCUAAAAUUCUUUUAUUUUCUAGUGAUGAUGUAGGAUGUGGUUUGAGACAGUUUCUUUGUAUAUCCCUGGCAGUCCUGGGAAAAAAUAUAUACAUACAUACAUACAUACAUACAUACAUACAUAUAUACAUAUAUACAUACAUACAUACAUACAUAUAUACAUAUAUACAUAUAUACAUAUAUACAUAUAUACAUAUAUACAUAUAUACAUAUAUACAUAUAUACAUAUAUACAUAUAUACAUAUACACAUAUACACAUAUACACAUAUACACAUAUACACAUAUACACAUAUACACAUAUACACAUAUACACAUAUACACAUAUACAUAUAUACAUAUAUAUAUGUGGCUGACCUUGAACUCAUUGAUCUGUUUGCCUUUACUCCCUGAGUGCUGAUAUUAAAAUGAGCUCCACCCCUGCAAUAGAAAAUAGCCCUAUAUUCUAUUGUGUCUUCAGAAGAAAUAACACAACAACAAAAAAAUGAAGGAGAAAAGAUAAUGUAGAGCAGAAGGAGAGGCUGGAGUGAGGGGUUUGUAAGUCAAGGAAGUACAAAGUGAACCAAAAACCCCCCAGGAGUUAGAAAAGCCACGUUGAUAGGAUUUCCUUCAGAAUAUCAGAGAAAUCUACCCUUCUGAUACCUUAUUUUUAAACUUCAAUCCCUUUGAACUAUGAAACAAAUAUGUUUUGAAUUAUAUACCAAGGUUGUGAUAUGCAUCAUCUACAUCUAGACAUGAGAGGACCCUUCCUUCCUCCACACUUAUUUCUCUGAAGAAUACGAGAUCAAUUCUCUAGCAGUCCCAUUUGAGUUAAACAAUCUGGUUUAUAGGAUAUAAAUAUUGUUGACAAGAUCCAGGGUACCCAAAUGGAUACGGACUCCAAACUUGCUGAUUAAUUUACUGCACUCACUCUAAUAACUUUGUCUUCUUAGCUCUAAGAAUGUGCAGUGUUUCUGUCUCGUGACUAUUAACCUUGCUUUUCUCUCUUAAAUAUCCUUCCAUCUAUAUUAUGUCUGCUUGACUCUUAACUCACUCAUUCAUGCUCAUAGACCACAAUGUGUUUAACUAUUCUAACACUUCCAUAGUCACAUAAAUAGCUUAACUAUCUUUAUUUUUAAUAAACACUUGACAUCAUCAGUUACUCGCUUCAUAGAGAAUUUGUCAACACUUUAGUUUUGAAUUUAUCCAAAUAGACUUUGGAGGGUUGUAAAAUGGUGCCUUGCACAGGGUUGCUUGUUUCCAGGUCUGAGUGCCUGCGUUCAAUUCCUGGAACACAAACGGUGAAAUGAGAGGUCCAACACAGGUAAGUUCACUGACUGCCACACAUAGACCAUGCUAUAAGUUCUCUCUCUCUCUCUCUCUCUCUCUCUCUCUCUCUCUCUCUCUCUCUCUCUCUCACUCUCUCUCUCUCUCUCUCUCUCUCUCUCUCGCUUUCUGUAUCUGUCUCUGUCUCUCUCGUUCCUUCUCUCUCCUAUUUCAAAAAAAUUUAAAAAUAUAUAAAAUAUAUAAAAAAUAUAUAAAAUUUUAUGUGUAAAUGCUGGUAUGUGGCUGGAAGGCCAGCUCAGAGGAUCCAGGAGCUUCUGUAAUGAAGUCUGAGUACAUUGUGGCUCAUAAACUGAGCCCUCACCUAAAACUAAACAAGCAAACAAAAGCACAGUACAAACAGUCACAAUUUUCUUGUUCAUACGUUUACUUUGAAAUAAUAAACUCAAAGAUUUUUUUUUUGGUUCUUUUUUUCGGAGCUGGGGACCGAACCGCGCUUCCUAGGCAAGCGCUCUACCACUGAGCUAAAUCCCCAACCCCAAGCUCAAAGAUUUUUAAAAUGAAUAUUUCAUUAUGUGGUAUGGGUAAAUAUUCUACAAAAUACACAGAUUCACAGAUGCCAACUACAUUGAAUGAACAUGAUAAUAAUUUUCCCCAAUAUAUUAGCUCAUCAUUUGUGUUCUCUAGAGCAAAAAGGUCAUGCAGCAAAGGAGAAAUCAUCUGAAGACUUCUCUAAAAUCCAUAGGACAAUUUGGCUAGUCAAACACACUGAAAGUAUUCAAUUUAUUUUUUCAUCUCUGAAAUGUUCCAAUGUAAUUUUUAAAAAGUUGUAAGUAAUAACAUAUUUCUAUUUCUUGAGACAUAAAAUUUUCAAUUCAAAAUUAUCUGCAUGAAAAACGAACUCCAUUAGCCAAAACAGUGUUUGUUGGGUUUAGAUUUUGAUAAGACUCUUUGAUCUUUUAUUAUAUAGUUUAUGUAUACUUAAAUUAGUGAUGAUUUUGGUGUUGGGGAUUUAGCUCAGUGGUAGAGUGCUUCCCAAGCAAGCGCUAAGGCCCUGGGUUCAAUCCUCAGCUCUGACAAAAAAAAAGUGAUGUUUAACUUUAUAUCUAUGCAUGCACAGUGGUAAACUCUGCUUCAUAUUUGGAAUAUAGAAAUAAAUGAAAACUAAUUUGCUUACAGUAAUGCAUACUAAUGUGCUUUAAAAAAUCAAAGAAGAAAUAUUCUGACACCUUUUGUAAACCAGAUAAUAAAAUGUUCUGUUAUCUCAUUAGAAAUUGUCUUUUAAAAUACAAACAACAUUGGGUUUUCCACAGCUAAAACAUCAUAUAUAGGCAAAUAUGUAUAUCUCUUUCCCUGGAAAAUAAAGGAAUGCAUUAUAUAUGUCUACUGGGUUUCUUCAUAGACUUAUCUAAAUCAACUCUUGUGAUAUAAUGUGAAGGUUCAUGAGGUGUUUGGUGUAGUAAAACCUAUAGUAGUUUUAGGACUUAUCUACCAAGAAGAAAGAAAAUCCUCCAGUGGCAGUGCAGACAAACUGGAUUGAAAGGAUAAAGAAAUACCUCUUGCUUGCCAGCACAAACCCAACAGCAACAAAAGGUCCUUAUCAGUAUGAGGAAUCCAGGAAAGGUAAGAAAACAAAUGCUUUAACUCGAUCAUUCUCUGGUCUCCACAUGUCUCUUACAUAAUGACCUGGAGGCAGCUGCUCAUGACAUUAUUUACAAUGUGUCACUUUUCUUGUUGACAAAAUAUCUGUUGAAAUCGACUUUAAUAAAGAAGAGUUUGCUUUAACUCAAAGUCCUGUCAUAUACAGGAAAGGUGUGGCCAUAUUAGCAGGAUGCUAAUUACAUUGCUCAUGCCUUAAAGAAGGGUGAAUUUGCUGCAUGGAUAGUUUUCCCUUAGAAUUCAGUACAGCAGUUAGGAUGUGCCAUUCCACCUUAAUGCAUUCUAGAAACCCCCUCUGAGAAAUUCCCAGAUCUUGGUGUCUGACGUUACAUUAAGAUAAACCACCCUACUCUGCUUGAACAAUAUUUUGAAAAAAAAAUUAUUGUUUCAGUGUUAACGUUCCUUUAAUUUUUAUUCAUCAAUCCGUGCAAUUAAACAUUCAGAUUAGGUUUUUUUUACAUUAUUCCCGCUGUUUAUUAUUUUUUAUUUUUUUUAAAUUGGAUAUAUUUCUUUAUUACAUUUCAAAUAUUAUUCAUGUUCCUGGUUUCCUGUCCAUGAGCCCCCUAUCUCCUUGUCCUCCCUGAUAAGGGUAUCCAUCCCCUCCAUCCGCCCUCCUUACCACCCCCUCCCUGACAUUCCUCUACACUGGGUGGUGUUUUAGUUCCUGGGAGCUCUGGUGGGUUGGCAUUAUUAUUAUGGAGUUGCAAGCUCCUUCAACUCUUUCCAUCCUUUCUCUAAUUCCUUCAAUGAGGCUCCCUUUCUCAGUUCAGAGGUUUGCUGCUAGCAUUCGCCUCUGUAUUUGACAAGCUCUAGCUGUGUCUCUCAGGAGAGAUCUAUAUCUGGUUCCUGUCAGCACGCACUUCUUAGCUUCAUCAAUCUUAUCUAGUUUUGGUGGCUGUAUAUGUAUGGGCCACAUGUGGGGCAGGCUCUGAAUGGCUGUUCCUGAAGUCUCUGCUCUGAACUUUGCCUCGAUAUCUCCUCCUAUGGAUAUUUUUGUUCCCCCUUUUAAGAAGGAGUUAAGCAUCCACAUUUUGGUCAUCCGUCUUAAGCAUCAUGUGGUCUGGGGAUUGCAUAUUGAGUAAUUCAAGAUUUUUGGCUAAUAUCCACUUAUCAAUGAGUGGAUACCAUGUGUGUUUUUCUGUGAUUGGGUUACCUCACUCAGGAUAUGUUCUAAUUCAAUCCAGUUGCCUAUGAAUUUCAUGAGGUCAUUGUUUUUGAUAGCUAAGUAGUACUCCAUUUCUUUCUCAGUUCUCAGCCUGUUUAUCUUUUGAGUAGAGGAAGGCCACUGAUUUGUUUAAUUUUCUGCCCAGCGAGUUUACUGAAGUUUUUUUUUUUUUUUUAAUCAGGCUUAAUAGGUCUCUCGUAGAACUUUUGGGGUCACAUAAGUAUACUAUCAUAUCAUCUGCAAAUAGUUAUAUUUUGACUUCUUCCUUUCCAAUUUGUAUCCCUUUGACCUCCUUUCAUUGUCUGAUUGCUCUGGCUAGGACUUUGAGUACUAUAUUAAAUAAGUAAGGAGAGAGGGGUAGCCUUAUCUCUAGUCCCUGAUUUUAGUGGGAUUGCUUCAAGUUUCUCUCCAUUUAGUUUAAUGUUAGCUACUGGUUUGCUGUAUAUGGCUUUUACUAUGUUUAAGUAUGGGCCUUGAAUCCCUGAUCUUUCCAGGAUUUUUAUCAUGAAGGAGUGUUGAAUUUUGUCAAAUGCUUUCUCAUCAUCUAAUGAAAUGAUCAUGUGGUUUUUAUCUUUGAGUUUGUUUAUAUAAUGGAUUACAUUGACGGUUUUCUGCAUAUUAAACCAUCCCUGCAUCCCUGGGAUGAAGCCUACUUGAUCAUGAUGGAUGAUUGUUUUGAUGUGUUCUUGGAUUCUGUUUGUAAGAAUUUUAUUGAGUAUUUUUCUGUCAAUGUUCAUAAGAGAAAUUGGUCUGAAGUUCUCUUCCUUUGUUUGGUCAUUGUAUGGUUUAGGUAUAAGAGUAAUUGUGGCUUCCUAGAAGGAAUUUGGUAGUACAUUGUGUGUUUCUACUUUGUGGAAAAGGUUGGACAGUAUUGGUUUGAGGUCUUCUGUGAAGGUCUGAUAGAAUUCUGCACUAAACCCAUCUGGUCCUGGUCGGAAGACUUUUAAUGACUGCUUCUAUUUCUUUAGGAGUUAUGGGAUUGUUUAGAUGAUUUAUCUGUUCCUUGUUUAACUUUGGUUCCUGGUAUUUGUCUAGAAAAUUGUCCAUUUCCUCCAGAUUUUCCAGUUUUGUUGAAUAUAGGCUUUUGCAAUAGGAUCUAAUAAAUUUUUAAUUUCCUCAGAUUCUGUUGUUAUGUCUUCCUUUUCAUUUCUGAUUUUGUUAAUUUGGAUAUACUCUCUGUGCCCUCUGGAUAGUCUGGCUAAGGGUUUAUCUAUCUUGUUGAUUUUCUCAAAGAACCAGCUCCUGGUUUUGUUGAUUCUUUGUAUAGUUCUUUUUUUCUACUUGAUUGAUUUCAGCCCUGAGUUUGAUUAUUUCCUGCUUUCUACUCCUCGUGGGUGUAUUUGUUUCUUUUUGUUCUAGAGCUUUUAGGUGUGCUGUCAAGCUGCUGAUGUGUGCUCUCUCCUGCUUCUUUUUGCAGGCACUCAGAGCUCUGAGUUUUUUACCAGAUAAGCUUUUUAAAAAAUUAUGUUCAACAAUUAUCUUUUUAUUGUAGUUAAGUUUUUCAAAUUCUUGCUGUUUUCAAUAUCUCCUGGUUUCAUCAUCCCUACUGAGAAAUUACGUAUACAAUCUUAUAAUUAAUUGUUUGCUUUGGUCUUCUUUUAUUUUCCUGCUUUAUGAUAAAAUUUUCAUUAGCCUAAAUGUGUUAUUAAUUUUUCUUGUUUCUUAAAUAUUUGUUCAAUAUUAUAUUCACAACUUUAAGUUCAAAGGAUCAGUUUUCUGAACAGAUCUUCAUACACUAUAAAUUCCUUGUUGUAUGACCAUCUCUAAUAAUUUUAUUUUUAAUUUUUAGGUAAUGCCUGAUUAUAAUUUAAAUAAGGACGUUGACAAAAAUUAAUGAACCAUUUGCACAAAAAAUAUUUGAAUCAACAUUUAUUCACUCCUGGAAGAUAUUAAAUAUUUCAACAGAAUAUUCCAAUGGAUGGAACUUUUUCCAGCAUCUGGAUUAUUUUCCAGGUUAGACACAUGUUUGUCCACAGACUUGUCUUCUCUGAAUGAAAUCCAAAAGUUGUUUUUACUCCUAGAACCCUCAAAGCCUCUCUGUUUUUUGUCUAUCUAUUUUGCUCACUGUUGUUGAAUCUAUAUUCUUCAAAUGUGCCUUUACCAAGUCUCCAAAAUCACUGUGAGUAUAUGAUUCUCUGGGUAUGAGGUUGUGUAGUCAUGUCAAAUUAAAAUUUAAUAUUCCACAUACAGUCUGCACAGACAAAUAUAAGAAAUUUUGUAAUAACAUUUGUCUUGGUUAGUGUUGAUAGCUGAAUGCGAUUUCUUAUUCUACUGUGGAUCAAUAGAUCAAGAUUCCUUCAGAGAGGAAAGGCAAGUACCCAAAGGUUUUCUUCUAAUGACUGAAACACGUGGUCAGAAGACACACUAUUAACACUCGUCCUAAUAAUUUUUCAGCUAAAGAGUUGGGAAUGUAAGGAAAGGAAAUGGCUAGACUAUUCAAGAUUCUACUGGCAGAUUAUUUGUGAUGGUUGGUCUCUUUUUGCCUCCUAGAACAUUCAAGAGUACUUCAAGAGUUUUCCUCCCAUCUCUGGUGCAUCAAGUCUCAGCAGGUUUAGGAGCAUCCUCUCCCAUUGAGGCCAGCCAAGGUGGCUCCUACACAGGUGCCAGAGGGCCUCUGAUCAGCCCUCUGAUCAGACGUAUGUAUGAUGUAUGCUCUUUGGUUGGUGGCUCAGUCUCUAGGGUCCAGACCAUGACUAUCUAAUGACAUUAUAAUGAUCAGCAUUCAAAAGAACUUGAGUCCACAGAACUCAAGAAAUUUCACAGCUUUAUCUUCCCUUCCUGGGCUGUUUAUGAAAUAUCUAAACUCAAAUGCACAGGGACAAUUCACCUUAAAGCCCAGGCUCAGCAAGAAACCAGCAGUAGAGAAGUGAGUCCACCACCUUCCUUAAAGUGCCUUUUCUUAGUUCCCACUUCUAUUUGAAAUAAUAUAUUGCAGCUUAUUGUCAUUUUCUUCCUUGGAGGAGGCACAUUGUAGAAAACAAAAGAAAAAACAAUAGAAUAUGCUCCAGAGAUCUCUAAAUUCUGAUGUCAAUGUUUAGCUUGUUUAUAGGGAGAACAUUUCAUUUUUCCAGGCAGGUAGUCACCAUAAACUGGAAUUUCAAUGCACUAUGUGCACAUAAGUAUGUGUAAUCAUUUUUGUCCCAUCAGAAUAAAAGUUUUAAGACCUGGCUCUUCAUGGGUUCCCCUCAUGUGGUUUCAUGGUCAAAAUAGAAAAUUACCUAUGAACUGCAUUUUCACAAAUGAAAGCUACAUAAAAUAUUAUAUGCAUAGAAUUGAAGAUAAUUUGCUGUGAGACUGAAUAGAAAUAGCCUAGGCAUGUAGUCCAGUCUUAAAUCUCAUUUCAAAUCACACAAAUAUAUUUUAUGUCUAUCUUCUAGACCUGCUUCUAGACUUGAAAUGGAUGAAAUAUUUAUGUACUGGAGCUUUGAAAAUUUUUAAAAUAUGUUUUUCAAAUAGAAUGCUUUCAUAAUUUUCCCUUAUUCCCCUUUCUUGAAAACUUCCCACAUAUACUUCUUGAAUGCUUUUAAGUUCCAUAUUUUGGAAAAUUAUUUUCAAAAUUGUUCAUAAACAUAUAUGUAUAUGUAUAUAUAUAUAUAUAUAUAAAACAACACAUAAAUACUUUUCAGUAUGAAUAAUAUUACUCGUGACUUAAGGACUUAUGAUUUUGUAUUAGAUAGCGAGUCUCUCAGUAUGUUCUAACUACUGUUUAUAUUAUAUUUUGUUAUAUGACUUUUGUUUAUUUUUAAUGCACUUCUUUUAAGUAACUUAUUUAAGAUUUCAUUAUGCGCUAAUAUUCUAAGAGAAGUCUUAAAAGAGAAAAAGAAACUUUGAUCUCAGAUUUGAACUAACACAAUGGAAGCAAGGGUCCAGAAUCUGACAAAAUAGUCAUGAAUAAUUUCUCAUGGAGGGGACACACUGCUGAUGAGAGAAAAUUGAUAAUGGUCUUCUAAAAUCUCAUCGAGAAACCUAGAAACCGGAAGAGAUUCACUAUGGUUGAAAACAAUACAAAACUACUUGAUGGAAUAAAGGUGAAGUUGGUUAUGAAGCAAGAUAUAACCAAGAUGGCAGCUGCCUGCACACAACUCAGAAGCUUGUUCAACCUAUGUGUCAGGUGUCUCAUGAUGCAGUGCAAAGUUAGACUGCACCAUCUUGUGAGAUUUCCCACUGAAGAACACUAGAUCAUGUCUCAAGAUAACUAAGAGUAUAGAAUAUAGAGAAGAAUACAUAGUCAUUACAGGAAGACUAACCAAUUACAACAGAGACAUUAUGCAAUUGAAAUUCUGAUUUAAAAAAAACUAUAUAAAUGACACUGUUCCUUGUAAUGAUCUCAUUUUCUACUUAGAUGCAAAGGAAAGAAGAGUUAAGAAAAGAAGGCCUUUCAUAACAUAUUGUUCCACAGGGGCUCUGAGCCCCACCAGGACAAAGUUUUCACAGUUGCUAGAGUUAACAAGACACGAAACCUACUAGGAAAAGACCUGACUUCUAUUUGCCAUGAUGGAAAACUCCCCACAGUAAUUCUGGAAUGUUUUAUGUUACUAUCUGCCUUAUGGACAAGAUCCUGCUUCUUAAAUGAACCCUAAUCUCUUCAAUUCCAUCAGCAUGAAGAGAAACAAUUGUGCAUCAAAUCAUUGGCUAUACAAUAAGGAUAUGCUGUCUCUCAACAAAGAAAAUGGAACCAAAACUGAGGGUAUAUUGGCAAUAUCACUAAACAUAGCAUCAUGUCAAACAAUAAAGAAGUUGGAUUGUGAAAAAGAUGUAAACAUAAAAACAAUCCAUCUGUGCAUAUGGUAGCAUGUAUCUUAAAGGAAUUACUUCAAAUUAUCAAAGGAAAUUUGCUGACAUCUAGACUAUAUGAAGAAUGACUUGGGGUACAUGACCAGGUCAAUGAAGAAGAGAAAGUAGCCACUGUGCAGAGUCCUUAUUUCAAAUACCUCCCACCAGGACCAAAUGUGUAUGGUCUUGUCUAUUGAUAAGACAGAAAACCUACUUGAAAAAGAGCUGACAACAAUUUGUGAUGAUCGAAAUCUGCCCACAGAAAUUCUGGAUAUGCUGUUCUUCAUCCAAGAAAAGGGGCCCCAAAUUCAGGAUAUAUCCAUAAUUUCACACAACAUAGCAUCAUGAAGAAGUUGGAUUGUGAAGAAGAUGUAAACAUAAAAAAAUAAUCCAUCUGUGUAUAUGGUAGCAUGUAUCUUAAAGAACUUGCUUAAACAACCAGACUGUGGGACUAACAAAAGUGAAGCUUCUCCUGCAUUUCUCUGAGGCCCAAUCCCAAAGCAGAUAUCCUGAUCCUCUGGAAUUACUUCAAAUCACUUAAGAAAGUCUGCUGACAUCUCGACUAUAUGAAGAAUGACUUGGAGUACCAGACCAAGUCAAUGAAGAAGAGAAAGUAGCCACUGUGCAGAGUCUUUUAGAAAACUACUGCACUCACAUGUUACUCUUCUAAGACAACGUUUCAAAUUAUUAUAUUAAGUUGAGAGGAAUUCUUCUGUGAACCAGAUGACAGCUUAUGAUUUAUCUGUUGUGCCAAGUAUCCUAUAUCUGCCUAGUUCCCACAAUAAACGAUUAGCAAAUGAUAUUGCCAAAAAGAUUUCUCUUAUAAACUUUCCAAUUGAAAACUCCCUGAAAUUAUUUGAAGAAGACUCAGUUUUAGUUUAUUAUGAGACCUCAUUAUUUCACCCUUAUGGAGUGGACUCUGAUUCCCAGAAUAAUCUUUCUAAUCCAGAAGGCAUGCGUGCUAUAAAAGGAAAAGGGCAUGCAAGAGCUAAGUGAAUUCAACUACAACAAACGAUGACAUACCUUCUUUCAUAGAAUCAGAGAAACCUGAAAAAUACAUUUUUUUAUAAAUCAAUUAAUUACUUGUGAAUCUGAUACCCGCAAAGUCAAUGUAUACAUAGCCCCACCAGCACCAAACAAAAAGCAACUUGUUGGGAAUUAUCAAAUUCUGCCAGCACCAAUAAAGAAAAAAACCCUUCUUAGCAAGUCUCUCAUGGAAAUCUUUCUUCUCCAAUACUGGAUAUAUUAGCUAUCAUUGCUGAAAAGGGACAAAAGUCAUAUAAAAUACUAAGAACACUAUCAGUUGAAUCACACUGGUACACGAGGGAUAAAAUUGAUGCUGAAUAAGAAGAGGUGAAUUGGAGUCAAGAAUCAGUCCUUGUUAUAGUAUCUGCUUUAUAGGGGGAUUUCAUUCUAAAUAUAUAAAGAAACUUGCUUUCUACAGAUUUAUGUAAUUUAUUUGGUGUCUCUGAUCAAGAAAUUUGAUCAAAAGAUUCUGCUAUCCAAAGAUAAUGAUACAGUAAAUUCUUCGGGAACCAUACAAAGAUAGAAGAAAUGCAUUUUUAAAGUUUUCUACCACAGAUGCCACAACAAAACUUCAUCCUACUAAAACACCUUAUUCAUGUGUUAUUAAAGAUUAAAAUUUCUCCCAUGAAGACUUAGACUCUUAACAGUUUAUCUGUUCACAUAACCCCUAUAUUCCAUGGCAUUCUACUUCCAGCAACUCGUUAUUUGGGAAUGACCUUUCCAAAAAGAUUUCUAUUGAAGAAAUUCUAACUGAAAACUAGCUCUAGAUAUUUGGAGAUGACGAUCAUACAUUUUAUAAAGAUAUUCCAAAAAGGUCUGAUGACAUAAAAAUGUCUUCAGGUUCACUAAAUACUGUUGAUAGAGCAUGUGCUAUGAAAGAUGCCAUAAGUGACCCCCCUGAGAAAACCUUCUUUAAUGCUAAUGCUGAAAAAUUAAAGAUUCCAUUUGCUGCCCCUCAGAAGGAAGGUCCUACAGAGAGCAGGGCACAACAAACAGCUUCUAUAUGUUCCGUGUUUAACAGUGGAAUCAAUGGCAGAGGAUGACUGAAGAUGCUUACAGCUCAUUCUACUUCAAAGUUCCUUUCCACCUCCCAUUCAACAAUAGAAGAAUAUAUCAUUACAAGACACUGCAGCUUUUAUAUUUUACAUUAUUGUUACAAAGAGUUGUCACUGAUCAUUUUGACUUUAUGCUAUAUAUUACACAUUCUUUAUUAUUAUAAUGAAUGUUAUUAAACUAUAAUAUUGAUUAAACU